GGUAGAUUCCAAUUGUUCUGAACCAAAGUACGGAGAUCAAGGGCAUGUUUGGGCCAUGAUUAAAAUAAAAAUGAAAAAUAAAAUUAGGCUGCAUUGAAAUUGAAAAAUAAAACAAUAAAUUAUUAAAAAGAUAUUUAGUUUAUUAUUAUUAGAUUGAAAAUGAGAAUGAAUACUUAGAAUUUUGAGAUAGGAUUUUUGACUAAGAGAUGGAAGAGUGAUGAAGGAAGAGGAGGAAGAGGCUUUUGUGAGAAUGAGGUUUGCGUGGUUUAUUUUUUAAUGAGCCAAUCCGGAGUUCAAAGCCGAAUGGGCCAUAAAUGAAUCGGAUCAUAAUUCUCAUUCUGUAGUGGAAUGAGAAUCGGAAUUCGAUUUUUUUAAAACAAACAGCAACUAUUGGAACUAAUGAAUCUCUUUCUGAUUCCGCAGUCUAAAAUAAGUAAACCAAGCAAACCCUAAAGUUAUAAUUUUCUGUGAAUUCAUUGAAAAAUUUAUAAAUAUAUUUAUACACUUUUUUAAUAUUAAUUUUUGAUAAAAAUGUACAAAAUUUAUCUGAAUUAUAGACCAUUUUGAAUAGAUACUCAAUAUUGCAAAAUUUUGAUUGUACUGUCCAAUUUUUUAAUUUGUUUGAAUCACUCAACGACACUUUGACUUUAACUUUUGAAUGUGUAAUUUAUUUCUAUUUCAUACAAUUUUUCAAAACUAUAAAUUUAUUUAAAUAAAUAAUUAAAUUAAAUUUUGAAGUCAAAUUGCGACAGACCGUCUCAAAUCAAACAAAUUGAAAUGUUGGAUAAUAAAAUUAAAAUUUUGAAAGAUUGAUUACUAUACAUUUUUUUUUCCAAACUUUUUCGGCCUAAUAAUGUUGGUGGGCGUUCAAUGUCAAACUUAUACUUACAGUCAAAAUGGCUCUUUUUUGUAAACAAUUUGGGCUCAAAAUUUCUCGACCGUUCAUGUUUGGAGCGAAAAAUGUCGUUCACGAUGGAAUACCCCACCGACCCCCAUCCCACAUUUACACAUCCACUCCAUUUUCUAGAUCCUUCUUCAACGUAGUAAGGACACAUCUGAUAUUGAUGGCUGUCUAACGUUAUCAGAAUAAUGAUAAAAAAAAAAAAGAAGUUAGGGCAGAAAUGUAUAGACGCAUUUUUCUCUGCACUUCCGUCGAACUAAAAUGAUUUAUCAUUUUUUUUAUUUAUAUAUAAAUAUAUAAUGCACUCUCCCUGCAAUCACAGAGCGAGCGAAAAUCGCUUCGGCUAAGAGCCAAAUCAAUUGUUAACUUGUUGGCUAUAAGGUCCUGCAUACGAGCGAGCCCAUUGACCAUGAGUGAGGGCCUAAAAUGGAUCCAGUUGGUCAUAUUGGAUCGGGUUGCGCUUAACGACCGAAUAAAGAUGAGAAUUUAGGGCCCGUUCUAGGUUAAAGAGGCCCACAAUCCCCCACCCAGUACAAACCACUUCCAUCAUGAAUAGGGGUGGAAAAAUACGAGGAAAAAUUUUGAGUGCGGAGCUUUCCAACGAUAAGUUAAAUGUGUUAAUUUUAUCUGCAUCCAAAGAAUUAUAAUCUUUCACUCAAUAAUUUAAUUUUUUUUUAUUUUAGCACUAAAAAAUAUAUAACGAAUCAUUGAAUGGAGGCAAAAUUAAUACCUGACAGUGGAUUAGAAAUUUCACAACAACACAUUAUUGAGGAGCCUACUAAAGAUUUAUUCAGAAUACGAUCUAAACCGGUUAACUUAUUUAAUCCUAUCGAAGAAAAGGAUAAUCAGAUCUCGACAUUAAAAUUCAGAUAAGUAGCGUUAACGACCUGAUUCACAUUAAUAAUUUAAAUUGUAUAAGUUAAGUUACAUUGGAUUGUUUUUUAAAUUUUAAAUAGUUUAUUUUAGAAGGAUGUAUGAAACAUCUCUAUAUUUAUGAUAUUUUUAUUUUGAAUAUUCAAAUUUUAAAAUUUUGAUUUUAAUUUAAUAGUACAUUGUUUUUAACUUUUCUGAAAUAUCGCUUAAAAUCAGGUCCAAUUAGGUUUGGAUCUGGACAGAGAGACCUGCUCCAAUCUGGACACAUCUGGACACAAUAUGUUGUCGAAAAACCAACCGUCUCUAGAGCAAGUGGCAAAGGGCUUGGUGGUUGAUACCCGAGACCCAAGUUCGAAUUCUAGUUGAUUAAUUUUACAGCUAAGUUUAUUUCUUAAUGAAAUAAACAAAGCGGGUAGCGUGCUACCUAUCUCAAAAAAAAAAAAAAAAAAAUGUUGUCGGAAAUUCAGGUCUGGAUUGGAUCAAGAAUCAGUAAAUUUUACUGUCCCUAAUGGUUUUUUAACCUCACUCAUAGACCCCGCAUUAUAAAUAAGGUAAAAAUAUAUAUAACUUAUUUAAAUUAUGGACCAUUUUGAUUAUCAAAAUUAUGAUUUUACCAUCUAACAUUUCAAUUUGUUGGAUUUGAGUCGGUCUUACAUUAAAAUUUAAACUAACUACUUAUUUUAAUAAAUUUGUAGUUGCAACAAUUGGACGGGAUAUACUAACUACGUCUAUGAAUAUAAACAACACAUUCAAAGAGCUAAUUAUCUGCUUUAAUAAAUUUAUACUUUCAAAAUUUGUUUGAAAUAUAUAAACUAAAUCUGCAAAUACGAAUAAAGUAUUCAAAUUAUGAAGUCAAAGUGUCAUUAACUAAUUCAAAUCCAAAACAUUAAAAGAUUUUUAUCUAUAAAUAAUCCUCAUAAAUAGUUAUUUAUAUUGAACUGAAGUAACAAGCAUCAGCCCAAAAUUUAAGAAUCGACACAAAUUCGAACUUUCGAUCUUAAAAUUAGAUUUGAAAUGCUCAACUCAAAUGCUGGAAAAGCCAUGGAGAUGUGGGCGAAGCACCCGACAAAGCUCUCCACUGUGAUCUCUUUAAUAAUUGGUGCAUAAAUAAAGAAUAUGCAGUCGCAUUGUUGAUAUGGUGUCUUCAACAAAUCAAAUUAUUUUUUUGAGAUAACAAAUUUCGUCAUGAUUUUUUUUUAAAAAAAAUUUGUUAUACUUUUCUCUCAAAAAUGAAGAUAUGAUUGACUAAAUAUAAACGAUGUGAGAUACCUACGAGCAAAAUCUAAAGUAAAGAGUGAGAAUCACCUUAGAAAAUAGAAACACAUUAACAAAAAUACUAGCAAAUUUUUUUUUUUUUAAAAAAAAAACUAGCAAAUAAUUGAUCAUUCCUAGUGUAAGUGAUAAGAGAGUUUGUGGUUGUUACUCGAUGUCUUAAGUUCGAAUCUUAGUUAUUUAAUAUUUUCAGCUAAAUUUAUUUUUUUAUAAAAUAAACAAAAUAUAUAGCACGCUAUCUUUUUCUCGAAAAAAAUACUAGCAAAUAAAGAAAAAGAAAUGCUGCUGCUACAUUCAAAGAAUAUAUAGGUGCAUAUAUUUUAUUUUUCCAUUAAAUGAUUUAGAUAGUCUUUUUAAGUUUUUAAUAUUUUUUUAAAAAACAAUGCUAUCUGUAUAUUUUAAAUGUGAGUGCAAAUCUUGUACUCUCCUGUCCACUCGAAAUCUAUUUCUUUAGGGAGAAAAAUGGAAUGUAAAUUUUACAUCAAUUCCAUUAAAGAGUUUAAUUAGAUAAGCCUUUUGGAUUUUUUUAGUAUGAAAAAAAAGAAAUAUGAUAAGAUUAAUGUAAAAAAUUAUUUCUUAAAUAAAAAAAGGUAAGAUUUAUAUUUAUUUUUGGAUACACAAACAAUAUCACUCUUGCCAAUAUUGUGUUCAUUUGAAGUGUUUUCUCUUUGUGUGCUCUUGAUCUAAUCACAUCAUGGACACAAUAAAGAGAAUAAAUAAAUAAAUAAGAUUUAAACAUAGCAAUAUAACUAUUUCGAAUACUUUAUCUACAAGGCAGUUAAGGCAAGGCAUGGCAAAAUAUGGGACAAAAACAUCAUUCCCAAACUACAAGUUUGGGAACAAUACAGAUGGGUGCCACGUGGCAAGCGUACGCCCAUUGCAUGAGCGGGAAAGAAAGAAAAAGAAAAGACAUCACGCGUCCUGAUUUUUUGAGAGAGAAAGAAGCAGAGGAAGAGAAAUGGAUGGUGAGAUGAGCGCACACUCGCAACGUGGGGCCCAUCCACAUCGUCCUCAACCUAACUAGUUUGGGAACGAUGUCCAUAUAAUUUUUGUCUCAAAAUGUGCAAAUAUGGUUGUGUGUAUUGUGAAGAAUUAAAUAUGCGCGAUGACCCACAAGCUGUAAAAUUUCUAUUAUGUUUCUUUUGUGGUUCGUAUCUUGUUGUCCGCACUCAUUAGUUUGGUUCAAUCGAACAUCAAGUUUUUGUUAUAAUCAGAGGCCAUAAAUCUAGCUCGUUAUUCACGAAUCAACUCGUGUUCGACUUGAAAUUAGUUCGAAUUUAUUUGUUUAGUAAACGUACCAUUUAUGAGAUCACUUUUUAAGAGCGAAAAAUUAAAUGAGCCAAAUAUGAAUUGACUCUUGUUUGGUUCGAUAUAGGUCGGAAAUAAUAUAUAUAUAUAUAUAUAUAUAUAUAUAUAUAUAUAUAUAUAUAUAUAUAUANNNNNNNNNNNNNNNNNNNNNNNNNNNNNNNNNNNNNNNNNNNNNNNNNNNNNNNNNNNNNNNNNNNNNNNNNNNNNNNNNNNNNNNNNNNNNNNNNNNNNNNNNNNNNNNNNNNNNNNNNNNNNNNNNNNNNNNNNNNNNNNNNNNNNNNNNNNNNNNNNNNNNNNNNNNNNNNNNNNNNNNNNNNNNNNNNNNNNNNNNNNNNNNNNNNNNNNNNNNNNNNNNNNNNNNNNNNNNNNNNNNNNNNNNNNNNNNNNNNNNNNNNNNNNNNNNNNNNNNNNNNNNNNNNNNNNNNNNNNNNNNNNNNNNNNNNNNNNNNNNNNNNNNNNNNNNNNNNNNNNNNNNNNNNNNNNNNNNNNNNNNNNNNNNNNNNNNNNNNNNNNNNNNNNNNNNNNNNNNNNNNNNNNNNNNNNNNNNNNNNNNNNNNNNNNNNNNNNNNNNNNNNNNNNNNNNNNNNNNNNNNNNNNNNNNNNNNNNNNNNNNNNNNNNNNNNNNNNNNNNNNNNNNNNNNNNNNNNNNNNNNNNNNNNNNNNNNNNNNNNNNNNNNNNNNNNNNNNNNNNNNNNNNNNNNNNNNNNNNNNNNNNNNNNNNNNNNNNNNNNNNNNNNNNNNNNNNNNNNNNNNNNNNNNNNNNNNNNNNNNNNNNNNNNNNNNNNNNNNNNNNNAUAUAUAUAUAUAUAUAUAUAUAUAUAUAUAUAUAUAUAUAUAUAUAUAUAUAUAUAAAUAUUGUUUUUUAGAUUGAAAUGUAGCAAAUUUUGAAUACUAUUUUAAAUCUUUUGUGUUCGAUAGUAUAACGUUUAAAUUUUAAUAAUAAUUAGUAAUGCUAAGAGCAAAACAAAGCAUCAAUAAUAAUAAAUUAAAAAUAAUAAUACUGAUUAUACCUGACAUGCAUUAAUAUUUAUUAACUUUAAUUCAAGCUGGGUCAAAAUUUCGAAAUAAUUUGGAGCCAGCUUAAAUUUAUUUUGAGUAACAACAAGCUGGAUUAAUAUCCUUAAUUACUCAUUUUAAUAUAAAUUAAAGCGGUCAAGAAAAAUCUAGCUCUAUUAUUUUCCAGCUCGCCCGUGUUCGGCUCGUUGACGGUUCUAGUUAUAACUUUGUAACAUCUAUAUAUAUAAAUCUUUGUAUUUGAUUAUCAAAAAAUUACUUCAAUAAUAAAUAUCUACUAUAAGCAUAUAUUUUGGAUCAUUUUUAUAAAAUUAAAAUUUUUUAUUACAAUAAUAUGUACAUCCAAAUACACUAUUUAAUUUGAUGCGUUUGAAUCUAAUUAUUACAGUUGAAACUGUAUAAGAGAAUUGUUGCUGCCGUCGGAGAAAGUAACUUAAAUAAAAUGUGUAUUACCUGCUUCUAAUCAUCUUUUAGAUAAAAAAAAUUUAUUUAUUUUUUUUAUAUCGAAGGUAAUUUUAAUAUCUCAUAUACAGAGCAAUAAUAUGUUAUAUUUUAUUUAAUCAAAUAAUAAGAUGCAUAAACUAAAGAGCAUUUUUAAUUACACUCAUUUAAAGAGUCCCUAUUUCGGUGGUUAAUUUGUCGAUUUUUAUGGUAUGACAUGACAUGGCAAUCGAUAAAGCCUUAGAUCGACCUACCUCUAUCAUUUGGUGGUUAAAACAUCACCGGGUGAGCAAUCCCCCACCCUCUGAUCUGGAUCACAAAAUAUGACGAGCAAUCCAAGGUUUGGAGCCAUUUACUCGACAAUUUACCCAACAAGAGGCCGUUUGGUUGCUUAUAGUUAUAAUCAUAUAGUAAUUAUAACUGUAUAUAAAUACAAAUUCGAUAUUUAGUUUGAUGUAUUUAAUUUCAACUGUUGCAGUAGGAAUUACGGGAGGAGGUCCAACUGUAGUAGUAGGAACUACGCCCAAAUUGGCCGUAGUUCUAACUGCAGUAUUUGGAAAGAGUAACUUUAAACGAAAGAUGAGCUUACCUCCUUAAUUAUUUUUUUAAACAAAAAAUAAUUUUUUUUACAUUGAGGGUGCUGCGUUUGGUUUGCACUAUGAAAGAUUACUAGGAAUAAAAAGAUAUCCGAAAAUCUUAUUCUUAUUCAUCCUAUUACUAAGAAUAUGACAUUUCUGUAUUUGGUUCGUACGGUCAUAUUAUUUAGUCAUGCUAUUUAAGAUUACAAAAAAAAUAUACAAUUAAUUUAUUUAUUUUUUAAUUAAUUUUAGAUAAUGCUAUAAAAAAUUUGAAAAAAAAGGAGAGAGAACAUAGGUUAGAGAGAGAGAUAUCAUAAUUAAAGAAAUAGAAAGAGAAAUGGAGUCGAGAUUAGAAAGAAUGAAAUAGUUGAGAUUUUAGAAAAAGAGGGAGAGAGAGAGCUUAGUUUAGAGAGAGAAAAAUAAUUGAAGUUUAAAGAGAAAAAGAUAAAUUUAGAUAGAGACAUAAGGUUAGAGUGUAAAGAAAAAUAAUACCAACUAGCCAGCGAGUAAAGAGAAAGAAAGAGAUUAGACAUAUUAUGAUUAUCCCGAUCCAUUAAUAUGAAGAUAUCCAUCCUCUCUCAAGGGAAUGAGAUUAGUAAUUUGGGAUAAAUCUCAUUCCCAAGUAAAUUUAAUAUUACCAACUAGAUUACUUAGUGCGUUUAGCCAAACACCGCUAUAUUUUUUUAUUCCUAUUCAAUUACUAGGAAUCUUAAAAAGAUAAUGCGAACCAAACGCACCCUGAAGGUAAUCUCGCCAUCAUAUAUAUAAAAUAAUAAAAUUUUAAAAAUUAUUUCUCAACUACGUGUAACCAAAUAAAUUAUUUGCAGUUGCAAUACUUUCUACUGUAUCCAACCAAACUGGAUAGUAGUUGCGACGGCUGCAUUUUCAACUAUAUGCAUCUCUAAUAUGUUACAUUUAUAAUUAUAUCUAACCGAAAGAUCCCGUUUGGUUUGGGGAUAACAAAAUUUAUCCUUACUAUUUGGACAAUAAAGUAUUUUUUUAUCAGAAUAUUUUAUUCUGAUUAAAUUAUAUUAUUUUCAAUUAUCACUGAAUGCUCAGAAUAACUUAUUCCACCAUUUUGAUCGAAUAGUGCUGUUCCAAUAUUUAAUUCCAAGUUUUAUUAAGAUUAUAUAUUAAAUUAAAGGAAGUUAUCUAGACAUUAUAUUAUAUAAUAAAUUAUUUUUAUUAUGUAAAUUAUUAAUUAUAUUAUUAUAUUAAAAUAUAUUAUUGGUACCUAAAUAUGAUAAUAAAUUAUACUUAAAUCUUCUAAUAAAUUAUUUUUAUUAAAUUUAAAUUUAAGUAGAAUUUUUUCAAGAUAUUAAUUUUAUGAUAACUUAUAAAAUAUACUAAUUAAAUCUGUAAAGAUAAAUGACACAUUCAAAUUUUAAAAGUUAAAGAGUCACUAAUUAAUUCAAAUCAAAUAAAUUAAAAAGUAAGUUGGUAAAAUUCAAAUUUUUUAAGAUUAAAUCGUAAAAUUUAAAUAGGUGAUAGUUGAAAUAAGAUUUAUAUAUUUUUACGAAGGUAAAAAGAGUAAAGUUAAGGCGCCUCUUUCAAACUGCCAAACAAUUGAGAAGGUAUUAUUAACAGUUAAUUCGGAAAACCGACCGUCCCUAGAGUAAGUGGCAAAGGGGUUGGUGGUUGGUAUCCGAGAUCCAAAUUCGAAUCCUAGUUGAUUCACAUUUCUAGCUAAGUUUAUUUCUAAAUGAAAUACACGAAGCGGGUAGCGUGCUAUCUAUCUCUAAAAAAAAAAAAACAGUUAAUUCGGAAAUAAAGUAUAGAGAGGGUAUUAUUAACAGUUAAUUGGGACAAAAGUAUAAAAACUUUUGAACUCCAGCCAAAUUUCUGAAUACAGGAUAAGUCAAUAUUCAAGUUUUAGAAGUGAUAAAAAGAGUUUUGCUAUAAUACCAUCGAUAGUAAACGGUUUGGUUUACUACCAAUUUGUUUUCGAUGAUGGAACUCUCAUAUUGAUGAUCGGCACCGUUAAAUAUGAUUUAAACCAUUUAAACUAUCUGGAAAUCAAAUUUUAUGUAUUUUCAAUAUUGUUCUCUUGUUUAUCAAGUGAACAAAAAAAUAGAUGGUUGAAAGUGAAUAUUCUUAUUUUAAAUAGUUUUAAGAAUUUUCUAACAAAAUUUUAGUUGAUUUGAGCUCUUCUAUACCGUUAAACGAGCAAACGCACCAUAUCAGCUAUUAAAAUUACAAAUUUUGUGACACUUUGAUUGUUCGGUUAGUGAUGUCAAAAAAAUCAUAAAAUUUGAUUUCUAAAUAGUUUAAAUGGUCUAGAUCAUGUUCAACGUGCCGAUCGGCGAUUAGAAAGCUUUAUCAUCAAAAACAAAUUGGUAGUAAACCGAGCAGUUUACUACCGAUAGUACCCAGUUAAUCUCGUGAUAAAAAUAUAGAAAACUUAUCAUAACUAUCAUUUAUUUGAAUUUGACUAUCUAAUUUUAAAAAUUUUGAUUUCACUAUUUGACCUUUUAAUUUAUUUGAUUUGAGUCAAUUAGUGACUCGUUAACUUUAAAAUUUUGAAUGCGCCGUUUAUCUUUACAUAUUUAAUUAGUAUAUUUUUUACAAUUUAUGUAAUUAUAAAAUUUAUUACAAUAAGUAAUUAGCUUAAAUUUUAAUAACAGUUGUACUCUAAAAACUUAAGCUGUUAGAUAACGGUGUUUAUAUAUUUAAUAUUUUUCUUUACGUCUAGGCUCCAGAUUUUUUUUUAUAAGACUUAUGACGUGGACUUGAAUUAAAUAAAAAAUAAUAAUAAUAAUGUUAGGAAUCUGGCAUGACUAAGGAUGCAAAUGGAUUCGGGUUGGUUGAGCUCCCGCCUCGGGGUGGCAAGUGGGAAUAAAAAAUAUAAAAAAAUAUAAUUCGCCCCAAAUCCGCUCCGAUCCGCUAAGUAAACAGGGUAGAAGGCGAGAGAUUCUUUUCUUCUUUCAAUUCGUCCUGAUCCGUCAAAAAUUCGCUCCUGCCCCGAUCCACCCUGAAUGGGGCGAAAAGUGGGAGCCAAAAAUAAAACGAAAAAUGACCCAACCUGAAUCCGCCCCGCCCAGCCCCGAAAUGGAGCGGGAAGGUGGGGAAACCCUCCUGCCCUCGGAUCUAUCCCGUUUGCAUNCCGCCCCGCCCAGCCCCGAAAUGGAGCGGGAGGUGGGGAAACCCUCCUGCCCUCGGAUCUGUCCCGUUUGCAUUCCUAGGCGUGACUCGAACAUAGAUAGGGCUGGCAAAUGAGUGAGCAGGCUCGUAUUCGACUCGAUAUUCGACUCGCCCAAGCUUGGCUUGAAAUUAAAUGAGCCGAGCUUGAACAAAAAAAAAAGCUCAAAAUUCAUUUCAAGUCGAACUUGAGUAUUACUCGGCUGACUUGAAUUAGGCUCGGUUGACUUGGUACUUUUAAAAGCAUAGAAGCUCAAUUCUAUAUAUAUAUAUAUAAUAUUUUAAUUAUAUAUAUGCUGAGUGAUCAACUUGAGUUUAGUUAAAAUUGGAUCAAUGUUGCUAAUCCAUAAAAACAAAUCCAAUAUGCCAACAAAAGAAUAAAAUUUUACUAAAUUUAUACUCUUUAUAAAUAAUUUGCAGAGGCGGUUUUAAUCGCCUUUAGAGGUUAAAUUUGUUAAGACAAUUUUAAUCAUCUUUAUAUUACUAAUAAAUUAUGAAUAAAAAUAUAUCUAAAAAAUAUUAAGUAUAAAUAUUGGGGCUGUUGAAACCACCUCUAUAUACUGCCUCUGAGCCUCUCCGACGGUCACUCAAACUAGUUUUAUAUCGUAGAUGUGUUAUCUACACCGACUGUCUACGAUAACUAAAAACCGUCUUUACGACCACCUUUUCUUAUAAUGUUUCUCUUUCUUUUUUCCAGAGAAUUUUAAAUUCUUAAUAUCUUUCUCUCUCUUUUUUUUUCUUUGUCUUUCAUUUCAAGUGACUAAGUCUAAAGCCCUCCAAGUUAUAAAGUAACAGCACGCGUCCACCGUUUCUUAGCUUGCCAUUAGCUAUGUGCUUGAGAAAAUAUACAAAAUUUUUUAAGCUAAAAAAUUAUUAUUUAUACAAAAUUUUGAUUUAGUUAUAUAUGAUUGGAUAGUUUAAUUUAAUAUUUACCUAUAUAAUUUAUUUAUUUUUUGAGUGCAUAGAUGAGAAAAAAUAAUAUGGAGAUUGAAGAAAGAAGAGAAGACAUGUGAGGCUGAAAUGAUUAGAUAUUUAAGUCAUAAGUUAAUUUUCUUUAUAUUAUAAUACUGUAUUUUAUAUAAUUAUUUUAUUUCAAACUAUUAAAUAUAUUUUUGUAUCAAAUUAUAGAUAAUGAUUAUACAAAUUAAACAAUUAAUCGUACGAUGUCGAGAAUUUUAAGCGGUUCUUUUAAGGCUCGAGCUCGCUCGACUCGAAAUUAGGCUCACUCGAGCUUGGCUCGAAUUAAUUUCAAACCGAGCUUGAGCCUAAAUUUAGAUUCGAAAUUAAUUUCAAGCCGAAUUUGAGCUGAGAUAAAUUUGUUCGAGCUCGGCUCGUUUCCACUCUUAAACUUAGAACCUCUUGACCUGACAUCAUGUGAAAUAAUUAUUAUAUACUCUAAAAAUUAAACUAUUAAACAAUGGUGUUUGUAUAUUUAAUAGGUUGAAUAGUAAUAUUAAAAUUUUAAAAAGAUUGGGUAAUGGGAUCACAAUGGAUAAUAUUUCAGAUAAGCUUUAUAAAUUUUUACUUAAAAGUAAAGAAAUAAUAUUUAUAAAUUAAAAAAGUACAACGAGCUGUUCGUAAUUUCAAAUCUUUGCAGGGGUGUCAGAUAAAAGUAUCCCUAAAAGCACCGGUUGAAAAACCAAGAACAAGAACCGGCGACCCACCAGGAUCCAUCCCAGCCAGCCAGCCAGCCGGCCAGCGGAGAGAAAAAGAGAGAGCGAGAAAAGAGGGAGGGAUGCAGGCCGGCGCGGGCCGAUCCCCUUCGGAUCCGGGGCGAAUGGGUUCGGCGGCGCAGCAGCAGCAGCAGGUGCCGGUGGUGGUGGCGCUGAACUGCCUGGAGGAGGUGUCGCUGGAGCAGGAGGGGCUGUCGGGCGUGGCGGCCGUGGAGCACGUCCCGCUCUCCCGGCUCUCGGACGGCCGGCUGGACUCGGCCUCGGCGGUGCUCCUCCACUCGCUGGCCUUCCUCCCCCGCGCGGCCCAGCGGCGCCUCCGCCCCUGGCAGCUCCUCCUCUGCCUCGGCUCCCCGGACCGCGCCGCCGACUCCGCCCUCGCCGCCGACCUCGGCCUCCGCCUCGCCCACGUCGACGCCAACCGCGCCGAGGAGGUCGCCGACACCGUCAUGGCGCUGCUCCUCGGCCUCCUCCGCCGCACCCACCUCCUCUCCCGCCACUCCUCCUCCUCCUCCUCCGCCUCCGCCUCCCCCUCGGAUCGCGCUCGAGGGUUAGAGGAGAUCCAUGCGAUCCCACGGAGAGGACGAGAUCUCGACGNCGCCACCCGCAGCCUCGCCUUCCGCAUGAGCGUCCUCUUCUUCGACCCCCGCCACCACCACCACCACCACCACCAGGUCCCUCCUCCUCCUCCUCUUACCAAUUCCCACAUUUUGCCCAAAAAUGCCCCAAGAAUUAGGGUUUCUUUGAACUAAAAAUGGCCAAAAAUCUUCAGAAAUGAGAAACACUGAAAAGAAAAAAAAAAAAAAAAGGACUUUUGUCCUUAGUUAUUCUACUAUUCUACUAUCAGGAGAAUAACCUAACCUUGGGAUAAAGAUGAUUAUUUUUUUACAGUCUCAUUCCCCCUAAAUUGCGUUUUCUUUUCCUCGGACAACUUCUAAAAGGUUCUUUACAGUACCUGCUGUCAUAAAACCGGAUCUAUUUUUCUCUUCCUUUUUUUUUUUUUUUUUUUUUUUUUUUUUUUUUUUUCUGUUGUUUCCCUGCAUGGAAUGUGCAUCCAGUUUUUUAGUUGGGAUUUGGUUAGGUUUUUCUUCAUUCCUUCUGUUAUUUCUUAAUCUGUAAACUUAUCCUGAUUGCUUGCAAUUCCUUAUCUUUGUACUAAGUGGAGUCCGUAUCAAUCUUUAUGAACUUGUCCUGCUAUUUUAUGCUUGUGAUUUUGGUCCCUGUUUUGCUGAAUAUCGAGUCUUGAACAUCAUUUCAACUCUAUCUCACAAUUGUCAAGGGAAAGGGAAAGACCAGACGGCCUACCAUUGCGUUCCCCCCUGCUGCCAGGAGGAUGGAUACUCUCAAUGACUUGCUGGCGGCGAGCGACCUCGUCUCGCUUCAUUGUCAGCUGACGAAUGAUACAAUGCACAUACUUAAUGCCGAAUGCCUGCAGCAUAUAAAGCCUGGUAAGUUCAGUGGUUUUUCCCAUUCGAGUUUCCCAGUUGCUAAUAUAACAGUAACGCUCCCUUAAACUGGAAAGAAUUUGUUUUUCUGCAGGGGCAUUUAUAGUCAAUACGGGUAGCUGUCAGCUCAUAGACGAUUGUGCGCUCAAACAGCUUCUGAUUGAUGGCACUAUAGCCGGUUGUGCUUUGGAUGGAGCCGAGGGUCCGCAAUGGAUGGAAGCAUGGGUAUGAGCAUUAACCUUGGGGGUAUGAAUUAUUUCUUAUUGAUUGUGCUGCACCGAGGAAUAAUAUACGGCCUACAGUCAUUUCUAGCAUAUCUGACUAACAAUGCCCUUCGAAUGAUAUCCGGAUACAGGUGCCAUCUGUCCGGAUGGAAAAGUUCCAUUUCUACCUCACUUGCCAGGGACAAGAUGAUAGCUUGCAUUUCCGGAAACUUAAAUACUCAUGUCUUAGAGGAAUCUUCUGAAGAUAUAAGGAGUUGAAGAAGGAAAAGAUAUAUCUAACCAAACACUAUUAUCAGGAUUAAAGAUUAGUUGCCAUUGUUGUUUUGUUGUUUUAUCGAGCCUAAGUGUGCUUCCUGUGAAGACUAGAAGGAAUCUGACGUUGAAACAGUUGUCUUAGUCCAAAAAUGCCUGCUUUAAUGGCUUUAAAGUACUGUGUUAUAGUGUCUUUGCAGAUGUAAAAUCUACAUGCACACUUUGGCACUAUUAUGAUGAUAACAUGUACAGAUUAAUGUGUGGACGUAACAUUUAGUAGGUUUUUUGAGGGUAUUUAGAUUAUUAAGUUGGGGUGUGAUUGCCUGAAUAAUUUUCACUGUCGCUGCAUUUUGCUCUAGCAAUAACAGUUCACAAGCUUGACAUAUUGGGAAAUGAAUCCUUUAUUAGCUUGCUCUGUGGAAUCUUUUUUCUUUUUUUUUUUUUGGCUUUUACUGUAGGUUCUAAUGCAACUUCUGUACUAAGAAGUGCCAGUUUCUCUUAGACUAAUUAACUUCUGUAGAUCAUGAGAUCAUGCAUUAUCAGACUGUUAUUAAUGAUCAUGCUAUGACUAUAGGUAUUUGGCGAAGUUUUUAGUGAAUUUUAUGUUUAUCUUCUGAUACCUUGUUCGUACCUUGGUUAACUUUCAGGUGAGAGAGAUGCCCAAUGUCAUAAUUCUUCCUCGGAGUGCAGAUUAUAGUGAAGAAGUAUGGAUGGAAAUAAGGGAGAAAGCAAUUACAAUACUGCAAUCGUUCUUCUUCGAUGGAAUUGUUCCCACCAAUGCUGUUUCUGAUGAAGAUGAAGAAAUAGCAGAGGCUGAAAUUGAAGAUGACCAGUUGGAGAGACGACUAAAGGGAAGCCCCUCUCAGGUUUGUGAGGGUGAGCAACAAACAGAUGAAAGUCAUUUAAGUUCAGAAUAUGACAAGAAAAGAGCCAUUGCUCUGUCAAAAGAGUCUCAAGCUUCAGGUCUAUCUCAAAACGUAGGCUCCAGAUCUGAAGGCAAACGCAGCAAAUCAGGAAAGAAGGGUAAAAAGAGGCCUGCUCGUCGUAGAUCACAACAGAAGUCAGAUGACUUUUCAGCUGUGGAGAGUGAUGGAAACUAUAUUUCACAUCGAGAUGAUGACACUGCCAUCAGUGGCAGAGAGCAAAGUUCACGGUUUGCUUCUCCUGAGGAUUCAAGAACCAAGCAGAUGUCUCUUGCUGAAUCAACAAUGGAGAUAACUCCUGAAAAGCCCAUGACAGCAAGCGCAGGGCUUGGUAGAAAACCUGGUCGGUUGUUGAAGGAUGGUUUUGUUAUAGCAUUACGUGCAAAAGAUCAUUCAGGGUUUCACAUUUCUAGGCAGAGAGUUGCCAGUGGUGGGUGGUUCCUUGACACUGUGUCGAAUGUAACGAAAAGGGAUCCUGCUGCACAAUUCUUAGUUUCUUUUACAAGCAAGGUAGUUGUAGUGAAAAUUUCCACUGUAUACUUACUUUUGUGAUUCUCUCUUACUGAAUUUUGGCUCCAUCUUUUUAGGAUACUCUUGGAUUACGUUCUUUUGCUGCUGGUGGAAAACUAUUGCAGGUUAGAAUAUUUGGCUUUGCUUUGAUUCAAUCGCUCUUUCAUUUAAUGUGUUAAGGUUAUCGUUGGAGGCUGGUAUUUACAGAGGUAGCAGCCCUUAAUCUGACAUUGACUUAGACCCUUUCGGCAAACCUCACCCUUGCCUGAGGAAAAAGCUAGCUGCACUAUGAUAUCUGGAUAAUCUCAUGCAUUGAGACACCCUAUCCGAGUUCUUAAAAGUUAAAAGUAAAACCUAAAGAUAGUUGAAGUAGGCGCCUAGAGUACCUUUGGUUACUCCAUUGAAUGUUAUGCCUACAAUUUUGUCCUAUUUGUCCCAUGGAGUUAGUAAGUAAUUCUCUUUGUGCUAAUAAAUCACUUGAUAACUUCUAUCAUUCUAUUGAUUUGUUCAUAUGUAGAUGUAAUAAUUUGUUUCAUGCAAUAUCAGAUUAAUAGGAGAAUGGAGUUUGUAUUUGCAAGCCAUACUUUUGAUGUUUGGGAGAAUUGGAUGCUGGAAGGUUCGGUGCUUGAAGACUGUAAACUCGUUAACUGCAGAAAUUCGUCGGUAUGUAUUUAUCUUCUUUAUCUUUUGAAGGCACAUAUCUUUCUCUAAUUCGAUUCUUAUGAUCAUGCUAUUUUAAGUUCUCAUUCAAAAUAUGUUGGUUUGUUACUAAAUUUUAAUGAACUCCUGAUUUUUUUAAAAGAACUUCUACCCUAUAUUUUCUAGUUUACUGGACAUAAAACAUCCCAUGUCAUGGGGCAUAUUGUAGAACUCUGUUUAGCAGUGUUGCAAAUUAUAUAGCUUCAACAGGUAGCAUACUGUUCCUACCUACAGCAACUGAAGAUCUAUUGCUCUUUGUGAUCCCUAUUUGUGACAUUUUUGCACCUAUUCCGAUUUGUUCUAGCUUUCAACGUAGAAAUCAAGUUGCUGGAGUAAUUUUUAGAUGAACUUGAUAUGCUGAUUAUUAUAUGCUAUUGCACUUUAAACGAGAGAUCAUCUCCAUUCUAGCACCAAAGAUUGUCAACAGUGUAUAUCAGCACUUUUUUUUCCCUUUCCACUUACCAGCAAGCCACAAAUACAUGGUUGAAUACAAUAUUCUCGUGUGGAUUACGGUACUUUGUUUUUGGAGAAAAAGCAAAGAGGUUAAUGUCCUGGAAGUCAGAUAACUAUCUUUGUUGCUUCCUCUAUUUGGUUGUGAAUGUUCGUGGUCUUCAUUUGCUUGUAUUGCCGCUUAAAGUACUAUCUUGAAACUGAUAGAGCCUUAUGGGCCUGUUUGGCCUAGCCGUGGAGCGUAGGGCGGUUGAAAAAGUACUUUAGGAAAUAGUGUGGUGCUGGAAAAAAAAAAAAGAAGCUGCAGAGAGCGUUUGGUUAUUUUUGUUAGAAGUAUUGUCUAUUAUAGAAAGUUGUUUGAUGAAAAGUUUGUUAAAUUAUUAUAAACUAGUAUAAAGUGUAUUAAAAGAGAUUAACUUGCGGUCCCAUUAAUUAUUUUUAAUAAUUUUAAAAUUUGAAUUUAUAAUUAAAAAUUAAUUUUUAAGUCUAAAUUGAAUUUAAAAUUUGAAUUCAAAUUCACAUUUUGUAUUUGAAAUUCAAAAUAAAAAAAUUAAAAUAUGAAUUUAAAAUAAAUUUGAAUUUCAAAAUUGAAUUUAAAUUUAAAAUUCUAAUCCAAAAUAAAAUUUAAAUUUAAAAUAUGAAUCCAAAAUUAAUUUAAAUUCAACUUCAAAAUUAGAAUUUAAAUUUAAAAUUGGAACCCAUCAAAUUUAAAUUAAAAAAAUACAACCAUGAAUUUUAAAAUUUAAUUCAAAAUAUUAUUUAACUUUAAAAUUAAAUUUUAAAUAUGAUUUAAAUUUAUAAAUUUUAAAUCAAAAAACUUAACUUCCGAAAAAUAAAUUAGGGGCCGAAUAAAAAAACUUGCAAACAUUGAGUGCCGAUGUUAUAAUAAAUCCAAAGUUUUUUUUUUUUAUUUUGGCCCCCAAAACUAACUUCCCCACCUCCAGAAAGAAAGUUAUGUAACACGUGAAAUAAAGAUUGAGAAAAAUCCACCUUCUUUUCUUUAUUUUAUUUUUUCAUUUUAUUUAUUUAUUUUUAUUUAAUCUUAUUUAACUUUAAUAUUAUUAUUUAAUUAUUAUUAUUUAUUUUAUUACAUUAUUCUAUUUUAAUAAUAGAAUUUAUUAUUAUAUUAUUAAUAUAGAANAAAAAAAAAAAAUGAUCUUGGAGAUUGUGUAAUGCUUACUCUCAAACUCUUUGUUUACACAGUAGUGAUAUUCUUUGUUUCCCUUUUUAUCUUUGGAUUCUUAUCUAAUGAUCCAGGACGCAAUCCUGGACGUGAGGAAUAAAAAAUUUCUAGUUUUUUUGCUUUUUUCUAAAUUAAUUCUUAAUAAUCUUAUUUGUUUCAUACAUUUAACUAUGAUAAAAUCAAGUUAUGAGAAUCUUUUCAAAUUCGAAAAUCCCAAGUGAUCAGAGAAAGCGGAAAGAGAGGGAUUCGAACCCUCGGUACAAAUAAUUCGUACAACGGAUUAGCAAUCCGCCGCUUUAGUCCACUCAGCCAUCUCUCCUAAUUCCAAAUUGAAAAUUUGUUAUGUGAUGUAACACGUGAAAUAAAGAUUGAGAAAAAUCCACCUUCUUUUCUUUAUUUUAUUUGUUCAUUUUAUUUAUUUAUUUUUAUUUAAUCUCUACCGCAAUAACUCCAAUGUUGGCCCGGCAAAUAGGGAUGUCAAUGGGUACGGAUACCCGAAAUUUUAUCUGAACCCGAACCCGAACCCAAACCCGAACGGAGCGAAUUUACCUUAUGCUAAAUGGAUAUGGUUUCGAAUAUGGAUAUCAAAAAUAAAAAUCCGAUGGAUAUGGAUACGGAUAUGGAUUUUGACUGUACCUGAUCCGAACCCGAUUCGAACGCGAAUUUAUUUUACAUUAUAAUAUGUAUAUAUAAUAUGUAUAUGAAAAUUUGAUAUUAUAUUUGAAUUUGUAUUUUAAAAGUUUAAACUUAAUAUAAUAUAUUUUGAAAUAUUGAAAAGAGAUAAUUGUUUCUGGUUUGGAUUUUCGGGUUCGGGUUUCGAGUUUUUGGUCGGAUUCAGGUCUGGAUAUGAAUUUUUAAAAUCUGUCGGGUUUGGGUUUCGGGUUUGGAGUCGAUAUCGGGUUCGGAUUUUUGAAAACCCGUUCCGAAUCCGACCCAUUGACAUCCCCGCCGGCAAAGGCCGGGCCAAACGGGUACUGUAUUCUUUUCUUUUUUUAGCUGUGAUUAACAAUUUACUUUUAUUAUGGUUCGACUGAGUUCAGGCCAUCUUGGAUGUACGCAUCGAUAUUCUUGCAGCCGUGAGCGAAGAAGAUGGAAUCACGCGGUGGCUCGAUUAACUUUUUCGCGGCAAAAAUGCUUCCCUGCGAACGGACUGAUGUCGGGAUUGUUUUCCUAUUUAUUCACUUCAUGACAUGCCAAAAAAUUUUGGAUGCUGCGGUUGUAGGGGCUUGUGGCCUUAGAAUGUGCCAGUUUGUAUUGCUUCCAAUAUUAACUAAGACUGGGAUAUUGUGUACUUGUUUAAACAUGUUCUUAUUUUGGCCUCGCGAAGUUUCUAACUUUUUGGAACCAAAAAUUAGUAGCUUGUUUUUUUUUUUUUUUUUUUUUUUUUUUUUNUGUUUUAAAUUUGCAAUUGAAUUUCACAUUUACUUUUAAAUUUGAAUUUCAAAAUUGAAUUUAAAUUUAAAAUUCUAAUCCAAAAUAAAAUUUAAAUUUAAAAUAUGAAUCCAAAAUUAAUUUAAAUUCAACUUCAAAAUUAGAAUUUAAAUUUAAAAUUGGAACCCAUCAAAUUUAAAUUAAAAAAAUACAACCAUGAAUUUUAAAAUUUAAUUCAAAAUAUCAUUUAACUUUAAAAUUAAAUUUUAAAUAUGAUUUAAAUUUAUAAAUUAAAAUUAAAUUUUAAAUAUGAUUUAAAUUUAUAAAUUUUAAAUCAAAAAACUUAACUUCUGAAAAAUAAAUUAGGGGCCGAAUAAAAAAACUUGAAAACAGUGAGUGCCGAUGUUAUAAUAAAUCCAAAGUUUUUUUUUUUUAUUUUCGCCCCCAAAAGUAAUUUCCCCCUCUCCAGAAAGAAAGUUAUGUAACACGUGAAAUAAAGAUUGAGAAAAAUCCACCUUCUUUUCUUUAUUUUAUUUUUUCAUUUUAUUUAUUUAUUUUUAUUUAAUCUUAUUUAACUUUAAUAUUAUUAUUUAAUUAUUAUUAUUUAUUUUAUUACAUUAUUCUAUUUUAAUAAUAGAAUUUAUUAUUAUAUUAUUAAUAUAGAAAUUGGAAAUAUUCUAAAAUAUUCUAAUAAAUAAUAGAAAUUAUUUAAAUAGUUAUUUAAAUUUAAACUUAAACAAAGUAUUUAAUAUUUAAAUAAAAUAAAAAGGAAGGUAUAUAUUUAUACUAAAUAAAAAUAUAUAUAUAUAUAUAAAUAUAUUAUAGUAUAAAUUGUAUAAGAAAAUAUGUAUAAGAAAAUAAAUAUAAGAAAAAUAAGAAAAAGAUAGAAAAAAGCAAUUGAUCAGGAAUUUAAUAUAGAUAAUGACUCAAAAUGGAUCUCCUCAAUAGAAAGAAUAUCUUAGUUCUUUGAUUUUAUACGAAAGGUUUAUUCUCCCGGCCUGAUCCGCUUAAGUACUGGCCGGGACAUUUAUUCUUUUAUUCCAAUGAAUCCUUCAUAGAUCAAACGAUUAAAUUUGGAAUUUAUAUCAAUCAAAAAUACUUGUUAUUGAAGCAACAACAACAAGAGAAAUUUCCAUUAUCAUUCCUAUGAUCGAAGUCCCAUUUAUUAUUAUUUAAUUUAAUAUUUCUUUUUUAUUCUUCUUUUUUUUUAUUGAAGAUUCUUUUUUUCUUUUUCUCAGUUUAUUACUUAAUUUCUUACUGUUGUCAAGUAAGGAAUAAAAAAACACAUAUGAUAACAUAUCAUAUAUAUAUACAUUAAACAAUAUUAAAUUACAUUUAACAAUUUUAAAUAUUUAAAAUAUUUCUAUUCUAACAUAUUUCUAUUCUAAUAGAAUAGAACUCAAUAUAACUCAUUUACUUCUUCAAGAGACAAAAUUGGAACAGUUGAGAUUCAAUUGACCCGAAUUCAUAAGAUCUGGCACUGGCAGUUGAAAAGAAGGUGAAAAAAGGGGGGUCCAUGUAUACAGAAUUUCGAAUUUUUAUAGUCUAGCUUCAAUCACCCCUUCAGGCGGGAACCAUUAGUUUAGUAAUGACUUCCCAGCAAACGAAAAGCUUACCUUUUUAUGUUAUGCUAUUUAAAUUUAAUUAUGUUAUUUAAAUAAGCUUUCCGCUCUUCGCUUAGCUUCUUUUUAUUUUUAUUUUAUUUAAGUCCCCGGCGAGACAAAAUACGUGUCAACGCUAGAAUUUUCACGAUUCUGAUGCUAUCUUGAUUUUGUCUCACCCCUUUUUUUGUUCGACAAAUGAUCCAUUCGUAUACAAUAAUGAAUAUGUAGCGGGUAUAGUUUAGUGGUAAAAGUGUGAUUCGUUCUAUUAACAACUUAAAUAGUUAAGGGGUCCAUCGGUUUUUUUUUUNACUAAGACUGGGAUAUUGUGUACUUGUUUAAACAUGUUCUUAUUUUGGCCUCGCGAAGUUUCUAACUUUUUGGAACCAAAAAUUAGUAGCUUGUUUUUUUUUUUUUUUUUUUUUUUUUUUUGGAAUUAUGUGUUGGAAUCAUCUUUUAGCUUUGUACUCAAUGCUGAGGAAUCUUAACUCCCUGGAGAGGGUCUUGUUGAUUGCUGCUGAAGCAGCCCAGUGAUUUUCAUUUGUGUUCUCUCUUUUGUUGGUUCCCUCGUUCAAAGCUAAUGUAAGGAUGAAUCAUUCUUGUUAAAUUUAAUGUCUUUAAUUAAUAUUAGUUAUAAGUUGUAGUUUGUUAUAAUUUUUUUGCACUAAGAAACAAUUAAAUUUAUUAAAUUUACUUAAUUUAGCGCUGCUCUUUUUACACUUGUCGCCGAGCUUUAGACUCGGCUAGAACUUGGGAUGGUACUAUCCGAGAAAAUUCAAAAUUUUAAAUUUUAAAUUAUAUCUAUUUUUCAUAUUUAAUAUUUAUAACAAUAAUAACAAGUAUUUCGCCAUUUGGGAAUUGAUACAAACAGGGCAAUGAGCAUUGAGCACACAGAAUAAUAGAAGAAAAAAAAGCAAAAAUAGCCUUUUUCACUGCAUGUGUACUUAUAAUAAAAAGGAUAAAUUUUAAAUACGACUUUAUAGUUUUAUUUUUUUUUAUUUAAUAUUCUGUGAUUUAAAAUAUAUCACUUUAAUAUUCUAUAAUUUUGCUUUUUUUUUCUUUUUGUCAGCAUUUUUGUUAACUUUUAAAUUAUAUACAAAAAACUUUAAUAUCCCACCUAAAAUUUAUCGAAUAUUUACUUUAAUAUUAUUAGGCCAAUAAUGCGUGGCCACGUGGUAUACUGGUAUGCUGGUGCAUCAUUUAACCCCAAUUUUUAAGAGCGAGGAUUAAGAGAGAUUUUGGUGUGCACCGAAAGUAUUGACAAUAUAAUUAAGUAACUGCCAGGUGUAAUUGCAAGAAGUUACAGUAACUGCAAGUGGUUACGUGCGGUUCUGAUCGGCUUGAAAUGGCCCGAAAAAUAGGGUAGUAGCCAAUCAUGGACGAAACAAUAACUGAUGUAAAUAAGCAAAUAGCCCAGAAAAGGAGUUUUUUCUCCGAAAAUAAAAGACCAUCUUUAUUUUCUCUAUAUUUUUCCCGUAUUUUUUAGGAGUAGUCUAAUUGUAAUCUUUUACUUUCCGACACUUAUUAUUUUUUUUAGGAGUAAGCUUAAGUUAGAUCAACCGAGUCUGUAUGUCCUCAAACACACUCGUCUCUUGUACUAGUUUCACACAGUAAUUCCAAUAUAUAAAGGCAUUCGGCCCGUCAGCCGACCUAAAAUACAGUGUAGAAUGUUCAUUCGGCUCAUCCAGCCAAACCGAAUCCAUAGUAGAAUGUUCUGAACUUGGCUGAUCCGAUCACUCAUCAGCUGAAUCGUUUGAUCUAGUCGAAGGGUGGAAACUUCGAGGGUCGCUAGUCACAGCCGUUUCACACCCCUACACUCUUCUCGAGAGACAUCUUUGACUAAGUCGAGGAUUAGGGAAUUCAGCUCCUAACAAAUAUCCUAUAAUUUCGACCUUAUCAUUAAUUUAAUAAAAAAAGUUAACAAAAAAAUUAACAAAAAAAAAAUCACAUAAUGCAAAAAAUACAUUUUAAACUAUAAAAUACUAAAAUCCCACAGCUGGUAUUCGAAGUUUUUUCAAAAAAAAAAAAGAAAAGAAAAAAAGAAAAAAACCGAUCAAAUUCGCAACACACAAACACACGCACGAUUCGCGCGAUUCACGAUCUCCUCCUGUUCUCGGCGUCGUGGUCGUGGUCGUUCCAGAGCUGGGUCCAGUUCGUGCGCGCCUCCUCCCAGCCGAGCGGCGAGCCCUCCCGCUCCGGAUCCCAGCUGGCCGAGAGCGUGCCGUACGCGAUCCCGAAGGCGGAGGUGCCGAACGCCAGGAGCGCCGCCACGAACGGCACCCACGCCGGCGCCGCCCACCCGCCCCCACUCUUCAGCGCCCCCAGCCCGCACACCGUCCCCGCCCCCGCCGCCAUCGGCGCCCCCACCGCCACCGCUAUCCGCCGCAGCAUCCUGUCGAACACCACCUGCGGUAUCUCAUCAUCCUCCUCAUCAUCAUCUUGUCUUUUGAUCUUGAUCUCGCCCUUUUUCGGGUCGGACGUCGCGGCGCCGGCGCCGGCGCCAGAGCCGAAGCCGCGGCCCUGGGCUCGUAAGGGUUUUGGGUUUCGAGUGAUGAUUAUAAUGGGCGCGGGAAGGGUUGUUGCGGUGCGGGGAGGAGAGGGGGAGGGGAGAGCGACGUGUUGGAGAAGAAGAGCAUUCAUUUUUCGGGAUUUGGUGCGCUACCUACGCAUGUUGGCCCCCCUGUUUACUGGGGAUGACGAUGAUAAUAUCUUCUUAUCCGGAGCUUUUUUGAAUGGUGUUGAUGCCUCGUACCAGAUAAUUUUUAGGUACUAAUAAAAGCCUAGUUUUGAAAUCGAUCCCUCAGAUUGAUACCCUCAACUUUCUAUUUUUUUUUUUUUAAAAAAAAAACUUUAAAUAUUAUUUUUGUGAUUUCGCGCUUUCUCACUUUAGUAUUUUUAAUUUUUUUUUUAUUAUUUUUUAAAGUUAAAAUUACAGAGUACUAAAGUGAAAAGUCGGUGAGCCACAGGAUACCAAGGUGAAUAUUCGAUAAACUAUUGAUAGGGUAUUUAAAGUUUAUUGAGCCGGCGAUGAAAAGAAAAAAAUAAAAUCGUAGAAUACUAAAAUAAUACACUUUAAAUUAUAGGGUACUAAAGUGAAAAAGUACGAAGCUAAUGGAGUGGUAUUUUAAUGUUUACCCUUUUUUUUUAUUUGAUUAUAUUUGUUAUUAACCAUAAAUUUUUCUAAUUUUAUAUGUUUUAUAACAUUUGUAAUCUUUUUCAUUAAGAUUACUAAACAUUAAAUAUUAAAAGUUAAAAGUGUUUUAAUUGAAAAGAUAAACGUUGAGCAGUCUACUUCUAGGCUGAGAAGUAGAGGUAGGGGUGCAAAUUGAACGGAUAUUAUUAUAUUUGGUUUAGAUUUGUAGUUAUCUAAAUUGAGAAUAAAUUCUAAUCUAAUUGGGAUUAGAUAUUAUUUAGAUUUAAUUUGGCAUAUAUGAAUUAUAAUUAGGAGUGUAAUUCUAAUCUAAUUAGAAUUAGACUCUAAUUAAAAGACAUGUAUUAUAUAUACAUGCUACGGCCAAGUUAAUGAAACUGCGACCAAAAAUUAAAAAGCCGUGACUUGAAUUAAGCUUGAGAGUUCUUGGUUCUGUACGCUCAAGGAGCCGGCCUUAUUAUGUCAUGCUAAUUAAUUAAAGGUGAGAUUGCUUGCUUCCGCGGAGGAGUUGUGAUGUACUAAUUAAUUAAGUGGCUUGUGAUGGUGUACGGUGGCAGCAACACCAUUAGCCAAUGUGCAUGGUGCCGUACAUCCUUGUUUUGGUGAGCCAAGCCGAGAUAUAUUAUCAAGACGUGCUAAGAAGGUGCCGUAUGAGGUAACGCGCGUCGAAUAUAUAUUUACUUUGGUUUUCGGUUUUCUUCGAGAAAUCUUCUUUGUACUCCGCCUUUUCGACAUUAAUAAAUUAUUUCCUCCGUCUUCGCCCGUGGACGUAGGCCCUGGCCGAACCACGUAAAUAUCGAUAUGUUCUUUCCGCUUAUCUUUUCGUUUCCUGCAUUAAAUUAUUUUAUUGAUCUAUUUUUCGCCGUUCCGAUUUUAACAAACUGGUAUCAGAGCCUUUCUAUUCCUUUUGAGGAUUAAGAUGACGACGAAGUUCGAGAUUCAGAAAUUUGACAGGAUUAACAGUUUCGCAUUAUGGCAAGUUAAGAUGCGUGCUAUAUUGACACAGCAAGAAUUGCAGAAGGCACUGUUGGGAAAAGAAAAGAUACCCGAUUCGUUAACUGCAGAGCAAAAGGAGGAGAUUGAUGAUAAAGCUCUUACGGCAAUACAAUUAUGUUUAUCCGAUGAAGUAUUGCGCGAGGUCUUGGAUGAAAAGACCGUUGCAGGGCUUUGGCUUAAAUUGGAGUCUCUCUACAUGACGAAGUCUCUCACCAACAAGUUAUAUUUGAAGCAACGUCUCUUCAUGUUGCGCAUGGCGGAAGGUACCUCUAUUAAGUCGCAUUUAGAUGAAUUUAAUUCUAUUAUUAUGGAUCUCCGCUCGAUAGAUGUCAAAAUCGAGGAGGAAGAUGAAGCCCUUUUGUUAUUAUGUUCUCUACCGCCCUCUUAUAAAAAUUUUUGUGAGACUUUCUUGUUUGGACGAGAUACUCUAUGUCUCGAUGAUGUUAAAUCCUCUUUACUUUCAAAAGAGAGAAUUGACAUACAGAUAAGUAACGAGACAGGUGGAGCUUCAGGACAAGGUUUGGUCGCUAGAGGGAGGUCUCGGGAGAAGGGUUCCGGUAAUAGAGGUAUAUCUAGAUCAAAGUCAAAGCACAAAAAUCUGAUUUGUGGUUAUUGUAAGAAGAAGGGUCACAUAAAAGCUGAUUGUUUCAAGUUGAAAAAUAAAGAGCAGCGGAAGAAUAAUGGUGAUAAGAAUCAAGGUCAGAAAAACACCAAUACUGAAGCAGAAGCAAGUGUUGCAGCAGGAGAAUCAGAUAAAAAUGAUAUCGUCUUUACAGUUACGGAUAAGACACGCAGACAGGAUGAGUGGCUUAUGGACUCCGCAUGUUCUUUUCAUAUCUGUACACAUAGAGAAUGGUUCUCGACGUACAUGCCUAUUGAAGGUGGAGAUGUAUUGAUGGGAAAUCACUCUAAGUGCACAGUUAUUGGAAUUGGCACUGUUCGGGUACGAAUGUUCGAUGGAGUAGUGAGGACUAUAUCUGAGGUUCGGCAUGUUCCGGAUAUGAGAAAAAAUCUGAUCUCAUUGGGUACACUUGAUACUAAAGGCUUUAAGUAUUCUUCAGCUGAUGGAUUAAUGAAGGUCGCUAAAGGGAAUCUUGUAGUGAUGAAGGCCAAGUUGUCCGACAUGUUAUAUGUUCUACAGGGUUCCACUGUGACAGGUUCAGCAGCGGUGACUUCUUCCUCUAUGUCAGAUUCGGAUAGCACCAAAUUAUGGCAUAUGCGACUGGGCCAUAUGAGUGAAUAUGGUAUGAUGAAGUUGGGCGAGAGAGGUUUACUUGGUAGUCAGAGUUUAGAAAAGUUGGACUUCUGCGAGCAUUGUGUUCUUGGCAAACAAAAGAGAGUCAGCUUUAAGGCCGCAGUUCACCGAACAAAAGGUACUCUGGACUACAUCCAUUCUGAUCUUUGGGGACCUUCUCGUACUCCUACUCAUGGUGGUGCUAGAUAUAUGUUGACUUUUAUUGACGACUAUUCUCGUAAAGUGUGGGCAUUCUUUCUAAAAAGUAAGGAUGAGGUGUUCAAUUAUUUCAAGCAGUGGAAGGUCAUGAUUGAGAAGCAAACUGAAAAGAAGAUCAAACGAUUAAGGACCGACAAUGGUUUGGAAUUCUGCUCGUCAGAGUUUGAAGAAUUCUGCAAAAAGGAAAGGAUCGUUCGACAUAAGACCGUUAGGCAUACUCCACAGCAAAACGGGAUGGCCGAACGGAUGAAUAGAACUCUUUUGGAGAAGGCCCGUCGUAUGCUCUCUAAUGUUGGCUUAGCAAAGAAUUUCUAGGCAGAGGCGAUCUCUACGGCAUGUUAUUUGGUGAAUCAAUCUCCACAUUCAGCACUUGAUUGCAAAACUCCGGAGGAGGUAUGGUCUGGCAGCCCUUCUGAUUAUUCUAAUUUGCGCAUAUUUGGUUGUCCUGCUUAUGUUCAUGUUAAUGAAGGCAAGUUAGAACCUAGGGUUAAAAGGUGCAUUUUUAUUGGUUAUGCAUCGGGGAUUAAGGGAUAUAGAUUGUGGUGUCCUGAAUCGUCUAAAUUAAUCAUUAGUAGGGAUGUCACAUUUGAUGAAUCUACUAUGUUAUAUCAUAACCAUAAUUCUUCUGAUGAGACCCCGAGUGUUAGCAAACAGGUGGAGGUAGAGACCGAUAGUAUAGUUCAGUCGCAGAAUUCUUCUCAGUCAGAACAAGUUCAGUCGACAGACACCUCAGUAACUGAAACCCCACAAGUUGAGAAGCAGAGCAUUGCUACAGGCAGAGCGAGGAGACAGAUUAAACCACCGCAGAUAUACGGUUAUGAAGAUAUGGUUGCUUACGCUCUUUCAGUAGCACAAAAUACAGAAGAAGAAGGUGAACCUUCCACAUAUAAUCAAGCUAUUUCGGGUGCCAGUUCUGCAGAGUGGUUGGUGGCGAUAAAUGAGGAGAUGGAGUCUCUCCAUAAGAAUCGCACAUGGGAGUUGGUAAAACCGCCUACAGGCAAGAAAAUUGUCGGGUGUAAGUGGGUCUUCAAGAAAAAGGACGGAAUCCCCGGCGUGGAAGAUACAAGGUAUAAAGCUCGUUUAGUUGCUAAGGGCUACAGUCAGGUAGAAGGUGUGGACUUUAAUAAUAUUUUCUCACCCGUCGUAAAGCAUACUUUUAUUCGUGUUCUUUUAUCGUUAGUAGCCAUGAAUGGCCUGUAUCUUGAGCAACUUGAUGUUAAGACAGUUUUUCUGCAUGGAGAACUUGAGGAGCAAAUUUAUAUGAAACAGCCGGAGGGAUUCAUUGUUGAAGGGAAGGAAGACCAUGUUUGCCUGUUAAAGAAAUCGCUUUAUGGCUUAAAGCAGUCUCCUCGACAAUGGUAUAAGCGGUUCGACUCCUUCAUGACAGGUCACGGAUAUUCCAGAAGGAAGCGUGACAGUUGCGUGUAUUUCAGAAAGCUUGAUAAGGGAUCUUUCAUAUAUUUGUUGCUCUAUGUCGAUGAUAUGUUAAUUGCUUCCAGCGACAUAGUUGAGAUAAAUAAAUUGAAGGCUUUACUUAAGGGUGAGUUUGAGAUGAAAGAUCUAGGUGCUGCUAAGAAAAUCCUUGGUAUGGAAAUUAAGAGGGACAACAAGUCAGGACUACUGCAUUUGACACAAGAGAAAUAUAUAGAGAAGAUUUUAAAGCGUUUCGGGAUGACAGACGCAAAACCAGUGAGCACUCCUUUUGCGGCGCAUUUCAGACUUUCCGCCGAGUUAUCACCGCAGUCCGAUGAUGAGCGGGAGUACAUGUCACAUGUUCCCUAUUCUAGUGCUGUCGGGAGCAUCAUGUACGCCAUGGUUUGCACACGGCCGGACAUCUCCUACGCAGUGAGCAUGGUUAGCAGAUAUAUGACCAAUCCUGGUAAGGCUCAUUGGCAGGCUGUUAAGUGGAUUUUGAGAUACUUACGAGGUACCACUAACACUUGUUUGGAGUUUGGGAGGUGUAAGGAUGGUGUGGUUGGAUAUGUUGAUUCGGAUUUUGCAGGUGAUUUGGAUAGGAGGAGAUCACUUUCAGGUUAUGUAUUCUCUAUUGGCGGAUGUGCAGUUAGUUGGAAAGCUUCACUACAACCUAUUGUCGCCUUGUCUACGACGGAGGCGGAAUAUAUUGCUAUGACAGAGGGUGUGAAGGAAGCUAUGUGGCUAAGAGGCUUAUUUGGAGAGCUUACUUCUUAUUGGGAUCCGACGAUUGUUUAUUCGGACAGUCAAAGUGCUAUUCAUUUGUCUAAAGAUCAAAUGUUUCAUGAGAGGACAAAGCACAUCGAUGUAAAGUUUCACUUUGUUCGGGAUGUGAUUGGGAAACGCACGUUGACAGUUAAGAAAAUUGGUACUGAGGACAAUCCGGCGGAUAUGCUUACUAAGUCCCUUACUAUUGCCAAGUUCAAGCAUUGUUUGGACUUGGUGGCAGUUAGCAGCAUUUGAGGCCCUAUGGGGCGUUUGGAGAAGACGGAGCACGGAGCGUUAAGGAGCAUUGAGGCGAAUUAAAUUCAAGGUGGAGUUUUGUGGCGACCUCGACAUAGCGACGGCUAAACUACAAAUUAAACCAAGGUGGAGAUUGUUAUAUUUGGUUUAGAUUUGUAGUUAUCUAAAUUGAGGAUAAAUUCUAAUCUAAUUGGGAUUAGAUAUUAUUUAGAUUUAAUUUGGCAUAUAUGGAUUAUAAUUAGGAGUGUAAUUCUAAUCUAAUUAGAAUUAGACUCUAAUUAGGAGACAUGUAUUAUAUAUACAUGCUACGGCCAAGUUAAUGAAGCUGCGACCAAAAAUUAAGAAGUCGUGACUUGAAUUAAGCUUGAGAGUUCUUGGUUCUGUACGCUCAAGGAGCCGGCCUUAUUAUGUCAUGCUAAUUAAUUAAAGGUGAGGUUGCUUGCUUCCGCGGAGGAGUUGUGAUGCACUAAUUAAUUAAGUGGCUUGCGAUGGUGUACGGUGGCAGCAACACCAUUAGCCAAUGUGCAUGGUGCCGUACAUCCUUGUUUUGGUGAGCCGAGCCAAGAUAUAUUAUCAAGACGUGCUAAGAAGGUGCCGUAUGCGGUAACGCGCGUCGAAUAUAUAUUUACUUUAGUUUUUGGUUUUCUUCGAGAAAUCUUCUUUGUACUCCGCCUUUUCGAUAUUAAUAAAUUAUUUGCUUCGUCUUCGCCCGUGAACGUAGGCCGUUGGCCAAACUACGUAAAUAUCGGUGUGUUCUUUCUGCUUAUCUUUUCGUUUCCUGCAUUAAAUCAUUUUCUGAAUCUAUUUUUCGCCAUUCCGAUUUUAACAGAUAUAGAAUAAAACUUCACUAGAAAGCUCUCCAAACGUUGGGGAGUGUUUUAUCUGCUGCAAUAUGUCAGUUCUACCUCUACUAAAAAUUUAUUGAAUAAUUUCUAAUACUAAAAUUUUUUAAAAAAUAAACUUUAGAUAAAAAAAUUAUAAUCUUUGGGUAGAUGCAAAAUAGUUAUAUGUCACGAGAUUAGGGGCUCCUCGACGGUACUUCACUUGGGAGCCCCCUACUAAAGUUAUUUUCCACGGAUCUAGAGCCAGGAGGAGGGUACCUCAAGCUCCCUCUCCAUUUUUUUUAAUGGGUCGGGGUGGAUUCUUAGCUGGUUAAUUUUUAUGCUAAUAUUUAUCCUCACUGACCAUUCUAUUUAUCAAGAUAAAAACGAACAUUUAGUAGAUAUUUAGCUGAUCGCGACAGAUGAAUGAAAAAAAAAAAAUCUUCUACUCCAUUUCUUAAUAAAACGGGAUGAAUUCGGAAUGAAUUACUUUUCUUUCAUUAUUUUGGCUCCUACUUAUCGCCUCAUUCAUGACGGGAGUUUCAUCAAUCCGAAUUCAUUUGCAUAUCUACGAAAGAGGUUCCACAAAAAAAAUCAUCUUUAGGAGUCGUAUUAAGGGUUCGAAACAUUUUAGAUUGGCAACCAGAGUAGACUGACUGAUGGUUGUUAUUACAGUGAGAAGGUUAAAAUCCUAAGCUAUAUUGGCAUUUUAAAAUGAGCAAGUAAAACUUAAAAAAAAAGAAAAAAAGAAAAAAAGAAGAAGAAGAUGAAGAAAUUCUCAUAUACGUAGUUAGAGCUUAUGGAGAGAGUACACGGGUCAAGAGGUUAAGUAGGGGAUAAGAUUGGAGUUAGUGAGGUAAAUUGUGUCAUUAAAACGCUUAACUAUCACUUUUUUUUAGAAGCAACCAUUGGCCCAUGUGCAAUGGGAAACAGUUUGGUGGGCCUGUUUAAUGUGAGUUACUGCAUCACUAAAUCUCUCUCUCUCUCUCUCUCUCUCUCUCUGGAAACAGUUUGUAACCUUUAUUUUCUAUUACUUCAUCUGCUUAUAGAAAUAUUAUAUUGAGUUCAUGGCGAUCACAACUCAUAAACUCUUCUUAUCCCCGCCCUCUCCAUCUCUACUCCCCUCAAAUUUCCAAAGAAUCCUCUUUUCCACUUCCCCGCAAGGAAAAUUUUGUGGUAAGAGGAGGUUCGUAGCCUCUCUCGUUUCCACUCUACCCAAUGCAGGGGCAAAGCCCUCACCAACAUCAUCAUUUGAGGAGGUUAAAAAACCUUCUUUUUUUUUCUUUUUUUUUUCUUUCUUUCUUUCUCUGCUUAUUUUUUAGAUUUUACUGUUUACUUUCAUGCUAAUUUUUACUUUUUUUUUUGGGCGUGUUUUUAGCUGAUCGAGUCGCUGAUAAACCGGAUCGAUCUAUCGGAAGAGGAAGCAGAGGCGUCGCUCGAGCUCCUUCUUCGAGAAGCGAAUGAGGCCCUCAUCAGCGCCUUCUUAGUACUCCUGAGGGCCAAAGGAGAGACCUUUGAGGAGGUUCUUGUGUUUUUUAUUGAUGCCCCUUUUGUGUUCGAUGAAUUGCCAAGCUGAUCUUGUUGCUGUUCUUUUGAAGAUUGUAGGAUUGGCGAGGGCGAUGAUGAAAUGCUGCGUGAGAGUGGAGGGCGUAGACGACGCGGUCGACAUUGUUGGGACCGGUGGCGAUGGCGCGAACACGGUGAACAUCUCGACCGGCGCUGCCAUUUUGGCUGCCGCGGCCGGCGCGAGAGUUGCAAAGGUGGUGGGAAUGUAAAUAAUGUGAAAAAAGUGAUCCCUUUUUUUUUUUUAAUGUUCCUAAGCAUUUGGUGGUUUGGUAUGUGUCUCAGCAAGGGAGCAGGUCGAGCUCUUCUGCGUGCGGAAGCGCAGAUGUGUUGGAAGAAUUAGGAGUGAACAUCCAAUUGGGCCCUGAGGUAGUGCGCCCAUAUGAAUUCAAUACGAAUUUCUUAAGUUUGGAACUCAUAAUUUUGCUAUUUUAAUGCUUGGUGAAAGCAUCACAAACUAUAGAAUUGAUAUUCACGUUUUUCGUGAUACAGUAACACCGCUGUGUUGAUCGUAAUGUAGUUUGAAUUGUCGGCAUCUAUAUGUGUAAACGACUUUCUAAAUCUGACCUAGAUCUUGUAUGCUUGUUCGAGCAAAAGAGUGACAUUCUUAGUGCUAAUUAUGUUUCUGCUGCAUUAAGGAGAUGAAAAGGUGUUUGAAGGAGGCGAGCAUCGGAUUCAUGAUGGCUUCCAAUUACCACCCGGCAAUGAAAAUAGUUCGUCCUGUGAGGAAGAAGCUUAAAGUGAAGACCGUGUUUAAUAUUCUAGGUCCCAUGUUGAAUCCAGCAAGGGUGCCUUUUGCUGUCGUCGGUGUUUACAAUGAAGAUAUAGUAAGUUUUCGUUCUUGCAAACUAAAGUGCUUUUCUUCUAAGGAGUGUGAUCAUAAACUAUCUUACAUACCUUCCAUUACACUGUAAUUUCAUUUGCUAGCAUUUCAAUCAUUACCUAAAUUUUCAUUCACUUCGUACUUAUUAAAUCUAUGAUAUUAUGAUGCUCUGCCUCGUGGAUGUUUCCGAAAACAUAUUAAUGAAUGCUGAAUGAAAUAACUCCUUGGAUAGGUUAUGAAGAUGGCUAAAGCACUACGAAGGUUCGGCAUGAAAAGAGCGUUAGUUGUUCAUUCGAAGGGUUUGGAUGAAUUAAGCCCUCUUGGUAUGAUAACCUGUUAAUAUUUCACGGGCUUGUGAUGGUCUUGUAAUUCUAUUCAAAGAGUUCCCACGGCUGCUACCUAUCCUAAUAUCCUAUUACUAGUAAUACAGAAUUAAAUUGUUGCAGGACCUGGAUAUUUUCUCGAUGUUACUCCAGCAAAGAUUGAGAAAGUGCACUUUGAUCCAUGUAUUUAUCUUUUUCUAGUAAUUUCUUAAUUCUUAGACAUGGUAUGGUCAUAAAAUUUGCUUAUUAAUGUGGUAAGUGAUGAUUCAGUGGAUUUUGAUAUUCCUCGCUGCACGAUAGAAAGUCUAAAAGGGGGCGGCCCUACUUUCAAUGCGAAGGUUCUCAGGGAUGUGCUUUCUGGUGAGAAGGGUUCAGUUGCAGAUGCUUUUGUGAGUCACUCGUCCUUUCAUAGUCACUUACUCUGGUUUCUCAUAUCUCAUGGACUGGUCUAAAUUAUAUGAAACACCUUUAUAAAUGCCGCAAUGUUCGUUUUGGUCCCCCAAAAUGCUUUGCCUAUAUAGUACCCUUCCAAAUUCUCAGUGUUCCCAUAGGUGAUAUCUAUCACGUUGCUCCUAGAUUAUAGGAGCAAAAUGUAUGUAUUCGGACUUUUCAUGUUCUGAUUUGCUUUAGCAAAAGUAGCAGCAAUAUCUUUGAGCCAAUUGGGAACAAUAACUGACAAAAUUUCUCUGACCGAAAUUUGUCUAUAGAUGUUAAUCUUGUUGAUCUUUUUGCAGCAUUUGCACAAGCCUAAUUUGUUUCGAAUGGAUGUAGAUUCUGAACACGGCAGCUUCUCUUCUUGUUAGCGGUCAUGUUAGCGAUUUGGCCGAAGGAGUGGCAAUGGCACGGGAGACACAGCGGUCUGGUAAGGCCAUUAAUACACUGCAAACAUGGAUUGAGCUCUCCAAUGUAAGCACUAUCACCAUCUCUCUCUAAAUGCAUUUUUUGCGCUAAUUCUAUUCGAUUAAGAGUCCCAUUCUUAGUGAAAUCUUUUUAUGUAUAUGCAGGCUCAGAACUACUGAGGUAAAAAGAGGAUGGUUGGUAUGCUCAAAAUAGAACCUUGCCUGUCAAACACAAGGUUUCCGUAAGUUCAAUCAGCAAUUAUCAACCAUUUCGAAAUAAUCGAGCCUGACAUGAAUCAAAAUAAGCCCUUUUUUCCUCUCUUUUUUGAGUUAAUGAUUUGUAUUAGUUGUGUGCCAAUCGAUACAUCGUAGCAUUUAAGGUGAAUGAUAUUGCCUAUUAAUGGAAGAUCUCUGAGCAUGAACUGCAUUUUCUUUUUUAUUUUUUUUUAAAAAUCUGUAUUUUCUUUAACAUGUCCAUAACACAUGUACGAUUAGGGUAGAGAUGAAUGUAGCAAUAUAUUUACACCAAAAAACAAAAAGAAACCAAAACAAAGGAUGGCUUGAUGGCCUCAGAAUGCGAGGGACAUACUCCGCAAACGCAACAAUGCAAUCCAAUCUGCAGAGAUCUUUGGUUCAUCUGAUCUUUGCUGCUGCCUCUCUCCUCGGCUUUCCCUGCAGCCAUAGCGCCGACCAACAUCCGAGGGUGGCGGGCUUUGUAUCCCUGAAAGAUCAAACAAAGGAAUAGUUAAUCGAAUUGUCGAGGAGAUCAGUUAGCAUGCAUAACCUUUGGGUGUCUCCCCUACUGCUUGAUUUUGUCAGAUUUUCUUUAUUGCAACACCAUCAGAGUAAGCCAUUAUUAGAUCCUAAACUUCAACCUGAGUGCAAGUCUCUAGCAGAUCAGAGAAGCAGCAACUAGCAAGAUUGAUUUUUUCUUUUUUUCUUUUAUGAGAGGGAGUGAGAAAAGAUGACAUGCUAUCUGCAUCGUUUAUUAUUUUUUAGAAAUAAAUUUAGCGCAAAAUAUAAAGCAAUUAAGCUUUAAAUUGGAACGUCAAAUAUUAAUCAUUAAGCCUUUUAUCAGUUGCAAUAGCUGAAAAUGUGAAGCAGUCAGACUUUAAAUUUAAGGACACCGAAUAUUAAUCAUCAUAUCUUUUGUUACUUGCGCUAGGAACAGUUAGUAGUUAUCAGUGUAUUUGAAUCGAUCCAUAUUAUGGCUCUAUUUGGAUUCAUAAACAUUUUAAUUUGCAUAUCUUUUUAUUUACUAAAGAAAUUUAAUUUAUUUGAUAGAUUAAUAGUACUAUCAAAUGUCUACAAACAAAAAAAAAAAAAUCACCUUAUAUAUAAAAUAAGGUGAAAUAUUCUAUCCUCACACUAAAAAAAAAGAGAGAAAUAUUCUCCUCACACACACAAAAAAAAAAUUCUUAUACCUAGUAAGUUAUUAGUGAAUAAUUUAUUUUGACAUUCAAAUAGGGCCUUUACACCAGCUUGUUACUUUCUUUUGCACAUUAGUUGUACUAUGAACAUUAAUAAAUGUUGGUAAUGGUACCAACAGAAAAUGUUUGUUGAACCAGAUUAGUGUGCACUACUGACUAAAGUUAAACAUGAUCUAGUCAACUUAAUCCUUACCUAAUAAAUAUUCUUUUCUUUGUACACAAAAUCAAUUAAUAUCUUGUCAAAAAAGAUAGGCUGAUUUAAUUAUGGCUACAUAUUGACCCGGUCUCUCUUGAAGAAUAUGUAAGCAUACUUUGGGCAGCUAACCCCAAACUAACCUCCUCCUCCUCUACCUACCUCUAAACUAGAAAACUUCUUUGUUUUAUGAAAAUCAAGUACAAUUAUUAGGUGGGAGAAAAAAAAGAAGAAGAAGAAGAAAAAGAAUAGGAAUCAGAGAAGAUCCACAUAAUCCCCUGCAAAAUAUUAUAGUUCCUGGGUCAUUGGAAUUUGGAACGAGUUCAUUCUACUUGGGUACACUAUGUUUGUUCUAAUUCAUGGGGCUUUUGUUUCAAUUUAUGAAUAUUUUAUUCAAAAUAUGUUUAUUGAUUUAGUCAAAAUGUUUGUAGUAUUUGAUAGAUAGAAGUGCAAUACGUAUACAGACUUUAGGUUAUUUUUCGAAAUAAAUCACUUUAUAGAUAUAUAAAAAUAUGCUAGCCUAUUAAAUUAUAAAUAUAAAUAUUUUUUAAAGAGCAAAACUCGAAAACCUUACACUCGAUCUAUAAAAAAAAAAUUCUCUUACUAAAUAAGUUAUAGUCACCAUUAUGAAAAACUGGAAACUUAUUAUUUAAUUAAUUUUUCCUGAAUGUAAAGAGGUCAAAUAUUUUUAGUGAAAAAUGUACGGAAGCCCCUCAAUUUUAGCUUUUUGCAAACAGGCGGCCAAACUUUAAAUUUUGGAAAUUACACCAAAUUUUAUAAAAUAUUUGAAUAUGUGCCCUCUCUUCAGUUAAAGUUACUAAUUAUACAACUAUUUUGUCAUAUAUCUUAAUUUUAUAAACCUUCAAAACACUAAAAUAUUUAAUUUUCUAUUCUAACAUGUAAAAAGGCAGCAAAAAUAGGAGUUAAGUUCACCAUAUAUUUCAACUCCUAUGCUUAAUUAUCAAUAUUAGAAGAGAACAAAUAAGUUUUUUUACAAUUUGGAAGUACAAGAUUAUCUGUGUGACAUCUAAUCAAAACGGCUAUAUAGUUAGUAAUUUUAAUCGAAAAGAGAGUCUAUAUAUAAAACAAUCAGAUAAAAUUUUAAAGAUCUAAUUGUCAAAGUUAAAAGUUCGACAUCUAUUCUAAGAAUCUUUGUACAUAUUUUCCAUAGAAAAAAAUUCUGUCCCAUGAAAACCUAGUAGAAUUAUAUAGGUGAAAGAAAAUUACAAAAUCAAAGAAGAUCCGCAUGUCCCCUACAAAAUUUUGCCAUUCCCAGGUCAUUGGAAGCCAAUCAAUCUAAUUGUCUUGCACAAAACUAUCAUACUAAAUUCAUGAAACCAAUGGUUCCAAUAUAAAACAAUUAAUUUUUCUUUCCUGAUGCGAAAAAAAAGGCUCAAAUAUAUCUACCAACAAGUUUAAACUGAAGGCAAAAAUAUACAAAGCAUAACUGAACUAUUGACCAUUUUGAUUUGAUUAUUCAAUCUUUCAAAACUUUAAUUUUACUAUCCAACCUUUCAAUUUAUUUAAUUUGAGCUAGUCGACGACACUUUGAUUUUAGAAUUUAAAUGCGCCGUUUAUAUUUAUAGAUUUAACUAGUAUAUUUUAUACAAUUCUCGCAACUAGCUGUAAAUUUAGUAAAUUAAGUAGCUUAUGUAAAUUUUAAAGUCAAGAUAUCGCUGACGGGCUCAAAUCAACCAAAAUGAAAGAUUAAACAGUAAAAUCAAUAGUUUGAAUGAUUAGAUAAUCAAAUCAAAAAUGAUUCAUAGUUUGUAAAAGUAUGAAUCACUAAUUAAUUAAAUUACCUCUUGUUGCACUCUGUGGUGGCUCUAUGAACUGCACCCCUACUCAUUCUUGGUGCAGUUAAGCUCCUCGUCAAAGAAGCAGGCAAAUACACAUUCAAGAGCACUCCAUCACUUGCACUCCUGAAGCUGCCGUUGCGGACCAUGAUCUUCUUUUUCUCCUUCACCACUCUCGUCUUUGGAUCAAUCGGCUCUCCUCCAUGCGACGAAGCCGCCGCCUUUUCCUUCGACACCGAACUACGCGCGUCGACCGAUCCCUUCUCGACGAUGUCGGUGAGGGAGAGCUCGUAGUCGGACUCCGGGACGUCGCGCAACAGCCCGAGGAGCUCUUCCCGGCCUCCGGCGAUCUCUCGCGCUCUCGACGAUAAAUGAACGAAGCUGAACUCUUCCAUUCUCCUCCCUGGGAACCUGCGGGGAGUGUUCCCUGAGGGUGCAACUUUGCUCUCUUUUGAUUUAUGAGCCUUUAUAGCUAUCAUAGCUCAGCUGGUUAGAGCGAAUUAGUUAAAGGAAACAAUAUAUAAGCUUCUUUAAUUUCCUCUUUUUUAUGCUACUAAGUAUUUAUAGUAUAUUGAAGGGGGAUUAGGUGUGGCCACUCAAGAAAGUAAAUUAAUGCACACUUUUUUUUUCAUGUAUUUCACUUAAUCAUCUACUUAAAAUCUUAAUAAUGGAAAGUAAUUAAUAUUAGCCGAAUAAUUAAGAAAUAAUAAAUGACGUAUGCGAGAAAUACGGAAGGAUCUUUUUUUAACAUAAAAAAUUUAUGAGUCUUCCGGUAUAUAAAUUAAUUUUUAGUAUUUUUUUUACUAAUUAAAUUUUUUUUUUGUAUUUUACAAAUUAAUAUUUUUUUAACUAAUCUAAUUAUUUCUCAACUAAUUAAUUAUCUAACGAAUUAAAUAAUUAUCUAAUUAGUUUAUUAAUUUAUUACAUUACAUGUGGUUAAUUAAUUUAUUAAUUGAUAUUUAUGGUUAAGUAGAAGUACUCAUGAUUAAAUAAUAUAUAAUAAUAUUUUUGUUUUGAAACUAUAAUUAUUUUUACUUUUAUUAUUCCAAUCCAACCAUUUAGAGGCGAAUUUUUUUAUUCAUUGAAAUAACACUAUUUUCAUCCAAAUACAAAGUUGGUAAAUUUUUUAUUUAUCCUAAAAGUUGUAUUUAUAUUAGAAAUAAUUAGGAAUAACUUAUUUUUGAAUCAAGCGAUGCCUACAAAAUUUGAAUAAUUUUGAUGCAUUUAACCCAAAAAUUGAAAAAGAAAAAGAGGGGAAAAAAAGAGGGCUUGGUUGAAAAUUUAGGAGGCUGUGUAAUUACAACUGUCGUGUUGGAAAAAGUUUGUAGUGAUGGCCCUUUCAGUUGCUGUGUCCUGGUGGGCGAAAAAGAUGGACUCAGUUGAAUUGACCGAGUAUUCGACAUAUUGGACCUGAUUUUGGACUCCAGAAGGUUUUAAUUCUGUGUAAAUUUCAACGCGUAGAGCUACUGUCGAAAGCGUAAGUGAGUUGGUGCUUUCGACUUUUAGACGCUCAAAUUAAGAACUAUAGGAUUGGGACAAUAGUUGUUCCUUUUAGGGGCCGUUUGGUUAAAUAUAAUUACAAAUGCAGUAUAGUUGAAAAUACAUACAGUUGAAGAUACAGCAGUUAUAACUACAUGAUCAUAUUUGGUUGGAUGUAGUAAAAAGCGCUGCAAUUAUAAAUAAUCUGUUUAGUUGCAUAUAGUUGAGGAAUAAUUUUUAAAAUUUUAUUAUUUUAUUUUAUAUAUAUAAUGGUGAGAUUACUUCUAAUGUAAAAAAAAAGAAGUAUUUUUAUCGUUUGUUUAAAGUUACACUCUCCAACUGAUGCAGUUGGAACUACGAUCAAAUUUCAACUACUGCAGUUGGAGCUCCUCUUACAAUUCUUACUGUAGCAGUUGGAGUUAAAUACAUCAAACCAAACACCGAAUUUGUAUUUACAUACAGUUACAACUGCGUGCAAUUACAACUACAUACAACCAAAUGGCUACUUAGAGUUGAGUGGUUCCUCUAUUGUAAUAAUAUUAAUUCAAAGAUAAAAAAUAAUCAAAAAGAUUAAUUCAAGUACUAAAAAGUUGGAAGCACGAACUCCCCAAUCCUUCUGAAAGCAUAGUAGUUCCAUUCAAUUUCAAUUUAUCAUUUUGUGAUUUAGCAUAUUUUUACACUUACUAUUUUAUAGUUCAAAAAUUAUACUUAACUAUACUAUUACUUACUAUAUUUUUAUUUUACCAUCCCACGAUUUAAAAAAGUCUCAUUUAAUUACUCUAUUAUUAUUUUUUUAUUUCAUUUUAAGGGCAUAUCGUUCUCUAUCUUUCUAAACCGUAAAAAGUUACUCUCUAAUGAAAUGUUCAUAUUAAAGCAGUAGAAUUUUACCAUUGCGGGAAAGACGGUAAUUAACUGAUGGAAUUUCUUUUCAAUUCAAUAAAUUUAAUUGAUUUUGAGCCUAUUUGGUUGAAUGUGAUUAAAAAUAUAGUAUAGUUAAAGAUACAAUGCAGUUAGUUAUAAAUAGUGAAAUACAAUAUUUACAGCUAAGGCUCCGUUUGAUACCCUUAAAAAUGUAGUAUAGUUCAACUAUAUUACACCAGUAGAAAAUUUAUCCUAUGAAGUGUUUAGGAGCAAAAAAUAGACCAUAAUUUUUGGAGUAUAGUUAAACUAUACUCCAAAAAAUGGAGUAAAAUUAUAAUCCACUGUAACCAAAGAAAAAAAAUUUCAUCAUUCUUGGGCAAAGAUGCAUCAAGUUCUAAAUUUUAAAUUUCAACAUGAAAUUUUUAAUUUCAACAUAGCUUUCAAAAUUUAAAUUUAAAUUUUAAAAUUUUACAAUUUAAUUUAUAUUCAAAUUUUUAAUUUCAAAUUUAAAAUUUGAAUUUUAAAUUUGAAAUAUCAAAAAUUAAAAUUUAUAAUUUCAAAAUUUAAAUGUCAAAUUUUAAAUUUUAAAUUUUUUAAUUUCAUAAAUUAAAAUUUUAUUUUUCGAAUAUCAAAUUUUAAAUUUUAGUUUACAAAUAAUAAAUUUUAAAAUUUUUAAUUUAUAAUUUUAAUUUUUAAUUCUAAAUUUUUUAUUUUCAAAUUUAAUUUUUAAAUUUCAAUUUUCAAAUUUCAAAUUUAGAAUUUCAAAUUUUAUUUUAAAUUUUAGUUUUCAAAAUUCAAAAUUUAAAUUCAAAAUUUUUAAUCUAAAUUUAAAGUUUCAAAUUAANAUUUUAAAUUUUAAAUUUCAAAUCUCAAAUCUCAUAGUUCAAAUUUCAAAUUUGAAUUUUAAAUUUGAAAUUUAAACUUUAAAUUUUAAAUUUAUUUUUUAAAAUUUAAAUUUUAAAUUUUAAAUUUCAAAAUUUUAAAAUUAAAUUUAGAUUUUUAUAUUUUUAAUUUUUAAUUUUAAAAUUUUAAAUUUUAAAAUUUUGCAUUUCACAUAUCAAAUUUUAAAAUUUAAAUUCCAUUGAAAUUUGAAAUUUGAAAUUUUAACUUUUAAUUUUAAAAUUUAGAUAAAUUCCGUGAAAUUGCACAAUGUGCAUUCAAACAAUUUAAAAAUUGAACCCGUGGAAUUUGUUUAGAGUUAUAGAAUUUCCUAUUUCAUUCGGACGAAAAUCACAAUUUAUAAAUUUCGUGGAGAUUUUUUUACUGUGCAUCCAAACAGGCCCUAAAUGCAUGCUUUUUAUUGGAUAUAGUAGAUAAAUAAUUUGUUUAACUCUGUGGAGUUGAAAAAUGUAUUUUUACAAUUUUAUCACAAAUGUGGCAGUAUGAUUAUCUUCAAAUAUAGAAAAAAAAUAUUUUUUAAAAAAUUACGGAGAUAAAUUUUAUAUUUUAUUUCAACUCUAACAAUUAAAUUUAAAUAUAUUAAAUUUAAAUUUGUAUGUGCGACAUCCCUGUAUGUACGCCGUAAAAGUGGCUCUGUUUUAUUUUUUCUCUUUUUUAAGGGUUAAAAAAGAUCUGCCGUGGCAUUAUCUUGGACGUGUACGCUGGGUCAGUUCUAUGAAAUUCGGUACUUGGAAUUUUUGAAAUUUGAUGUUGACCAAACAAGACAUGCACCAAAUAUGGAGCGUAUCUAGCCGUACAAAGAGUGGUCCCCACUUAAUGCAUUUAAAAAAAAAGAAUCAGGGAAUGGAGCAGUAGUCAAGCAAAUGGAUGCCUCUUUGCAGAAACUUGCUUGCCAAGGCAAAACUAAGAAUUUGAAAGACUGACUUAGGGUGGUUGCCAAUGAGUACAUAUAUUCAAAUUUUUAUUCAAAUUUAAAUUUGUAUAAAAUAAAUUUAUUUAAUACUAAAUAGAUAUAAUUUUAAAUAUGAGUAUGAAAAUAAAAAUUUUAUUUUGAAUCCGAAUUCGAUCGGAGUGAGUUUACUCGAUACUAAACAGAUGGGCAUAGAAAAUAAAAAUAUGAUAGAUUUGAAUUCGAGUACUGAUUUUGUCCGUACUCGAUCUAAGCCUGAACUCGAUCGACUCGAAUCCGAAUUAAUUUCACAAUAUAUAUUGUAUAUGAUUCUUUGAUAUUAUAUUUAAAUUUGUAUUUUAAAAAUUUAGAUUUUAAUAUAAUAUGUUUUGAUAUAUGGUAAAGAGAAAUAAUUUUUUUAGGUUCGGAUUUUAAAUUUUUUGUCGAGUUCGAAUUUGGAUAUAAAUCUUCGAAAUUCUCUGUAUUCGAAUUCUGAUUCAGACUCGGGUUUUGAAAAAUUCGCUCUCCUCAUCCGACGCAUUGACGUUCCUGGACUGAAGCAACUGUCCCAUAAUGCAUAGGCUUUUUUAAAAAAAAGGUUACCAUGUAAUGCAUAGCUUACACUCGAGAGACGAGGAAUUAUUUCGAUAGCGGAGAAAAGAAAAAUACUAUUUGUACAUUCAAAAAUAAAAUAUAAAUUUUAUAUUUAUUAAAAAAUUAUCUUUUAUAUUUUUAAUAUUAAAAAAAUUAAGAGUGUUAUAAUAAUACUGUAAUUUUUUUUUUUGAGAAAAAAGGAGUAUGCUAUCCGUUUCGUUUAUUUUUUUAAAAAAUAAAUUUAACUAGAAAUGCGAAUCAACCAGGAUUCAAACUUAGGAUUUCAGAUACCAGCCAUCCCCAGAAAUUAGUAUAGCCCAUAGCCACUCACUUAACGUGUUUAAGGUCUCCAAAAGGAGGUUACUCUAGGAAGGUCUCUGCAAGGAAGUGAAUUUUAACUGAGACAACGAAAGUUCUUUGCCAUUUGCAUUAGGGACAGCCGAUAAUAUUAUAAAAAUUUGAAAAAAUUUCAAAUACCACCAUGUGGUUUCGCACUUUCUCACGUUAGUACUCUGUAGUUAGAACUUGGUUAGAUGCGGUUUAGUGGACGACGGAAAUUUUAAAUUACAACUAUUUUUAGAUUUAAGUUAUAGCUACUCUCUGAUUAGAUUACACUUAUUACUUCUAAUGUUGGUAGGAAUAAGAUUAAAAUUUAGGUGAUUGUGAAUGCCUAUUGUAUCUAUUGGCAUUCAAUUCCUUUGAAAUGGUUACAUAUCAUUUCCUCAAAUCGCUUUUGAAAUUCUGUUGAAAGUCAUAUUCAGUGAUGAUAGAAAUAGUAGUCAUUAAACAAGUUUAUUGGCAUCAAGAGAAACUUAAUGUCUCUUAGGAUAUGUUUUGUUUACCUUUUUUAAACUAUGAAAUCAGAAUGAAAUUUAUUGAUUUCGAUAGUUAUUGUUUGUUUUAUAGAAAUCAAAUUUUGGUUUUUAUUUCACAACGGAAUGGGAAUGGCUAAAUUUAUUUAUAACCUAAUCCGUCUUUGAAUUCCAAAUUAACCUAUUUCAAAGUAAACUAUUCAACUGUCUUUUUCACGGACACCUACCUCCUCUCUUUUUAUCACUUUUCUCUCUCUUAAUCAAACUUUUCUCUAAAAAAUUUUAAAUUUUCAUGCCGAUUUUCAUUCCAAUAAUGAACCAAAUAUUUUUGUAUGAUUCGUUAUUUCGUUUUUUAUUCCAAAGUAAUCAAACCGGUAUUAGGAUAUGUGUUGAUUAAUUUUUUUUUAAUAUGAAAUGUUUGGAUGUUUCAAAACGGUAUUAUAAUAAAGUGUAGUGGACUUCUCCGUUACAAGUUAGUGCGCUCAACAGACAACAAAAUUAAUAAAGAUUUAAAAAAAAACAAAACUAAGUAAAUAUUCAUGCCAAAAAAUUAAACUUGUACCAACUAUUUAUUAAGAUUAGAGGGCUUGGGAGGAUUUGGGACUAGUGUAGGGUGCAUUAAUUUUGUUAUUGUAGCUUGGUUUGCUUUUUUUUUUUUUAUUUCUUUUUUUUUCUUUUGCCUUUUCCUUUUUGUUUUCUCUUCUAUUUCUAAGCGGCCUUAUUGCUGCACCUUUGUAGCUAAAUUUAUAUUCUUAAUGAAUAAAGCCAUAGUAUGCUAUUUUUUUUUUUUUUAAAGAAUUCUCCAAAGAAGAUUAUUUUGUUUUAAAGGUGAGUUUAUCAACAACUAAAGGGAUAAUAAUUAAAACAAGAAAUGGUAUCUUUGUACUGAGUAAUUCGUGGCAACGCGCAUGUAAUCACAUGAAAAUGACACAAAAAUAAUUUUUCCUCCUGAAUUUUUUGUCUGCGUAAAAAGUGAUAGCUUUUAUUUUCUAAAUAAUAGGGAAAAUUUUAAAUACUCCCCUUGUGGUUUCAUUUUUUCUCACCUGAGUACUCUGUGGUUUAAAGUGUAUCAAGUUAGUAACCUGUGGUUUUGCACUUUUUCCACUUUAGUACCCUGUGGUUUAAAGUGUAUCAAGUUAGUAUCCUGUGGUUUCGCACUUUCUCACUUUAGUACUCUGUGGUUUCGCACUUUCUCACUUUAGUACCCUGUGGCUUAAACACCACAGAGUGCUAACUUGAUACAAAAAUAAAACUACAGAAUACUAACUUGAUACACUUUAAACAAUAUGGUACUAAAGUGAAAAAGUGCGAAACCAUAGGGUACUAACUUGAUAUAUUUUAAACUAAAGGGUACUAAAAUAAAAAAAUACGAAACCACAGGGGGCCUUUUUGAAGUUUUUCCUAAAUAAUAAAUGAAUAGAUUCGUCUGAGACAGGAAUGUAAAACGGGUUGGGCGGUUUAGCUCUUCGGACGGUUAUGGGCUAGCACUUUGGGACGCGUCUACCCGACAUAGCUGGGCCUAGUGUGCAGCCCACAGCCAAGUCCCAAGGCCCGGUUGGGUCUCGGGACUUGUUUUGAAUUAGCUCUAAUAAUCAAAUAUAGUUGAUUAAAUAGACAUGGUAACAAUUGUAUGUUUUUUUAAGAAAAGGAAUAGCUUGCUACCGCUUCAUUUAAUAAGAGAAUAAAUUGACCUACAAAGUGAGACAGCUGAGGUCUUAAUCGAACGAAAAAAAAAACUAUACAUAAAAAGAAUCCCAAAGGGCACGAAGCGAUCUAGCGUUCGCUAGGAACUGUUUCGGAGUGAUCUUUUUAUUUUUGAAGAUUUUAGUGUUAUACUUUAACUAGAUAGUCCACCGUGAAGAAGCAAUUGUCAAUAAUUCCCUCCGUCCGCCUUUGGAGUUUGUUACGGCCCAAAAACUAUUCAUUGAAGAGCUAAUGUGUAAAAAAACUCUUAUUCGGUAGCUGAUCCUCCAAUAUAAAUUUGACUGUAUCGUACUUCACAAAAAAGUGGUCUGUCGUCUCAAGCUUCACCCUAUAGAAAACGUAGUCCAUAACAAUUGUAUUAUUAAUCACAUCAAUAUUAUAUUACUUAUACAUAAAAAAAGUAAAUUGAUAAUUAAUUAAUUAAAUUAAAUUAUAAAAUUUAAUAAUAAUAAUAAUAAUUAAAAAAUCAAAAUAAAAAUUAUAAUAAAUUAAUAUUUAAGAACUAAAAUAUUAGGCGCCAUAAUUUGAGAACAAAGUAUGUAAUUUAGCCUUUGUUGUUAUUAUUUUAUUUUAUUAUUAAUGCCCGUUUCCCUCUCGCUCAUCAUCUAUUCGUUACGGUCGCACGCGUUUCCCCUUCUCUCUCUCUCUCUCUCUCUCUCUCUCUCCUCUUUGCCGUGUUCGAGGGCAUAGUCGCAUAUAAAGCAAAGUAUCGGCCCCUUCCUUCUCCUUCUCCCUCUAUUUAUUCUCUCUCUCUCUCUCUCUCUAUACUCUCUCUCCUCACUCUCCUCUCUUUCUCUCUCUAAAUCUCGCCGCCGCCGCCGCCGUCCUCGGAAGGUUCGAUCUACUACACUUCUCCAUCGUCCCCUUCGAUGGCUCUUCCGUACUUGGAAGCUGUUCUGGGUACGCUAAUGACUUCAUCUAUCUCCCAAUCUACUCGUUUUCCAUCGAUUCUUUGGUUUCUUGGUUCGAUUCUUGUGGUUGCUGGACUUGUGAUGUGCUUGUAGCAUUGUUCUUGAUGCGGGAUUGGGGUUGGAUGUUGUUGUUUGUCGCAUUUUUGGAAAGGAACGGGAAAGAGACCUUUUUGCGAGAGGUGGGGUUUUGGUUCUUGGAUGAUUAGGGUUUUAGGAUGUCCCUGGAGGCUACGAAAUUAAGGAUCCGCUCUAUAUCAGGAUCUUGUUUAAUUAAACAAAGAAUAACGUGUCGAUAUGCGAAUUGUGCUGCAGUUAAUAUCAAAAUCCUGUGGAAUUUGUAACUGUUUAAGUUAUUCCGUACUUUGCUUACUCUGCUAAUGUUUCUCUAUCAUUUUUGAAUAUCUGUAGUUUUGUUUAUAGUUGUCAUUGUAUAACUCGUAAUGCACUUGGUUCUACAGAUUUAUUAUUUACCCAUUCUCUGGAAUACCAUGAUUGUUGGCCUUAGAAACACUAACGUAUGUGAUAAAUGAUGCCUCGGAACUUUUGUUAGUUGAUUUACAUUGUAUACGAUUUUUGUCUAACAAGGUGUCUUAUUGCUUUGCAGUCGAGUUAAGUAAAAUUGUUGUGUCACGUAAAUCACAUAGAUCCUAUGUGAUGAGUUGUUCGUUUUCUAUUUUGCUAUCCUUCUUCUGUCAUGUUCGCACAAAAGAGUCCUAUUAUGCACCGGUUCACUUGGGAUCUCAUUGCAGAGACUAAAGCAUGUUGAAUAUACCCUCAUUCUGUUGUUAUCUUUUCGAGGCAAUUAACAUCUCUUAUUUUGACUGGAUUAAGAAGCAAUUAUCAGUCUUUAGUUGUAACAAAAAUUGUCACUAAUAUAUCAUGUUUUAAGGCCUGUUCUUUUUUCCUGGAUAUUUUCAAGAUAUUUGAAGCUGAAAUCAACUAUAGCGGCAUCAUAGCAGCUUGACUCCGGUAUUGGCACUGCAGCAAUAUUAUAAACUUGAUUUGGCAUAAGCGGGCAAUGAAGCAAAAGGAUAAAUAAGCUCCUAUUAGAUGUUAUCCAAUUAUGUACUGAGAAGAUGGAAACCUGUGAUAAAUGAGCAUUGUUUUUUCCCCUGAAAUGACAAGAUGUCUUCUAUUGCUUAACUCUAUUAUAUUUUACCUCAUACAUUUCAAGAAAUAAGAAACAUGCAUUGAUGUUUUAGUAUGAGUGAACAUUGUACUAUGAUAGUACAAUGCUGCUCGCAAAAUUGCCUUAACAAGUUAAGAAUUUGUUGGGGGCAUUUGAGAGGGAUGUAUUAUGUGAUAUUUUAUGAGAAAUCUUAUUCCUGAUUUUUACAGUUUUGUUGUUACACAUGCAAAUACAUAUGCUGUGUUGACUUCAAUAAAUUUUUAGUAGGCUCUUUAUUUUAGAUAGAGAAGAAGUAUGUUUAUUCUUUCUGUAGUUUGUUUUAGCCAUUUUGAAAGAUAUAAGCUUUAAAUGUACCUUUUUUUUUUUACAGGUUUUAUGAUAUUGAUGUACAUUUUUGAGACCUAUCUCAACAUUCGGCAGCAUGCAGCUCUAAAGCUGCCUACACUACCAAAACCAUUAGAAGGAGUGGUUAGUCAAGAAAAGUUUGAGAAGUCUAGAGCUUAUUCCCUUGAUAGAAGGUUAGAUUCUUACAAUGAAGUUCAUAAUUCCACUUUUUCAUCUUAUAAUGCUGUGAGGAUACACACACACAUGCGCGCACGCACGUGAAAGUUCUUUUUUUUUCAUCUUAUGUAUCAUAACCAUUAUUCUACUUGUGAACAAGCAAAGAACUUUUAAAGCCAACCUACACUUACAGAGAGUGUAUCAAUGCUUGUCCUCGCUGUGACAUCUGAUGUAAAACCUUUGAACAUCUUUCAGCCGCUUCCGUUUCAUUCAUGAAGCUGUGACUAUAUUGAUGGAUACUGCAAUAUUAUAUUUUGGAAUACUACCUUGGUUUUGGAAGGUAACUUAGCAGGCCACUUGUGAUUUUCUUUUUCUUCAGUUGUCUAUUAUUCAUUUUCCUUAUUAUUUUUUAUUUGCAGAAAUCUGGAGAGUUUGUUGCAUAUGCUGGCCUGAAUGUGGAGAAUGAGAUUAUUCACACACUUUCAUUUUUAGCUGGUGUUAUGAUAUGGUCACAGGUAGGGAACUGAUUCUUUUGCCUUAGACUAAAUUCAAAGGCCAUUUGUAAAAAUCACCGGUUGCCCAUGUGAAGUGUGUAGAUGAGUGUGGAGAAGCUUGUACCUUAAUGAUUGGCUCUUUUUUUUUUAAUAUUAAUGGAUGCAUUUUUGUGGAGCUAGGGUACUUCCAGUCUUAUUUGCCUCGUCAUGCUAGCUUUAAUUUUUUGUAUAUAUUAUAACUUCAGGAAUUUGUACUGAAUUUUGUCAAAAUCUGAACUGUACCUUUUGAAGUAAUUUGCUCAAAAACCUUGUACUCUAUUCCUAUGCAAUUGCAUUCAUAUGUUACUCGGAAUUUAGUUCUAUAAUUGUAUGAAUCUAUGAUAAAAUCUACAAAUUUGAUCAAGAGCUUGUUUGCAAGCUAAGGUGAGUCUUUGUUGGUUUGGAAAUGGAAAAGAAAACCAGAUCAGCUGACGAGAGUUGUAUCCUAAGUGCAAAGAAGGAAGAUUGUGGGAUACAUUAGUUGUUUAGCAUGAAGUUCCUAGCUAAAACCUGGUCUGUUAGAGGAGACAAUUGAGAUGAGUCACUGGUUUAUAUUUUCUGUUUCAGCUGAUGGUUUUCCUUGUCUUAUAAUAUCAUUGUUCUUUUUCGUUCUUUCUUGUUCUUUUGUUGCACUUGUCCUCCUGUUUUGUUUCAAGUGUUCGUGCUUAAUUAAUUUUGUGUUUCUCUUGGAAGUAUUGAUAUUGCACUAAUGAAGUUCUUGCUGUGAUACAGAUUACGGACUUGCCAUUCUCUCUAUAUUCAAAUUUUGUUAUCGAGUCCCGCCAUGGUUUUAACAAAGUUUGUCAUUAUUGCCCUUUUCUAGUCCAUUCUCUCCUUUUUUCUUUAUUCUACAUUUUAACCUACUGUUGAGCUUAUUUAUCUUUUGCAGCAAACCUUAGGGCUUUUCAUAAGAGACAUUAUCAAAGGGAUAGGUCUGUCCAUCAUACUUGGGCCACCUAUUGUGUCUGCAAUUAUCUAUAUAGUCCAGGUUUUCUUUACCCUUGUUGCCCUUCUGUGUUAGUUAUAAGUUAUAAUUUGUCUUUCAAAGAAUUGUUUUAUUUACUUGGUUUGGCGUUCUUUGGAUAGGAAGUUUUUCUGUGUGUACCUUCUUAAUAUGUGAUUGUUUACACUAUGUCCAACUAAAUUUGUGUAAAUCCAUUAAUUUGAUUAUGCAUGUUUCUGCAGAAAGGAGGACCUUACUUAGCAAUAUACCUAUGGGGUUUUAUGUUUGUGUUGUCCAUUCUAAUGAUGACGCUUUAUCCCAUCCUAAUCGCUCCUCUAUUCAAUAAGUUCACUCCUGUGAGUAUUUAUUCAUUGCAUUUGGCAGCACGGGUUAUAUCUUUUUCGUCUUUGACAGCUUUUAGAUGUUAUUGACUUCCAUUUUUCAGAUUGGCAUUAUGUGCCUCUUUUUCUUUAUCAACUCAUCAUGGUGUUCAAUGUUGAACAGCUUCCCGAAGGAGAACUUCGAGAGAAAAUAGAAAAACUAGCAGCCUCUCUAAAGUUUCCUCUAAAAAAGCUAUUUGUGGUUGAUGGAUCUACAAGGUCAAGCCAUAGUAAUGUGAGUCAUCAGUUUAUCAUUAUAUUUUAGUUUUUAGUUUUAUCCUGUAAGACUGCUUAUAAUGCUGGUUCUUAACUCAAUUGUUAUCUGUAUGAAAAAUCUUCUUUCUUCUUUGGAAUUGUAACUUCUAUUGAAUAUAGCCUUUGCUGAAUUAGUAUUCCAAAACAAAAAGUUGAACAUUGUCUCUCUUAAUAGCGUGAAAAUAAUUUGCUGCUACUAUGUUGUGUCAACAAAAACCAAAAAGAUAAGAAGAAAAACCCAAAACAUUGUCCGCUACAUGUAAUUGAAAAUUCGGAUGCAUAAACUUUGCCUUAUUCCAUAGUUUAAUGACUUUCCAUAUUUCAUAUCAAAUAAGGACAGGCUAAGAAGUUCAGAUGUUUAUCCUCACCCAUUUAUUAUUUUAGCUGGUACAGCAUCAUAAAGAUAAACUAUGGCAAGAAAGUCAAGAAAAAGUGUAAAGAGGGAAAAGGAAGCGAGAGAGGUAAUAAGAAUAACGAAACACAAAUGAGUGGAUGUCAGAGAAGAGGGAAGUGCAGCCAGCCUUAAAAAACGAAGUUAGAAGAAGAGAUGAUAAUAAAACAGUUGAGCAGGCAACAAUUUGGAGUGUCAACAAUUUGAUAAUUAAGCAGGCAAGGCAACAAUUUGAAAGCAACGAAUUCCAGAAGAGGGAAAAAAAAAGAGUCUGCAUAAGCCUUUUUUGAUUCUCUAUCUCUAAUAAGAACAUUGAAAAUUUGGUUUUAUACCUCAUCAAUUAUAAGACCUAAGAGCUAUUCUUGGUGGUAUUCUUUUUUCUCCUUUCUGGACCUAAUUUGUAUUUAUUUCUCUCUGGCAGGCAUAUAUGUAUGGGUUCUUCAACAACAAAAGGAUUGUUCUUUAUGACACGUUGGUUCAACAGGUUUAUCUUCCGCUUAAUUAAAUACGAUGCUGGGAAUAUUAAAAAUUGUUUACUAUGCAUCAAAUGAAACCUGAUAUUUCCAGUAUAAUUUUUUUCUCCUAUUCAGUUUUAGAACAUGCAAUGAUGAAGUUUGCUGUUAUUCUACGAGUAUCAGAAUAUCCAAUAAAUUACAGCUGUAUAAAGAGCAUCUAGUUAUCUCACUUUUGGGACACUGAAUGAUGAAAACUUUGCUCCAAAUUGAGAGAAAUCUUCGAAAUAAAUGACAAAUCCUUGUUCAUGAAAUACAAAGGCUUUUCACCAGAUGAUUUUUUGUUGGUUGAUUAUGAUGAUAUGUGACACCAUUUAAUUGGAAAUGGAACUAUUACAUGGUAAUUUUAUUCUACAUUUUAAGCUACUAAUAAUAUGGCUCAACAUGCUUUAUAUAGUUCUUGAUUCUUCUUUUCCUUGAGAUAUUUCUAUUGAUUGUUGCAGAAACUCCACUUAUAAGUAUGCUUUUAUUGUAUUGUAAUAUGAUUGCUGUUUUCUUCCUUUUAUGUGGGUAUGNUCUUGGAUCCAAUACUAGAAAACAGACCAUAUACAUGAACCUGUCUAACAUUAUGCUUCUAAAAGCACCAUUCUACCUCUCUGAUAUGUGAGAUAUUUCUAUUGAUUGUUGCAGAAACUCCACUUAUAAGUAUGCUUUUAUUGUAUUGUAAUAUGAUUGCUGUUUUCUUCCUUUUAUGUGGGUAUGGCUUCUUUUUUCUCUCCAUCCUUUUUAUCUCACAUAUCAGAGAGGUAGAAUGGUGCUUUUAGAAGCAUAAUGUUAGACAGGUUCAUGUAUAUGGUCUGUUUUCUAGUAUUGGAUCCAAGAGUUAAUCUUUUAAUGCCAAAUAAUGGUGAGGUGAGGUUUCCAAGGACUAAGCAGUUUUUCCAGUUUCCUAAUUUUUGCUUUUCUUCAUCUUAACCACUUUUUUCACUUAGCUUUCACAUCUUUUAAUAUUUCAAGCUGCUUUAUGUCCAGUAUUAUCCUCUUGACCUCUGUUUUGCAGUCCCUUAUUUAAUUCCUUUUUCUCAAUCUCUUCGUGUCUUGAUGACUAAGAUCCAUAGUCAUCUCUCUGCUUCUUAAUCCGCUGGACCUUACUUGUUCAUGCAAUGAACAUCACCACUUUUUGGGUAGUAGUUUUGUAUAAAUGUUGUUGCAUUUGGUAAACAGUUAAUGUUUUAGAAUCCUUGUUUUAGAAUCCUUCACUCUAUUGGCGUACUGAGUGUGUACUUUCUGGGAUAAUCUUACAGUGCAAAAAUACGGAAGAAAUUGUUGCAGUUAUUGCCCAUGAACUUGGACACUGGAAACUCAACCACACGAUGUACUCCUUCAUUGCUGUCCAGGUACCUCGGAUUCUUAUUGAGGAGACAACCACCAAUACUAAAGAUCUAUAAAACACUUUUAUCUGGCUGUUCUGUCGCUAGCUUCUUUUGAAACUAUAUUUAUACUUGUUGAUUCCCUACUUAGAAAGCAGUGUGUUGCAAAAUGAAGUGUAUCAAAAGCAUUACAUCACACAUUCUUAUAAUUAUUCUAUUCUCUUUCUUCACUUUCGAAGUUCCUCUAUCCAAGUUUUGACUGCUACGUCAUAAAAAGGAUUGAUUGCAACCUAAAUGAAUGAUGCACACACACUUCACAGGUUGUUUUACAUCUUUUUCAUGCCGCAAAGGUACAACACCGUGCUAUAUUACAAAAUUCUAAUAGUAACUCACCCACUGCCACUAUUUAUUUUCUUGACAGAUUCUCUCAUUUCUGCAAUUUGGAGGGUAUACUCUUGUAAGGAACUCAAAGGAUCUCUUUCGGAGUUUUGGUUUUGACACUCAACCAGUGCUUAUAGGCCUCAUCAUUUUUCAGGUAUAUGCUUACCGCUUUCUUGUUUUCUUGUUCAGAUAAUAUCAUCUAAAUUUGUGUUCAAUUUAUUUAGACAGGUAUUCCCGAAUGCAAAGAAAUUUGUUCAGUUUAAUGGUCACCGAUUGACAAGUCAAGAAAAUACUAAUGAAACUAUCUAUACUUUUUGUUCACUUCUAAUGCGACACUUUCAUCUGUGCAGCAUACUGUUAUUCCUGUACAACAUCUUGUUAGCUUUGGUCUCAACCUUGUUAGUAGGGCCUUUGAGUUUCAGGUUCUUUCAGCUCUUAUGAUUAUCUCUAUGACUUACAAUGCCGCUAGUUAGUUAUAUCUUGAUUCAGCACUAAGCUCUUACUAGCUUGAAACAUGUAGGCAUUGACAUAUGUAAUGUCUAUACACAGGCUGAUGCUUUUGCCAAGAAACUAGGUUAUUCUGCACCACUUCGAGCAGCUCUUGUGACGCUUCAGGUAAAGCCCUUUUUGGUUUUUCCAUUUCACCUGACGCAUGAACGAUCGGUAGAGUACAAGAUCCACCAAUUACUUGCACUAAUGUCAUUAAAUCAGUUAAAAUUAUCAUAACCUGAUGGAGUACAGGUUAUGUAUUGUGGGAGAUCGGACAUCAGAUGAAUUUUAUUCAUUUAAGUGCAUGCAAUUAAAUAAUCUCUUGAAAGAAAUUUCAAGGCGCUUUUCCCCGCCAGAAAACUGAAUGGUUUGUUAUUUCCAUUUCAGGAAGAGAACCUGUCGGCAAUGAACACGGAUCCAUGGUAUUCGGCUUAUCACUAUUCCCAUCCCCCUCUAGUCGAAAGACUCGCAGCUCUUGACGAGCCUGGAAGCAAGAAAGAAGAUUAAUUGAAGCUGCCUACUACUGUUAUCUUAUCACUUUUUCAAUCUUCGUAUUUUCCGAAUCCGCGCGCUUUAUGAGGAGCUGAAUCGAAAAAAAGGUAAAAAGUGCCUUAGAUGUUAGAUCAAAGGUUUUAUCUCUCUGAGUUAUAGUACUUUAUAGUUCUGUUUAAGGGUCUAUCUCGCGACUUUGUUUACCUUUUUGCACAGAUAUCUAUGUUGCCUGUACAAUAGAAACAUAUGUUUGCGUAGCCUUCAAUAAAGUUAUUCCAAGGUUAACUAGCCAUUCCAGUUUUCUUCAAAUGCAUAAAUGCUUAAAUGUCUCGAAUAUUUGUUUCUUCCUAGCUUGUAUAUGCCGUAAGCUGAUAACACUUGUUGUUUCCAUCCAAAAAUAGUGCAUCAACACUUGUUGUUUCCAUGCAAAAAUAACUGAAUGGUAAAGAACUUGAUAAUUGAUAUUUUGAAGUUUUAAAUUUAAAGUUGUUGCUUUAUAUUUUAAAUUAAGUUUAUUUUAAAAAAUAAUAAAUAAACGCAGCGUAUAGUGUGCUGUCUUUCUUUCAAAAUAAAAUAAAAAAAAUGCGAUGCAGGUAGUUUGGUGGCUGAGGCUGUCUAUCGCCAUUGGACUGGAAGGAAUUAAGAGUGAAAGUGUAUGGAAAUAUGUUUUUUAUUUUUUUCCAUUUUAAAAAUGGAAUUUUAACUAUUUUUCCCAGUAUUCCAAAUAGAGCUCAAAAUCUUUAGAAUAUAUAUAUAUAUAUAUAUAUAUAUAUAUAUGAGUGAGGCUGCUAUGCUAUCGGAAGUACGGAGCCUUCCGUGCUUUCAGCUCGCUUUCGAUGUUGCGACUUUCGAAUUGUCGAUCGGCUCCGCUAAACUUGAUCAAGAGUAUUUGAAGUACUUAGAAAAUAAAUUUUAUGAUUUUACGAUAUUAUUUGCCUAGUGAACGAAGGGGCUCAAAAUCAACGGUUGAAAAUAAAAAUUUACAAAAUGUAAUAAUAUGACAUUAAAAUUUUAAAUCAAAGAUAUUGAUCUUAUUUUAUAUAGUAUAAAGAAUUUUCUAUCAAAAUUUUACGUGAUCUGAAUAUUUCUAUACCGUUAAACUUGCAAACGGCUCACUACGGCUAUUGAAAUUUGUUGAUUUUGAACCCAUUCGAUCACUAGGCAAAUGAUAUCGAAAAAUAAUAAAAUUUAUUUUCUAGGUACUCCAAAUACUCUAGAUCAAGUUUAANAUUUUGAGCCCCUUCGUUCACUAGGCAAAUGAUAUCGUAAAAUCAUAAAAUUUAUUUUCUAAGUACUUCAAAUACUCUAGAUCAAAUUUAACGGAGCCGAUCGACGAUUCGAAAGUCUCAACAUUGAAAACAAGCUGGAAGCACGGAAGGCUCCGUGCUUCCGAUAGCAUAGUAGCCUCUCUCUCUCUCUCUCUCUCUCUCUCUCUCUCUCUCUCUCUCUCUCUCUAUAUAUAUAUAUAUAUAUAUAUUCACUAAAGUAGGGAGCGAUGCUAAUGUUAAUUUUUUAUUAGGUUUCAGAAAACUGAAAUCUUGCCAUCAUGGUUUAGAUUAUGAUCAUUGAAGGAGCUUCUAUGCCCUCGCUUUAUUUUGAAAAAUUUGGCUUUCAGAUCGCUGGCCAGCUCGAUUAAAUAUAAACUACACUAUUAAAAAUAUUAAAUUUUAUAGAUAUUCUGCAUAAUUUAUCCCGUUAACAAGCGUUCUCAAAACGUGGGGUUGUAAAUAAAAAUAUUUAUGAAAAAUUAUGAUACAAAACUUAAAUUUCAAAUUACAAAUAUUANUGGCUUUCAGAUCGCUGGCCAGCUCGAUUAAAUAUAAACUACACUAUUAAAAAUAUUAAAUUUUAUAGAUAUUCUGCAUAAUUUAUCCCGUUAACAAGCGUUCUCAAAACGUGGGGUUGUAAAUAAAAAUAUUUAUGAAAAAUUAUGAUACAAAACUUAAAUUUCAAAUUACAAAUAUUAAUCUUAUUUUAAACAACAAACAAAUAAAAUUAUAAAAUUUUUACUUGAUUUGAAUUAUUUUACAUAGCUAAACACGAACACAAAACAAAUUACAUCUAUUAUUAAAUUAGUUAAUUUUGGAAUCUUUCAAUCGUUUCAAUAAAAUUUUAUAUUUUGAGAUUAUAUUACAAAUAUUGAUAUUUCAAUCACUUAAAGUAAAUCAUAUUCAACUUAAUUGAAUUAGAUUCUUGUCACGUGAGUUAUGGUUAUUGAAAUUGAAGGUACAAAUUAAACGUGUUCAAACACUCACCCUAUGACGAGCCCAUGAUUCAAAUUCUCUCCGCGUGUCUUCACCUCCCACUUCAUCGUCCUCUCCAUCAUCGUACUCCUACCAACACCAAUGGCGCCUCCCCCUCCACCAUCCAACUCCUCCGCUCCUCCGCGUCGCAAAGGGACGCGAUCCUCGCCUCCUCCCUCCACGCCGCGCUCCUCAAAUCCGGGCUCCGCUCCGACCUCUUCGUCGCCAACGCCCUCCUCGACGCGUACCUCAAAAAUGGCCUCCUCUCCUACGCCGCGCACCUGUUCGACGAAAUGCCCCAGAGAGACGUCGCCUCCUGGACGUCCCUCAUCUCCGGCCUCGCACGCUGCAACGCCGCAAACGCCGCCGUUUUCGCCUUCUUGGAUAUGUUGGGCACGGACGACGAAGUUCGUCCGAACGAGUUCACCGUCUCCGCUCUUCUCCAGGCUUGUGGGCACAUAAAGGAUGUGAAGCUCGGAACAAUGGCGCACGCAUACAUUGUUAAAAAUGGGUUCUUUUCCGAUUCGUUUGUCGCUAACUCUUUGAUCGAUAUGUACGCGAAGAUCGGGUCUGCGGCGAGUGCCGAGAAACUUGUUCGUAGGCUGCGUUGCAGGGGCGUGGUUUCAUGGACUGCGGCGCUUUCGGGGUGCGUCUUGAAUGGGAUGUUCGAGAAGGCCUUGGAGCUCUUCACAAUGAUGUUGAAAGAUGGCAUUUUGCCGAACACCGUCACGAUGCUGAGCAUUAUCCAGGCUUGCUCGCUGUUGCGCGAGCCGAGUUUUCUCCGCUGGGUUCAUGCUUGGGCUACAAAGCUAGAGCUUGACCGCAACGAUUUGAUAGCGAAUUCUCUUGUCGAGAUGUACGCAAAAAACGAAUUUCUUGAAGAAGGUGUGAAGGUCUUUUACAUGUCCUAUUUGUUCGACGGGAAAGUGUGCUCGGACGCUAGCGUUGUUGCAGCGAUUGUUCAUGGUUGUAGCCUUUCGGGUUCGUUGAAGCAUGUAAAAGAGAUCCAUGGGUACUUAACUAAGGCCGGUUUCUUCCCGUGCACCGUAAUAGAGAACUCUGUAAUGGGCGCGUAUGCGAAACAUGGUCGAGUAGAUGAUGUGCAUCUGGUGUUCGAAAGGAUGGUUCAACGAGAUACUGUAUCUUGGAACACCGUGAUCUCGUGUUUUGUAAAGAACGACCGAGCUGGUGAUGCACUAGAAUUUCUUGGAUUGUUCCAUAAAUUGACCCAAAUUGGGUUGCGGCCGGAUUUCGUUACAAUUUUGAGCUCAAUACAAGCAUGCUCUGAAGUUGCAUCACUGCAGCAAGGCCAAGUACUCCACAGUUAUGUCAUCAAAUCAGGAUUCGACGUCGAUGUUUACGUAUGCAAUGCGCUCAUCGACAUGUAUGCUAAGUCGGGCAGGAUAGAUUUUGCAGAGCUAAUGUUUAGGGAGAUUGGAUUCGGCUUUAAGGAUAUCUCCUCUUGGAAUUCGAUGAUCGCAGCAUACGGAAUUCACGGAGAUGGUAGUUCCGCUAUGAGGGUUUUCGACAGGCUAAAGAACGAAGGAAACCACUCACCAAAUGCUGUAACUUUUGCUUGUGUUAUUUCUGCGUGCGGUCACGCGGGUUUUACUGAAGAGGGCUAUGAAUGCUUCAAGAGCAUGAAGAGGGAUUAUGGAAUCGAGCCUCGUACGGAGCAUUACGCAUCAAUGGUGGAUCUUUUUGGGAGAUCAGGAAAGCUCAGAGAGGCCGUGGAAUUCAUCAAAGAUAUGCCCAUUCAACCUGGGCCUUCUGUGUGGGGAGCACUUUUGGGUGCUUGUGGGCUUCAUUGGAACAUCGACAUUGCCGAAAAAGCUGCAAAGGAGCUCGCCGUUUUAGAGCCCGAAAGCGAUAUAUGGAAGGUGAGUUUGUCGAAUGUUUACGCAUCUGUUGGAAAAUGGGGGGAUUGGGCAAAAGUUAGGGCUUCGAUGAAGAGCAAAGGAUUGAGAAAGGAAGCAGGGUGGAGUUCUGUGGAGGUAAGAGGGAUGGAGAGGUAUCGGUUUACGGUCGCAGAUACGAGGCAUCGGGAAAGUGAGAGAAUAUAUGAAGUUUGGAGAAGUAUCAACAAGCACAUUGCAGAUGCUGCUGCUGCUGAUGCAUAUUUGUGGAAUUAGAUGCCAACAAUUGUAGCUAGAUUCAAUGUAGGUUAUGAUUAGAAUUCAAACCAAAUGUUGUAAAUUUUGUUUGGUUUUGUUUAUAUGACAUCGUAGAAGCGAUUUUACAUGCAAAUGUGUCUGGACCAAGCUAAGCACAGCAUCAACAAAGCUGAGGUUAUAUUGAAAGAAUCUUAGCUAUAUGUGUUCAACAAUGGCACCUUCAAGAUUCUCAAAUUACAUAAAUUACAUCUCAUGCUAAGUAGUAUACUCUUCCAUGUUUUGCAAUGUUGAUGAAUUUUAUCUCUUGUUUUUUACUAGUCUAAUCUGAUUAUCAACUUUUUACUCAAAAAAAAGAAGUUAAUGUUAACUUGUCUAAUCUGGUAUAUGUUAAUUACAUCACACUCAAAAUCUAAUAUUGCUGACUGUUUGGACGUCAAAAUAAGUUAUUCUGUAAUAACUUAUUCGACGUAAGAAUUUUUUUUUGGUGUUGCUGGAUAUUAAAAAUUUAAUUUUUGAUCAUUGAAAGAUCUUGGCAUACAUGAUUUAUGCGAAAUGAUUUGCCUUAUUCUAAAAAAACAUUGAAAUUGAUUGCAUAAAUUCAAAUUAAAAAUAUAUAUUGAAUAAGAUAUUUAUGCAUCCGAGCUGGUCCUAAAUGUUUAGGAGGUAGGGCAUAAUUGUGCGACAACCCAACUUCUUAGUUUUUACAAUUGGAUAAAACAGCUUUACGCAAGAGGAAAUGUUUUUGGCUUACCAAAUGAAGUUAUUAUAGCAUAUUAGGUGCUUAAACUACCAAAUUUUGAAUUAUUAAUGUGCCUUGGUUGAACUUUUGGCCUCAAUAUAGGAGAACAAAGGUAAAUGAUUAAGAAAAGUAUGUAUGUGUUUCAUACCUGCAGAAAUUUUAUCAAUUAUUUGCAAUACUUGGAAUGUUCCGAAACAAAAUGGAAUAAACUAAAUUUUUUAGGAGAAAUGAGGUAUUUCAAUUGUUAAAAAAAAAAAGCAAAAAAAAAAGGGAACAAAAAAAAAAGAGAAAAUGCCAAUUUGCGCCCCAUUUCGCAUCAUGGUCAAAUUUUUAUUUUUUUAAACACUAAUUUUAUAUAAUUUGUUACGCUGGUGAAAAGAUUUUUCUCUUUUAUCAUAGUUAGCUUGCAAUAUGCUCCGAUCAUAUGGUGAGUAACAACUUGUUUAAAAAAAUUUAGGAAGCAACAGAAGCUAUUUUCAAAUUUUUAUCUUUGAAUUAUCAAUUAAAUAUUUUGGAUGUAAAGAUUAUUUUUAUCCUAUUUCAUAUAGAAAUUCUAUUCGAGUAAAAAAAAAAGAAGGAUAACGGCUAUUUGACUAUUUUGAAACUUACACAAAAAGUACUAUUUAAGUAAAAUUAUUUAGAAAAUAGGAUAAAUUGCACAUUUGGUCCUCAAACUAUGAGGCUGGUGACACUUUGGUGCUCAUACUUUAAUUUUUUGUAAGUUUUAGUUCGAAUUUUUAGAAUUAUUGCAACCAAGUUCUAUAAUCCAAUUUAGUUAACUAAAUAUUGAUAUAUCGUUAAUAUAGAGAUGAUACAGUAGUAUUCUGAUUAAUGAUGCGCUAAUAAAUAAGAUGACACAUCUUUUUUUACAAUUAAUGAUGUGUUAAAAUUUAGUUAACUAAAAUGAAUUGUGAGACUUAAUUAUAAUAUUUCUAAAAAUUCGUGUAAAAAAUUAUAACAUUUAAAGUUUGAAAACUAAAAUAUACCAUGCCUCAUAAUUUGAGGACCAACCAAGACAACCUUGAAGCACUUGGGAACUAACAGUAUAUAGUACUGAUAUAAAAUUAUGAUGUACCACACAUCCUUUUUUAAAAGCUUAUCUAUUACAAAAUUUUGAGCCUUUUAAGGUAGGAAUAAAAAUGGACAGGAUGUACGAAACUUAUUGAAUAAAGGUUGAAUUUUUUUUUUUUUUUUUGGGAUUCUGUUGUGGAUUCUCUAUUCUUCUUUGGAUUCAGGUUAUUUGAACGUGAAAUCGGUUUUGAUAUACUUUCAAUUUGUGACAUUUCGAGACAUUAUUUUUCAAAAUUUUCAAAAUCUUUUAUUUUUUUAUUAAUUUUUUAUAAUUUUAGAAAUCUUAAAUGUAUAUUAAUAAAUUCUUUUGAUUUUAGUUCGAUAUAUUUAUAAAAUAUCUAAUUUACAUCCAUAUCUGUUUAAUACCUGACCCAUAUUAGACUCCACUUUUAUAAUAUAUAAAUUUAAACUUUAGAAUUUGACAAAUACCGGAAUUCAAAUCUUGGGUAAUGAAUUGUACACUAUCUGAUCCAUAUCCGAACCAUUUUCGCCCCUACUUUUUGUUCUCGAGAUAAAAAUAGCAAGCUAUCAACUUCGCUCUUUUUUUUUUAAUUAAAAUUGAAUUCAGCUAUAAAUAUGCAGCUACUGAACCUCGAAUUAAAAACUUCGAACACCAAUCAUCAAGUUCUUAGCCAACUGAACCAGAUACGGUCGAUUUUUCAUUUUCACCCCUACCAUGUGAUUAGGUCACUUUUGCAUAAAUAACCCAACUGGAAAAGCCAACAGGAGCAAGCUUUCUAAAUUAGUAUUACUCUUUACAGGCAAGCACCCAUCACCAAGAUUGUCUCUUCUUAUCCUUUUUUCUUUUGUCUCACUCAUCUUUCUUUCUUUCUUUUUUCCCAUUUGGGCACCGUUACCACAUACAUACAAAAAAAAGUUAAAAAAAUACAUUAAAAAAGAAAAUUUGGGCAUUGUUCAAUUCAUUCCCCUCACCAACCAAUGCGAGCUACAAGGACAGCUCAUACUAGCCGUUAUAUGGUUUUUAAAUUUUUAUUUUUUAUUUUUUCCUUAUAAUAAUGCACCAACUAGCCGUUGAAAAGCCCCCGCGAAUUUAAAACUCUCCUGUUGUUAUCAAAUAUAGGAGGUGGAAGAUCACGUGAUUUCACAUAACCCAGAUCGAUUCCAUUAAUUCACUUUAGACCAUAAACUCGGAUUUUAGUAGGUACAUUUUCCCCUCUUAAUAUAGCAUGGGUGGAUUACAUGUCCAUUUCUAUAGUUUGAUGCUUGAACUACAAUGUAGCCGGGGGUGUACAAUCAACUUUAUUAAUAGUAGCUAAGAAUGUAUACAACUUAGCGCUCUAAUCAGACUAUUCAGUCUUUCAGAAUUUUGAUUUUGAUACGGUACCCGAUCAUUUACAUAUAAUAUACGAAUCAAGUUUGUAAAACUAAACAACACAUUCAAAUUCUAAGGUAAAGAAGUCGUUAAAUAGAUUAAAUCAAAUGCAUUAAAAGAUUGCAUAACAAAAUUAUAAUUUUUGAAGAUUAGAUACUCAAGAUAUAAAUAGAUCUAGUUCAGAUAAGUUACUACUAUAUUUUUACCUUUUAAUAGUGUACCUAUCUGUGACAGAUACCUUUUAAAAAAGGACUUCAAGAAAUAACAGUAAAGAGAAGCAACAGUACAGAAUUAACUUGGCCUUAAAUCAAGGAAAACUAAUAUAUUUGUGGGCACCACAUCACAUGCGAUAACACAUGCUCACAUUUAUGUAAGGAACUUAUUCAAACAUGAAAGAAUCAGCUGAAUCUGAAAAAGGAGGCAAGAACAAUAGUUUCCAUUAGAUGACAUUUGAUGCCUGAAAACAUGAGCUGGAACAUUAAAUCAAGAUUCGCAGACUAGGGAAUUUUCUUUAUGUAUAUAUUUUAAUCGAUUAUUAUUAUAAAAAGACAAUGUUCCCUUGAUACAAAGCACUCGAAAUUGUGAUUAAAGCCCCUAUAAAACCACUUACAAAAUGUAACAGUAGAUGGUUGGUACUGUUGGAGAAUACCUGUGAUGUUUGAAUGCUAACAACCUCAAAUUGUGAGUUGCCUACUAUUUGAAUCGACUAUCUCUCGCGCCUGCUGAAGCCGCCCUCAUCUUUUCUGCUGUACCUGUCUGAUGUCUGAGACGAUGCUUCUCGCCCCACUUUGCGAUCCUGGGAUAGGAAUAAACAGAUCAAGAAGAGUUAACCAAGGAAAUCAAAUUGCUUUCUGAUCAUUACAAGGCAGCAUUGUAGGAUAACUAAAAACAUACAUCUCGGAAUAGCAAGUCAUCCAUUUCGAGCAUGUGGAUCACAUGUCCCAUCUUAGGCCUUUUCCGCCCAUCAGGAUCGACGCAUCGAAGGGCCACGAGGAGUGCCCUUUUAAGUGCUUUGGGAGACGGAUUCUCCGGCAGCUUAGGAUCCACCACUUGUUCGGCUUUCCUCUCGGCAACCAUGGUUUUAAGCCACUCAACUAAGUUCACCUGAAAGAAGAACGGUGUAGAAUUUUUCACAAUUAGCCUACUUGUUGCAGUCUAAUGAGCUUUUUCACCGUGAGGAUUUUAAAGAAGAACAAAAGGCAACCUCCCCAGGUGGCCUCGUGUAAUCUACAGGGGAUCUGCCAGAUAUGAUCUCCAUAAUAAGCACACCAAAGCUGUACACAUCGCUCCUCUCAUUUAACAUUCCUGUGCUAGCAUAUUCAGGCGCCACAUAACUACAAUACCAGUUGCUUUUGUGUCAGGAAAAUUAUCAGCUAUAAUUAAACCAUAGAUACUCAAAAUUCAGACUAACCCAAAGGUCCCCAUGACACGAGUUGUGACAUAACUCCUUUCAGAGCACAAGAGUUUGGCGAGCCCGAAAUCUGACACUUUUGGGUUCCACUGCCGGUCAAGAAGUAUGUUGCUGGAUUUAACAUCACGAUGAACCACCUUUGGUUCAAGCCCCUCAUGUAGAUAAGCUAACCUGGAUAAAGUGUGGAUUUUAGUUUACGCACAACCUAUUUAAGUAAAGCAUAAUAGUGUCGUUGUUUCUGGCAAAAAUUUCAAUUUGCAAUGGCUAGAACACUUGCAGAUGCACAUGAUGCUCAACUUUGAAUUUUGACCAGUAAGAAAAAUCAUUGAGUUCUCCUUAAAGAAAGCACAUAGAUAUAAGGUCUCUAUCAACUGCCUUUUCACUUUAAGAUAAACAAUUGUGACAGUCUCUGACAACUUAGUUUUUUUAAUAUAAAAUAAAGAAAAAUUUAAGAAAAUAACCUGUCAACAAUCAGCUUCGAUGAUAAUCAUCAGCAAAUGAUUAGAAGGGAGAAGAAUUUGUUAGCGCUGUUUAAACCAUCUUUAAAAUACUAAUAUCCAUAAGCUGCUACAUUGUACACCCAGGAAAAUUAUAUAAAGAUUACUUAUAGACAUAAUAGGAUGUAAGGCAAGGGAAGAAGUAAUUCGCAGUAAUAUAGACUAAAUCUGGAUCAGGUCCCUGCAAGAUGGAGCUGCGCCAGCACGUAAAAGGAACAAUACAUGUGCACAAGCUUUACUUAGGCAUACAAAGGACCAGAAUAUUAAAUAUUUAAAAGGUCCAAACAAAACAUAAUGGCUUGAACUUUGCUUGCUCUAACAAGUUGAUCACAAAUUAACCUGAGGUAAAAUAUAAGUUUGAUUUAUUAGUCAGGAUAUGAGUGUAAUUACUUAACUUCCCCUUCGUCCUGCAGUUAAUGAGGCACAAAAAGUAGAUAUGAAGGCAGUUGGUAUAUCUUGGUUAUGAUGUACUACAAUGAAUUCUUCCUUCGGCAUUAAACAGUACCAGAAUUAGCUCUGCGAGCUUAAGCAUCGCAUGCCAAUGUUCCCUCACAAAAUUUGUCAGUACUUAAUUUAUAUCCUCGAGUAUGAAUUCAAAUGUUAGCACAGAAGAAAUCUCACCCUUUAGCUGUUCCGAGUAUGAUGUUCAUCCUGACGUCCCAUGUCAGCGGACUCACUUCCCCGACGUCCCCAUGCAGCCACUGAUCCAGAUUACCAUUAUCUACGUACUCAUACACGAGCAUCCUGGAGAGAAGAAAAGAGAAGGAUAGAAAUCAAAAUUCUCGAUUCAAAAUAAGCAGAAUAAAUGGUAAAAAUUAGCAUAAAAUGUGCAAGAGCAGGCGGAGUACCGAUAAGCCCCCUCAACGCAGUAGCCAAGCAAUCUAACAAGAUUUUUGUGCCGAACACGGCCGAUAGCUUCCACUUCCACCCUGAACUCCUUUUCUGCCUGACCCCUGAUGUACAAUAGAUCAACAUCUCAUCAGUUCAGUGGAUUUGUGAAUCAAAUUGCCCAAAAGAGAAACUGGUAAACGGAAAAAGGAAAGGAAGCAAAUUUAGAUCCUUAAUUCAAAUCACCACCAUUCCUAAAGUGAGAAUUGCAGAAAUGAGCAAUCAUCUAGAUAAUAAUUUAAAAACAGAUUAAGAAAAUGCCAAUAAUUAGUAACUAAAAGAGAACUCAUCAUCAGGUCUACAGUGAGCACCAAAAACCAACAAAUUAGUAACAAAAACAUGAAUCUACACUUAAAAAAAUAUGGAUUUGGGAUCGAAAACCUAUUGUUGAGCAAAUUCUUGACGGCGACCGUCGUAUUAUCGGCGAAAACCCCGCGAUACACGAUCCCGUACCCCCCUUCCCCGAUCACGUUCUCCUCGGCGAGGCCCCCCGUCGCCUCCUCCAGUUCCCGCAGCGUGUACCAAUGCCCCCACCCUAGAUGCGACACCUCGGGGGGGCCCCCGCUCGGGGUCAUCGUCGGCGUCCCCUCCCCGCGGCUCUCCCCGCUCGUCGUCGACGCCGAUAGCUGCUGCUGCGGCGGCGGCGGCGGCGGCGGCGCGAGCACCACCCGAUGCUCGGCCUUGCCGAUGUCGACGCGCACCUCGGCGGCGGGCGGGGGCGGCGCCACCGCGGCGGCGGCGGCGGGGUGGUGGUGGUGGUGGUGGACGAUCUCCGGGAUCUCCUUGGAGACGGGAGGGGUGGGGUCGCGGAGGUGGAGCUUGAGGGGUUUGGAGGAGGAGGAGGAGGAGGAGGAGCGCGAGCGCGGGGAGCGGCGGCGCGAGGACGACGACCCACAAUCUCAGGCCAAAAAUCGACGUCCUCUUCGACAACCAGUGGUUCACGAACCCCGCAUCCCAAAACGCCAUUUUUUUCCCCUUCUCUCUCUCUCUUACUCAAUUCACCAUCUUUGUUUACUCACAAAAAGAGCAAGAGGAGUGGCCGCGGAAUUGGUUUAGUUAAUUUGGUAAUAGAUUUGAUCUGGGCAUUUGUAUAUGUUAUAUAAAAUAGAGGAAUUAAAAAAAAAAAAAAAAAAAGGNGGUGGAAUCUGGGUGGUGCUUUGAGAGUGGGGUUUUCUUUUGGCUCGGGCACGGGAGAGGAAACAGGGUGUGGGGAGUCUCUCGUGUACUAUUUGGAAUUACAAAGAGAUUUUAUUAUAUACAGUAAAAAACAUAAUAAAAAAAUAUUUUAUUUAUUUUCGUACGUAAUAUUACAUUCAGCAUAUCGCGAUGAGUUGCUUACAAUAUAUUUUCUGUGGUUUAAUCGGAGAACACAGAAUUACAUUAUUAUAUAUUUUUAUUCUAAUUUCAUUUUAUCAGCAUAUUCUUAGAUGCUUUUAUCUUAAUUCUAUUUUAUUUAAUAAUGUCGGAUGAAUUUUAAUACCAAACUAAAUCUCAGUACCCGCAGCACGUUUUCAACUUAUUAAGCUUCACUGUUCGAGGAGUUAUUUGUAUGCGCCGCGAUUCAUACACGGGGUUCUCCAAAUUCCAAACUGUUGGGAUAUAAUAUGUUUAUAUUCUAGAUCUAUGGUCUACUUUUUAAAUACACACAUAGUAUUUCUCUUUACAAUAAUUAUUAUAAAUAAUUUAUCUAGAUUAGAAUAAAAAAUACUUUUUUAAUCUAUUUGGUAAGUUGAAUUGGCUUUUAAAAGCAGUAGAAACUGAUUAAGAAUGUUGUGCUACUUAAGGCGAAAAGUUUUUAAAAUAAAGAAUCCCAAAUUAUGUGUUGUUGGUUCGAUAAGCCAAUGAACAAAUCAACAAUCGUAGUAUUGCUUAAAUCGUAAUAUACAAAAAUAUAUUAUCUUAAUACCAAAUAGUUAUAGAAAUAUUUUAAAAAGAUUAUAACUAUAAAACUUUUUAGAUAAUAUAAGUUAAAAUACUUUUAAAUUUUAAUAUCCCUAUUUUUUUUGAAAUCUGGCACAGAGUUAAUGCGUGGACGCUCUUUUUCAUGGUCUCGGUGGGGGAAAAGUUAGUGUGCUAUCAUUAUUACAUGGACCAACAAGGUUUGACCUGUUUAAGUGUGUGCACUGUUGGGUUGGAUCAGGGUGGUUCAUGGCUCUGAUUCUGGUUCGGGUCCGAGCCCAUGUAGGACCCUCAAUAAAUCCAACAUAUUGGGUUGAACCUAGAUGAUAUUUUAAGGCCCCUUUGUUUCCCUAGAAAUGAAGAGAUGUGAAAUAAUUUUCCGCCUUAAAUAUCUGGGUUCGUUGUUUGGUUCGUCUGUUUCAGAAUGUCGUAAUUGACUUCAUUAUCAUUGAUGGCAAAAUAAAAUAAAAUAAAUAAUAAUAAUAGUAAAAUAAUAAAAAUUAAAAUUUGUAGCGAAACAAACAUGAAAAUUGAAAAAAAAAACUUUAAUUCCAAAGCGAUUAAUGUGACACUCCUUGGAGGUCAUCCAUUUUAGUAUCACUCUAAUUUUACCAUACUUAACCCUUCUAAUUUUUUAAAAGGUGAAAAAAAAGAAGUUCCAAAGUCAUUAAUGUGACGCUUAACCUUCUUAUUCUUUUGAAUCUAAUAAUUAUCCAAAAUUCUAUAACUAGAUUAAACGAUUUAGCCUGUUAUAUUUUUUAUAUAGACAACUACUCCAAAUCUUCGGAUCAGCACAUUAUUUCCUCCUUUAAAUUUUGACAUCCUCGUCAGGUUCGAAUAUACUCACAAGGACUAGGCAAGAUGUCCUCGUAAAGCUCGAGCUCACAAGUGCUGGGUGAUGUGAGACUCAUCUCACUAAUUUUGUCAUUUAGACCCUAACUUAAUGUGUCAUUUUCAAAUUCUGAUUUUAACCUGUCACCAAAUCUUAACUCUGUCGAGGCUAAUCUCAUAUUUUCGAUUGAUAUUUGGCUCUAAUACUAACUAUGACAUCUUGCUUCCAAAAAAGGUCACUCAUUUUAAAAUUACUCUAAUUCUAACAUACUUAACCCUUUUUAUUUUUUGGACCUAACUACGCUCAAAAUAUUAUAGCCAAAUUAAAAAAUUUUAGAAAUAUUAUAUUUUAUACAUAGAACUAUUUUAAAUUAUGAGAAUAUCACAAUUAAGUUUGUAUCGAACAAACAAAUAUUUUUAUCUAAACUUUAGUUCCAUUAAAAACAAGCUACGAGCAAACAAACAGGAUCUCCAGGUGCAACCAAGUGUACACGUCAAAACAAAGACCCAUAACAAAUGCUACCACUUCUUUGUCACGUUUGCACAAGUAGAAAAGAUCAAACAUAGUGAUGAUUGAGGCAAGCUUAUAUUUUCAUGCGAAGUGAGGUUAUAAUAAUGGAAAAAUCUAGCUACGGAUUUUCUUUUUCUUUUUUUUUUUUUUUUAUAAGUGUUUACUUACAUUGGUUGUAGUAACAAUUAAUCCAUCAACUUUAUUAACAUGUUACCCUUGCAUAGUAGAAAGAAAAAUUAAUGGCUCCUUGAAAUAGCAUAAAAACAAGAGUGUACAAUUUUAAUCCUAUAAACACAAUUAAUGUCGCUAAAAGAGUAGUGCUCACUCCGCCCAUUCGGUAAAAGAAUCCCAUCAUUGUGAAAUAAAUAGCUCGAAAUUGGAAUUAAAUGUCAUAUACCUACUCAAUAAUUAUAAUUGCAACUUAAUUAUCUAAGAAAAUUUGGAUAUACCUAAUUUCAGAUUGCUCUUGAGGUGAGGUGAGGAUUCUCUUUUGUGGUAGUGCCUCAUUAUCUUACUUAAACGUUUCGCAGUUUUCUAAGAUAAUGACAUAUUAUUGUAUGCGUCCUAACUCUUGUAAAUUUUACCUAUUCUAAGCUUCAAAAUUUUGCAUGUAGAAUAAAAAUUUUCGGUAUACUAAACGGUAUUACUAAUAACUACGUCAGGAAAGAUCAAAGUUAAUUACAUGACUUUGAAUACCAUCAAAAUUAAUUUUUAAAAGCAAUUUCUUGCUCAAUUUAAUCGACACAGUUAUAACAAAUAACAAAAGUAAUUUGAGCUACAGUACUUAUUAGGUACUCAGUUUAAAGCAUAGUUCCAUACCAAGCAUAAGUUUUCUGAAAAUAUUAUUGCAGGUACACAUAAGCCAAUAUCAAAAUGUCUUUUGGUGCAGAUUUUGCUUGGUAUUGUAUGUAAACCUCUCUUUGGGCAAGAUGCUCUUAAACCUUAUGAAAAGGAUAACCCUGCAGGGUAUUUAUAUGCUUUAGAAUCAACUUUAUAUAUAAAAGAGUGUGUUUUCAAUCCUAACUUGUGUGGUGGUACUUUUGCCCAUCAGCUUUAGCUCAUCCAAGAUGACUUGGAACUGAAGCAAAAGAGAUGCCCCUCUUUUAAGCUUGCACACAGUUUUACUCUAUUACAGGCUUUAGCAACUACUAAUGGUGCACCCAUAAAAUGAAGUUUAGAUGUGAUUAAUGACCUUCAGAAUUUGAAAUAAUUAUAUAUAUAAGAGAAAAUAUAUAGGACCGAACUUUUUAAUUUGAUUAUAAUAUUUUGGCUGGUGAUUAAAAAUUUAGAGAGUUAAAUAUGUUAGGAUUAGAAUAAUUUUAGAAAGGGUGACGUCUCUGAAAAGCGGAGCAUCAAAGUUGGCAGUAGUGCCAAUCGCUAACCGAAAGUGUAAGAUAUGACUGAGUCAAUGUCUGAAAAAUAGGUUAAGUCAGAAUCUGAAAAUAACAAGCUAAGUCAGGGUUUAGGAAUGACAGACUAAAUUAUGGUUUGAAUGAUAAAGCUAGUGAGACGAGCUUCAUAUCGUUUAGUAUUUGUGAGUGUGCUUGAGCCUCCUGAUGAAAAUUAAUGUAUGCACUUGAAGAGCGAAAGAAUGUAAUACUUUCAAAAUUUACUCGAGUUCUUUAGUAUUAUAUAGUUUAGAACAAAAACAUAUCACAUACAUUUCUUAUACAUUUUUAUGUGUGGAUGAAGUAGAUGAUAACUUGUAGUUUGAUCAUUUCAAUUAGUAUAUGCGAAAUCAGUGAGAAUUAGUUUCCACUGUAGCUACUUUUAUUGUUACUAUUAGAACAGGUCUUUUCUCUUCUUGUUGGUGAAUUGUAACUUGUUAUAAUUAAUCACAUAAAUUGUCAGUUAGAUUUUAUUAAUUUUUUGGAUUAUCUCCCAAUUAUUUGGAUCUUAUGCUUUUUUUUUUUUUUUUCUAGUUGCAUAUCAUGUACACAAGCUUGAAGAGCGUAUACAUAGUGAUUAAAUAUUAGAUAUGUAUCGAAUUGUUGAACCUUUAGCUAUAUAUUUAUACCCUUUAUUUGUGGUUUCUCUGUAUGAAAGAAAAUAUUUGAGUGUAUAUGGGUUUCUCAAAGAGUUAUCUUUUAGAGUAAUACUUCUAUACUUUUUCUCUCUCUAUCUUUCCUUUCAUAAUUUGGCAUUUCAUAUAAGAAAAUUUUCAAAUGAUUUGACAAUAUGAUCAUUGAAUUUAAACUUUAAAUAGUAAUAUGAAAUUCCUCUAAUUUAAAUUUCACUUUUAAAUUUAAAAUUUAAUAUUAUAUUCAAAUUUAUAUUUUAAAAAUUUAAGUUUCAUAUAAAUACUUUGAAAUAUGGUAAACAGAAAUAAUUGUUUGAAUUCUAGUCUUCUGGUUUAGGUUUGGUUUUGGGUUUCGAAAAAUUGGUCAGUUUUGAAUUUGGAUAUGGAUUUUUGAAAUCCGUCGAGUUCGGAAAUAAGUUUUGUGAUUGUUAGUCAGAUUCGAAUUCAAAUUCCUAACUAUUUUUUUUCUCACCAAUAAUUCUAAUCUUUUUAAUUUAUAUGUUUAAAAUUAUAUUUAAAAUAUUUAUUAGCUCUAACAGUUAAAUUAUUAUUCUGUUUAAAAUAUUUAUUAUCUUUACCGGUUCCAAAUUGUUCUUAAUGUUAUUCGGUUCAAUAGGUUAAAAUCAGAUUCUUGAUAGAAUAGGUCAAAGUCUGAUCAGUCAAAUCAAUCGGUUCAAUCUAGUUUUUAAAUCAUUGAAUUUAAAAUUUAAAUAGUAAUAUGAAAUUCCUCUAGAGAAAUCUAGUUGUAGAAAUCUUACUCUCUAAGUUUUUUAUGCAUUACGUUUUAAACUGGUGCGAAUAAACUGUAUUUUAAAUCUUGGUAGAAUUUUAGUUUUUAAAUAGUAAUAUGAAAUUCCUCUAAUUUAAAUUUCACUUUUAAAUUUUAAGUAUUUAAUUUUUAAAAUUUAAAUUCAUCGUAUUUAGAAAUAAAACUAUUUCUAAAAUUUCUAUAAUUUAAAUUAAUGCAUAAUUUGAGAAACACUAAAACAUUUAAAGUAGAUUCCUAAAUUAAUGCCUAAUAAUUGCAUAAAUUUGGUUAAUCAAUUAAUUUUCUAAAUUAGUGCUAAUUAAUGCAUAAAUUUAGGACCUCAAUUAAAAGUUUCUUUAAAUAUUAUAUUAUUUAAUUACCAAAUUAACCUUGAAUAAAAUAAUUUUUUUACCUGCUAAGUAUUAAAGUUAUAUUUUUAUCCUCUAUUAAUCAACGAUUAAAUUUUUUUUUAUUUUUUUUAAAAAAAAGUACCGAAUCAUUUCUCUAUCUUUUAUAUUUCACUUUCGAUAAUGAUAAAAGCUUCGUUUCAUCUUCUUUCGUAAACAUACGUCAGUGAUCAAAUCAUGUAUAUUAAAUAUGUGCUCUUUGAUUUUUCUAGAUUUUUUUUUUCUUUUUGUCUUAAAUCCCAGAGAGAGACAACGCAUAUGAAAGGACAAAAGUAGGAAGAAACUUACAAAUUUCUUCACGUGAUGAAAGACAGAGGAAUACAUAAAUAGAGAAUCAAUCUUAAAAAUAGUGAAAUAUUAUAUCUAAAUAUAUAGUACAAGAUGUAUAGUUAAAUUAUUCUUUUUGAUGUCCUUUACUAAAGUAGAAUUAUAAUGCGAGACUUAACCAGAAUAACUAGUACUUAAGGUACUUUUUACAGGAAGGGGGGUGGGGGGACAGUUAUGAUUCUCCUUUAUAUCGAAACAAAAAAAUAUUUUAGAGAUAAAAACUGUUGUUCCCACCUUAAUAGGGCGACCCGUUAAGAAGAGGGGAAUAAGGAGUCAUCACUCAUGUUAUACUGAAACAAAAUUACUUUAGACGUGGGAAUUGUGUUGAAACAAUACAUUCCUCUUGUCUUCCCCUUUUUCACUGGAGAGCAUUCUGUAGAAUUUGUUGGUGAGCCUUCUUAGCAUCCCAAGCAAUCCACAUCCCAAGCAAUCCACAAAGCCCUUAACUGUUUGUCUUCGUGCCGCCUCUGUUAAAACUCUUCGCUUGCGAUCUUCUUCCUCUUCUUCCUCUCAAAUCUGCCUACAUUGCGUAAGGUUUGGCUGUGUUUGCUAGUUUCUUUCUUGUGCCCUUGCUUGUUCGUCUUCGUGUACCUCUGUAAUCGUCAGUUUGUCUUCAUGCCGCCCCUAUUUAAGGUCUCGACCUCCGAUGUUUUUUUCUUUGUUGGCUUUGGCCGAACCCCACUUAGGAAGUGUUUGGCCUAAUUUUUAAAAAGCGCUUUUAGAUUGAAAAGUGAUUUUUGGCAUAAUAGAGCGUUUGGCAACCUCACUUUUAAAAUCUAAUUCUUAGAAUUAGAAAACUGAUUUUGAAAGCCCCAGAAAAAAAAUUGCUUCUUGAAAUCUGAUUCUGAUUUUGAUCUCAAACUUCAAAUUUUUAUUUUAAUUUUAAAUUCAAUAUUAAAAUUUAAAUUUAAUUUUAAAUUUUAAUUUUCAUAUUUAAUUUUGAAUUCUUUAAUCUUGAUUUUUAAUUUUUAAAUUUUGAAAAAUAGAUUUCAAACUUUAAAUUUUAAAUUUCAAAUAUCAAAUUUUAGAUUUUAAAAUUUAAAAUUUAAAAUUUAAGAUAAAUUUUAAAAUUUGAUAUUUUAGAUUUUAAAAUUUAAAAUUUAAAAUUUCAAAAUUUUAAAUUUUAAAUUAUAAUUUUUAAUCUUAAAAUUAAAAAUUUUAAAAUUAUAAAUUUUAAAUUUUAAAUUUUAAAUUUUAAUAUUCCUGAAAGUUGAGAACUUUUCGGUAGCGUUUGGUUGGAAAACAAAGGGGAGAAUAAGCCCUUGUUCCCCCCUUUGUUCCCAAACGGUAUGUUUGGUUCCCGGGAACAGUAGUUCUCAAGAAUCUGGAACUAGUUGGUAUAAGGCUAGAACUGCUGUUCCACCUGUUUCCUGAAACAAGCUUGUUCCUCGAUGAGAACAAGAUUAAUUAAAAUCUAAAUUUAAUUUUAAUGGCAGUAAAUUAUUAAUUAAUCUAAUAAAUAUAUUUAAAUUAUUAUUUAUUAUUUUAAUAAUUAAAUAAUUAAAUAAUUUAUUAUUUAUAAUUAAUUAUUAAUAAUUAGAUAAUUAUUAUCAUUAAUUUAUUAUUUAUAAUUAAUUAUUAAUAAUUAAUAAUAUUUUGUUAAUUUUUUAUUAAUAAUUAUUAAUAAUUAUUAUUCUUAAUAAUUAGAUAAUCGAUGUUAUUAUUAAUUUAUUAUUUAUAAUUAAUUAUUAUUAAUAAUUAUUAUUUAUUAAUAAAUAUUAAUGUUACUUAUUAUUAAUAAUUAGAUAAUCAAUAUUAUUAAUAAUUUAUUAUUUAUAAUUAAUUAAUAAGAAUAAUUAAUAAUUAUUAUUAUUUAUUAAUAAUUAAUAAUAAUAAUUAUUAUUAUUAAUUAGAUAAUCGUUAUUAAUAAUUUAUUAUUUAUAAUUAAUUAUUAUUAUUAAUUAUUAUUUAUAAUUAAUUAUUAAUAAUUAAUUUUUUAUUUAUUUUUAAGUAAUAUUUUUAUGUUAAUUAAUUACAUAAUAUAAUUUUAAUUUCAAAUUAUAACGUUUAUUCCUCUUGUUCCAAUCUAAUCAUCCAAACACUAUUUAUCUUAUUCCUAGGAACAACCCAAUUUUCAUCCAAACGCAAAAUUGGUCUAGUUCUGCUUAUACCUGAACUUAUACCUAUCCCUAGAACUAGCAGUUCUUAUUUAUACUCGAACCAAACGCAGCCGAACAGGAAUAUAAAAAAAUUGCCCCUUCAUUAAUAAGCAAUAUGAUAAAAUAUUUAGAAUAAAAUAUUAUAUUCAAAUUUAAAUUAUUUCUAAAAUAAAAUAAAUUAUUUUGCAGCCUAGAGUGUAAAUUUUACCCCUAUAUUAUGGAUGUAGAGAUAAAUAUAGCUCAAUCAAAUAUAUCAUAUCAAGUAAUCUCUGAAUCUAACCCCAAAAAAUAUUAAUUAAAGGACUUUACUUGAAAAAUUAUCAAUUGUACAUUUUGCUACGGCAUAGGCGUCUAUGCACUAUUUGCUUGCGCUAGGUUCAGUUAGUAGCUUUCCUAUAACACUGAAAAAAUGUAGUUGUGUUGUACAUGUAAGAUUAUAAUAAAAUUUUUUCAUUUUUUUAAAAAAUUUUUAUUGCAAAAAUAGAAGAGGAGGUCCUAAUAAAUUUUUUUCAUUUUUUUUAAUCCACCGUACUACUAAUCUUAUAUAAUUUUUCUCAAAUAUAGCCUAUUGUGAAAUUAAUUUCUCUCCUUUUACCCUUUUAAUGACAUUUUUUUUAAAAAAAAUCUUUCAAUCCACAAGACAGGAGGUCUAUGCAUUAGAAUAAAAAAAAUGAAUUACACCUUUAGUACCUAAACUUUCAACUUAGUCUCAUUUUAAUUCUGUUUGACUUUAAUUUUUGAAAAGAUCUUAGCAUUCAUAAUUCAGUAGAAUAGUAUAUUUUAUUUAAAGAUCAAAUAUAGUAUUUAAUUUUAAAUAUUUAUUCACACUAAGUAUCUACCAAACAUAUAAAUUUUUUAAAUAAUACUAAAUCCAAAUAGAAGAAAAAUAAGAAUUAAGGAAAAUCGUUGCGUGGUGCAAUGCUGAUGUGGUGCACCUGGUGUGGAGAACAGUUUUGCGGGAGGAGGAGACCCGUGCAUACGAAGGCGUUGACCCUGCGACACUGCACCUUCCUCUAGUACAACAAGCUCUCUUCCCGAGGAGAGCUUCUUCAAUCGGGCCCCAACAAUGGCGGCGACGUCUCCUCCUCCUCCUCCCCCCUCUCCCUCGAAACCCUUCGUGUACCUCGACUCCCCGACCCUCCACUCUCUCCUGGCGCCCGAAACCCUAAUCCCCCACCUCCGCUCCUCCCUCCCCUCCCUCUCCCUCUCCGUCCACUCCCCUCCCCGCGUCUCCUUCCCACUCCCCUCCUCCCCCGCCUCCUCCCUCCUCCUCAUGCCCUCGUGGUCCACCCACCCCUCCCUCCCCUACCUCGGCGUCAAGGUCGUCACCUCCUUCCCCUCCGCCCAUGGCGUCGCCGCCUCCUACUCCCUCUUCCACUCCCUCUCCGGCGCCCCCCUCGCCGCCCUCGACGGCACCGCCCUCACCCUCCUCCGCACCUCCGCCGUCUCCGCCCUCGCCGCGCUCGCCCUCGCCCGCCCCGCCCCGCGCGCCACCCUCGUCGUCCUCGGCGCCGGCGCCCUCGCCCCCUACCUCGUCGCCGCGCACCGCUCCGCCCACCCCUCCAUCGACCGCGUCCUCCUCUGGAACCGCUCCCCCCACAAAGCCGAAGCCCUCGUUCAGCGCCUCCGCGCGGGCUCCGGCGCGGGCGCCGCCGCGGUGGCGUUCGAGCGCGCCGAGUCGCUGGACGACGCGGUCGCGAUCGGCGACAUCGUGAGCUGCGCUACGAGCUCCGAGACUCCCCUCGUUAAGGGGAAGCUACUGAAACCAGGGGCUCACUUGGACCUCGUGGGAUCGUUCACCCCCUCGAUGAGGGAGUGCGACGACGAAGCCCUAAAAAGAGGGAGGGUCUUUGCGGAUUUUGAGGUGGCGAUGGAGGAGGCAGGGGAAUUGGUGGGGGCGUUUGAGCGGGGAGUCAUGUCGCGGGCCGAUAUCGCGGGGACAUUGAUCGACUUGGUCAGCAGCUGCAGAGGAGAUGCGGCGGCGGUGGUGGGGAGGAGAAGCGACGAUGAGAUCACGGUGUUCAAAUCAGUCGGCACGGCGGUGGUCGACAUCCUCGCUGCGCAAUUGGCCUACGAGACAUACAUCAACAGCUGAAACCUACUGGGUCUGGGUAUGUUCUACAUUCCUUCAAAUUAUCAUGCAGGAAUGCUCUGCAUAAAUUUCUAUUUAUAGGCAAAUGAUCUUUAGCAUCUUAAUAUAAAAAUGGUCAGUGGUAUUGGUCCUGAAACUUUCAGGGAAGUAGAACAUUUGUUGUGCAACAAUCUUAUAUGUUCAUCCUAUAGAGUUUUUUUUUUUUUGCUAAUGAUAUACUUAUUUUCAUCUCUAAAAGCAAGAAAUUAUUGUGUUGCUUUGCUUAACUUAUAUUCUCUUUUAGUAGCAUGUGACAUGACAGAAUGUGCAUAAACCGACACAAAGUUUUUCCAUUAUUUUUGUUGUGUUGCUAGUUGAUUUCUGAGGAAGCCAUUCAAUAUUUCAUAGAUUAGCAUUGUGAUUGCUUAGUUUGUAAUCAUUAUAAAUAGGACCAUGGGAUUGAGUUGAUGUCACUAGUGGUGCCUCAAACGAGUUGAAAAUACGUGUCGAUCAACAAUUAAAAGUGGCAUAAACAAAUGGUUCUCAUAAUUCUGGGUUCGCAAAUCAUAAAUGUGUGUAUCUUUCCCUUUCUUCUCUUAAUGCAUGCUAGUUGUAAUCACAAUCAGACGGCUUUAUGUGCCCUCUUGCUAUUCAAGAGAACUGCCGAUACCUUUGUAUGUUCUGUGAUCAAUUUUGGCGCUAGCCCUGUUACUUGAUAAGUAUCCUCAUGACAAAGUCGAUUUAGUUGUUUGGUCCAUGAAAGUCUUUACCUUUGCGUUGCUUUCUACCUUUAUUGCACCUGAAAUCCCUCCCCUUCAACUGCUAUUUUGCUUUAACUGGAAUUACCGUAAAUAGAAUCUUGUUUCAUUUAGGACCUUGCAUUUCUUUUCGAUGCUUAAGCCCAGGAGUAAUCUUCUGAGUUGGAAUCUUACUUCUGUUUCCCUGUCUGUAACAUCCAACUUUGAUCCUUGAAUUGUGUUGCGUAAUGUAAAUAGCAUGACAAUGUACAUGCAUUGUACUCCAAUUCUCAUCAUUGUAUCCGGAGUUAAUAGGUGCGAAUUGGUCCGGCAACUCUCAGACCGAGUACUCCCUUGGAUUGUACUUUUUCAACUAUCUAACUCAUUCUUUGUGAGCAGUAACUAGUUAAAUCUGUGUCGCAUUCAUGGAUGUUGGAUCUAAACUCAACAGAAAUAACUAAUUGGUUGUUGUCUCCAAAAUCCAGACCUUAUUAAAAUUUGAGAUAUGAGGUCAAGUUUAACCCGAUUUUAUUGCUAAUUAUCAGCUACGAUAUUUGAAGAACAAAAUAAAUCAAUAUGUAUUCAGUUUGAACUGGCAGUAAGGAUCCACAGCUAAACCGCAGAUAUUAGACAUAUAUCUGCAUAUAUAGGCUGUUGUACAUUAUAUGUGCAGAUUUUAGUUAUGAAUUGUCUAUGUUAGUGUAUAUAAACACCAAUCACAUAACUUGAUUAAUGAUUCAUAAAGCCAGGGUUUCUGUACAUAGGAAUAACCGAAUAAGGCAAAGAUGAACCGAGAAUUGAGUAUAUUGCUAGCCAUUUCUGUUUAAAUCUAGUUAUCGGAUGUAGGCAAUGUAGAUCUGUACAUGUGGUUUUGAUGAAGUGGUUUCCUGUAUAUCUUUCUCAGUGUAUACUGUUGUCAGGGCAUGUCAUAAUUUGCAGUAUGAAGUAAAUGCCCAAUGCUGUUGAAUCAAGCAAUAUGUUCACCAUUAGGUCAGUAAAGCUAUAAGUACAUACUUUGAAGGGUAUAUGGUUACUUAUUUCCCAGUUCAGAGUCUAUUUGGGUUGAUUCAUGAAACUUAGUAUGGGUCCCUUUUAGAUUAUUCCUUGAUAACAUAAUGCUGAAGAUUUGCUGUUAAACAAAGCAAUUUGGUGCAAUAUUUUCACUUUGCAAGUGGAUGAAUGACAUCUAUCUUUUUGAUUAACUCAAAAACUUACUAAUAUUUGUUUGAUGAAACGUGUGAUAAGAUGUCUAGAAUAGAAUAUCAUAUUUCGCGGCCAAGUUAUCUUGGAACAAGAUAACUUACCUUGGAACAAGAUAACUUACCUCAUCAGAAAAAUAUAUCAUUCUCCCAAAUUAUAAUUGUCAAGAUCAUUCGAUGAGUAAAUUUUUUUUUUUUUUUACUUCUGAUCAUACAAAAAAAAUUUGUAGGAAAUAAGUUAUUAUUGAAAAACUUAUCCUUAAAAAAGGGCCUAGAAAAAGUUAGAAGUGUUCAUUUGAAAUGUCAGCUUUUCCUUGGGUGCACUGGGUCCAUGAACUAGAUUUUUCAGCCAUUCACUACUCUUUGGAAAAAUUAUACAGAAAUUAUCUAAACUAUAGAUCAUUUAGAAUCAACUAUUCAAUCUUUUAUAAUAUUGAUUUUACUAUUCAGCUUUUAAUUUUUUUGAUUUGAUUUAGUCAACGACUCUUUGACAUCAAGAUUUGAAUGUAUCGUUUAUUUUUAUUCAUUUAGUUGCUAUACUUCAUACAAUUUUUACAACUAUAAUUUUAUUAAUUUUUGAAAUCAAUAUAAUCGUUUACUGACUAAAAUUAAAUAAAUUGGAAAGUUAGAUAAUAAAAUCAAAAUUUUUAAAAAAGUCGAAUAGCAAAAUCAAAAUAAUUCAUAUUUAAAAUAAAUUCCGUAUGUUUUUAGCAAUGAAUUUUAGGACAAAUUAUAAAAGCUGUUGUUAACAUCAGUUGAACCCUCACGGAAUCUAGGAUUUGACUCAAAAACGACGUUUUUGGACGUUCUUUGAUUUCUUUUACGAAACGAGUUUGGCUUUUCCUAUAAAGCACUCACUGACAAAUUUUAUUCUAAAUUUUAUUCUUUAAGGUCCAAUAAUAUUAUACCACGUGUAGGUUAAUGAAUGGAAGUUUAACAGAACACUUAACUUUCCUAUAAUCCAGUGAGAAAAAGAGAUAAAUCAUAGAUUUUUUUUUUUUUUUUUUGGGGGUAAAUUUUAAAUGUCACCCUUGUGGUUUUGUACUUUCUCAUCUUAGUACUCUAUAGUUUAAAAUGUAUUAAUUUAGUAUCCUGUCGUUUUAUUUUUGGGCAAAUUUCAAAUACUACUCCUGUAGUUUUGCACUUUCUUACUUUAGUACUCUAUGGUUUAAAAUAUAUGACUUUCAUACCCUAUUAUUUUUUUCUUUUCUUUUUGUUAUCUCCUUUUACUAAUUUUUUUUUAUUAAAUCAAUGAUAAAGUUAAAACUAAAGGGUACUAAAAGUAAAUAUUCAAUAAACUAUAGGUGAGAUAUCUGAAGUUUUUUGUAUAUUAUUUAACAAAAAAUUAACGGAAGAGCUACGGAAAAAAAAUAUGAAAGCGCAAGUUAUUAAACUAAUACACUUUAAAUUUAAUUACCUUUUAAUAAAACUAGUUAGAAUAACUCGAAUUAAAAGAAUGAAAAGCCCAAAAAAAAAGUCAAUAAUAUAAAAAGUAAAUGCAAAGGGAUUUAUUUUAAAAUCCCAUAUAAUUGAGGGAGGGUCUGUACAAUUAUUUAUCAUAUGAAACAACAUUUUCUUAUUAUCACCUUUUUCUUAUUUUCUAUUUUAAUUUCUUAACCAUUUUAUUAGUAACUAUGCAUGGCAAAAUAUUAUUGGAUUUUUAAAUUAAAAUUUGUUUGUACCCCGGUCACCACAAUUGUUCUAGUGAACUUUGCCCUUUACAGAGAACCAUUUCGUCGCAAUAAUAGCUCUUAUCUAUUUAUUCGUUUUGUUAUAAAGAUCCAAGACGGCACAAGAUAGCCCAAACAAUUUCGGGAGGAAAAUCACACGCUAUAACCCGCAGGUAGUGUCGUCGACCUCAUAUUUUCGACAUUAUCCUAGGCUCGUGUAGCUUCCUCCACACUUGAUCGGCACACACGAAGUACCAGACUUGGCACGUCGGCAUGCCGGUGGGUGGUCCAUAUCCUAUAUACCGUUGGGGUAGUCGGGGUCACUUCGCAAGUGUUCUACCCCUCUUCUCUGCCCUUUUUGCCGUCACGGAGGUAUAAAGAUGCCCUACUAGAGAUAUGUUUUUAAAUUUUCGCAUGCUGCACCAAUAUCUUCACCACGAUAUGGGACAUUGCUAGGGAAUUAUCUCUGUUGACCCAUCUGCAAUGGCACACCUGACGGAGUAUCUCAAAUUCGUAACUUCAUAAUUUCGUCAACCCAAAUGUCUUUCAAUGUGACCUCCAAAAAUGUUAUGUGGCAAAAUGAAGCUUCUAGAUGGAAUCAUAUGCAAUUAAUAACAAAUUGGGCUUAGUUUGGAUUGGGCUUGUUCCUAGUGAUCAACUCAGCCCCACCCCUAAGCCUAAGUUGAAUUGUUAAGUUUGGGAACUUCUUUCGGCCUAGAAUUUGGAAAUUCCAAAUUGCCCGUAAUUAAAAAUGGGCUCAAGUGAUAUCAACUUAAUUUGCAUCCAACAAAAUCUGAUAUGCAACAAUAUAUAUAUAUAUAUAUAUAUAUAUAUAGAGAGAGAGAGAGAGAGAGAGAGAGAGAGAGAGAGAGAGAGAGAGAGAGAGCAGGGCUACUCUGCUAUUAGAAGCACAGGAGCUCUUGUGCUCUUAACUUUCUAAUCACCCAUCAAUUUUGAUAGAUGAUUAUAUAGGAUAAAAGGAAAAAGAAAAUUUGGGCAGAAAUUGGGUGUUUUAAUUUCUCUUUUUUUAAAUUUUUCUUUAAUUUCUCUUUUUUCUCUUAUCCUAACCACUCAUCAGAAUUGAUAGGUGGUUAGAACGCUAGGAGCAUAAGAACUACUGUGUUCUUAAUAGCAAAGUAGCCAUACUCUAUAUAUAUAUAAUUAAGCUCCUAUACUUUUAAAAGUACUAAGUUAUUGGUGCUUGUAGAUUUUUAGCCAUUGUAUUAAAGAAUGUGCGGUUAGGAUGGUGUGGAACCCCUUAGGGUUGAGUAGGUGGUUGGUUGAAUAGUAUGAUCUAAUGGGUGAAAAUGAUCAAAAGGUAGAUCUAACGGUAAAAUAUUUACAAGCAGCAAGUGCUUGGUGCUUACAAGCACCAUAGCCGAACUCUCUCCCUCUCUCUCUCUCUCUCUCUCUCUCUCUCUCUCUAUAUAUAUAUAUAUAUACAAUUCGGCUAUUAUACUAUAGAUAACACUAAGCAUUUAGUGCUAUUGAGUUUUCCGUCGUUAGAUUUAUUUUUUUGACUAUUUCCAUCUGUUAGAUCAUAUUAUUUAAAGGACUAUCUGCUUAACUCUGAGGGACCAUUAUCAUCAUAACUGCACAUCUAUUCAUUUAAGAGCUGAAAAAUUAAUAGCACUAAUAAUUUAGUAUUAUUAAUAGUAUAGUAAUCUAAUUAUAUAUAUAUAUAUAUAUAUAUAAUAAUAAAAUUCUAACAGAUAAUACCUAACCAAGGCUAUAUGGACAAGGAAAGCUACACAACGCAUCUGCUAGCUAGGUCAAGCUCAAGUCCCACUGAAGUGGAAGUUAAUUUCAGAUUCGUCAACGUGUCGAUAGCUGAGUACAUCGAAUCUUAAGCGGAAAUUGAGAGGGCCCACCAACAACAAGUAGAUUAUGUGGACACGUGUCGACGCUGUAGGACUUGGGCGGGUAAGUGACGCAUGAAAUGAAUGAAGGUUGUGGGACAAAAGAAAGGGGACAGAGAACUGACCCUCUCUUAAUUUAGACAUCAAAUAACUUUUUUUUAUAUUUAAUAUAAAUUUUUUUAUAUAUAAUUAUUGAGUAAUAUAUAUAUACUGGGUCCGGCUACUAUACUUUUAUGAGUAUUAGCUCCCUUAUACUCAUAAGUUUUCGGUCCUUAGAUUUAUUCCAUUGAUCAUUUUCACCCGUUAGAUUAUACUAUUCAACCAACUACCCACUCAACUCUAAGGGACCACUAUUAUUCUAAGUGGGGACUACCAUCAUCCUAACUAUACAUCUCAUCAAUCAACGGUUAAAAAAUUAUGAGUACAAGAGGGUCUAUACUCAUAAGAGUAUAGUAGCCCCAGUCUAUAUAUACUAUCAAUCAUCGAGACUAUUAUCAUCGACUUUAGGAAUGGUAUGUGCAAUUUAAAAAAUUUUGAUAUUCAUAGUUUGAUUGAAUAUAUAAAAAAUAGUUUAAAGAUGAAAUAUGGUAUUCAUUUUGAAUAUUUAGUCACACUUCUGCAAAAUAAUUUUUUAUAAAUUAAAAAUAUAUAUUGAAUAAGAUAUUCAUACUUGUACAUAAAACCUAUACGAGUUUAUAAGGAAAAGAACAAUAAAUAAGUUACAUCAUUAUUUUAGAGAGAUUAAAUUUUGAUCCUCAAACUGUUAAUUGACCUGGGCAUUUGACCUUCGCUCCUAUCAUUAAUGGAUAUGGAAAAGAGAGUUAUUGGCUAUGGGUAUAUAGGUGGGUGUAGUGAGUCAUGAGUGAUUAAAUGAAGUGAAGUGAAUGAAGUGCGUGGGAUGAGGGCAAGCAUGUAUGUAUUAUAUGUAUAGCAUGAUGUAGUACUCUAACGAAGAGAGAGAGAGAGAGAUCUAGAGAGAGAGAGGAAAAGGAAAAGAUGGGUGGAGAGAGUGGAGAAGUGGAGAGAGUGGGGCGUCGGCGCUCGGAACACAAGAGGGGCGUCGACGUGUGGCACCUCGCCAACGCGUAGCUUCCAUGACCACCACCACCCCCUUCACAGUGCGCGCACACGUACGCAAUGUGUGUUGGCGAGAGAGAGAGAGAGAGAGAGAGAGAGAGAGAGAGAGAGAGAUGGGUGCAUGGGUUAAAUGAGCUGAAUACGAGAGAAAGCGCGCGAGCUGAGUUGGCUUUUUAAAAUAUCGGGCUAGAAAAUAAUUUAUGAGGACGAGGGCGAUCGUACUCAUAAGAGUAUAGUAACUAAAUGGAUGAUCGAAACUUCAAAUUGAUAAUGACUUUUAAAUUUUACAAAAUUUGGUUUCUAAACAUUUCUAAUUGUGUAGAUCAACUUCAACAGUGCCGAUUAUCAAUUUGAAGUUCCGAUCAUUCAAAUCGACUUGAUAGGACAAGGGUCCCGAUCCUAUUAAUAGGAUAGUAGCCGGACCAUAUAUCCGGCUACUGUACUAUCGAUAGCACGGAGCCUUCCGUGCUACCAAGUUGUUUUCGAUGAUGCGGCUUCCAAAUCGACGAUCGGCUCCGUUAAACUUGAUCUACACUAUUAAAAGUAUUUGGAAACUAAAUUUUAUAAUUUUUCGAUAUCAUUUACCUAUCAAAGAAAUAGUCUAAAAUUGAACGGCUGAAAAUAAAAAUCUCAUAAAAAAUGAUAAUAAAANAGGGGAAACAUGUAUUAUAUGUAUAGCAUGAUGUAGUACUCUAACGAAGAGAGAGAGAGAUCUAGAGAGAGAGAGAGAGGAAAAGGAAAAGAUGGGUGGAGAGAGUGGAGAAGUGGAGAGAGUGGGGCGUCGGCGCUCGGAACACAAGAGGGGCGUCGACGUGUGGCACCUCGCCAACGCGUAGCUUCCAUGACCACCACCACCCCCUCCACAGUGCGCGCACACGUACGCAAUGUGUGUUGGCGAGAGAGAGAGAGAGAGAGAGAGAGAGAGAGAGAGAUGCGUGCAUGGGUUAAAUGAGCUGAAUACGAGAGAAAGCGCGCGAGCUGAGUUGGCUUUUUAAAAUAUCGGGCAAGAAAAUAAUUUAUGAAAAUGAGGGCGAUCGUACUUAUAAGAAUAUAGUAACCAAAUGGAUGAUCGAAACAUUAAAUUGAUAAUGACUUUUAAAUAUUACAAAAUUUGGUUUCUAAACAUUUCUAAUUGUGUAGAUCAACUUCAACGGUGCCGAUUAUCAAUUUGAAGUUCUGAUCAUUCAAAUCGACUUGAUAGGACAAGGGUCCCAAUCUUAUUAAUAGGAUAGUAGCCGGACCCUAUAUAUAUAUAUAUAGUCCGGCUACUAUACUAUCGGUAGCACGGGGCCUUCCGUGCUAUCAAGUUGUUUUCGAUGAUGCGGCUUCCAAAUCGACGAUCGGCUCUGUUAGACUUGAUCUACACUAUUAAAAGUAUUUGGAAACUAAAUUUCAUAAUUUUUCGAUAUCAUUUACCUAUCAAAGAAAUAGUCUAAAAUUGAACGGCUGAAAAUAAAAAUCUAAUAAAAAAUGAUAAUAAAAGAUUUAAAUUUAAGAUCAGAUAUACUGAUCUUACUCUAAAUAGUGAAAAAAAUUUUCUAUAAAAUUUUCAUCCGAUUUGGAUUGUUUUACACCGUUAAACUCACAAACACGCCACAUCGGCCAUUAAAAUGGUCAAUUUUGAGAUCUUUUGAUCACUAGUCAAAUGAUGCCGAAAAAUUAUGAAAUUUAGUUUCCAAAUACUUUUAAUAUUGUAGAUCAAGUCUAACGAAGCCGAUCGUCAAUUUGAAAGCCGCAUCAUCGAAAACAACUUGGUAGCACGGGAGGCCCCGUGCUACCGAUAGUAUAGCAGCUGGGCUCUAUAUAUAUAUAUAUAUAUAUAUAUAUAUAUAUAUAUAUAUAUAUAGUUGGACUGGGCUAUUAUUAGUAGCAAAAUCUCAUUAUUGCAACCAGUUUUUUAGCUUUUGGAUCAACUCUUUUCAUUAUUUCUGAUAAUUGGAUUAAAUACUAUAACCUAAUGGGGACCACUCAACCCUAGGGGAACCACUCAACUCUAACCGACUAAUAUCAUCCUGACCCUACAAUUUUUCAUCCAAGAGUUAAAAAUUUGAUAGCAAAACGAGCGUUUUACUAUUAAUAGUAUUCCAACCUAAUUCAAUAUAUAUAUAUAUAUAUAUAGGGUCCGGCUACUAUCCUAUUAAUAGGAUUGGGAUCCUUGUCCUAUCAAGUCGAUUUGAAUGAUCGGAACUUAAAAUUGAUAAUCGGCACCGUUGAAGUUGAUCUACACAAUUAGAAAUGUUUAGAAACCAAAUUUUGUAAUAUUUAAAAAUCAUUAUCAAGUUCAUCUUAAGAGUUGAAAAAUGAAUGGUCAUAAAUGAAUAACUUUCUUAAAAUAGAGGUUAGACUUUCUCAGUUCGUAAUCAGAAUUAUCAAAUAUUAUCUAAAUAGUAUAAAAAAUUUUCUAUCAAAAAUUCAAGCAAUUUGGAUUGCUCUACAUCGUUAAACAAGCAAAUAGCUCAUACAGGUCGUAAAAAAUUAUCGAUUUUACGACAUUUUGAUCACCAUGUAAACUAUUAUCAAAAUUUAUGAAAUUUAGUUUCUAGAUAUUUCAAAUACUCUAGAUCAACUUCAAUGGCUCCGAUCAUCGAUUCGGAAUCUCGAUCAUCAAGAACAACUUGAUAAGACAAGUGCUCCUAUCCUAUUAAUAGGAUAAUAGCAUUGCCUAAUAUAUAUAUAUAUAUAUAUAUAAUAUAUAUAUAUAUAUUAUAUAUAUAUAUAUAUAUAUAUAUUAGAUAUAUCGAAUUUGAAAUAUUAAAUGAGUAGAUCCUAACUCGUAUUUGGCACUUUAAAAUUUCAAGCUAAAAGUUUUGGCUCAUAUUCGACUCGUUUGUUCAACGGGUGAUCAAUCUGGAGCUCAUUUUGAGCCCAACACGAGAAUACUUGUAAAUAGUGAGCUAGAUGACCAGCGCUAUUAGUAAUUAACCUUCAUCUGUUUUUAACUUUGGUCUCGAGCUAGAUCCUUAAUCUUUGUUGGUAAAGCCGUCUAGAACUUUUCUUACCAUGUAUAGAUGGAAAGUUGAAAAGGCGGUACCGAAGGUGUAACGAUCCGACCUGCUAGCAAAAAUAACUCUUUGGGUUCAAUCACCAGUAAAAAAUGCUUAAGUCUAGUUAAAAGUUUUAGUGCUAUUAUAUCUUAUAUAUAGAACUAUCUGGGGUCUCACAUUGUCCCCUCCUUAAGUCCUGACAUUCACGUCAGGCUCAGAUUCACAAGUAUCUAGCAAUGUGAGAUUCAUGUUGCAAGUCUAAACUGAGCUUGUGGUGAGUUACACUAUACACACAAUAAUCAACAAUAUGAGAGGCUUGCUCUUUUUUACUGUAUAAAUUUGGCUCAGUCAAGACUCAUCUCACACUAGCUACUGGUAAUUGACUUUAAUACAAAAUGUAACGAUUCGAUCGGUUAGUAAUAAUAACUCGUUGGGCCCAACUAUCGGCCCAAAAUAUUUAAGUUCAGUUAAGAGUUUUAACACUAUUAUAUCUUAUAUAUAGGACUACCUGAGCCCAACCACCGAUCCAAAAUAUUUCAACUUUGGAUGAAUUUUGAAAUUUUCUAAAAAUACUGUAAUCGAAGACCGCUUAGCCAUUUGGAGACUCACAAGCACAAAGCUUUCUGUUUGGUCUUCUAUUAUUAAUUUACUCAGUCUGUACCCUUGAUUAAUUAAAUAAAUUAAAAUCGCCUUAGUCCCCCUCCUCGCCCGCCCGCUAAAAAAAAAAAAACAUGAAACUUAUCUAAACUAUGGAUAAUUUUAAUUUAGCUAUUCAAAUUCAACCUUUCAAAAUUUUGUUUUUACUAUAUAAUCUUUCAAUAUAUUUAAUUGAGUCGAUUAAUAAUAUUUGGACUCUAAAAUUUGAAUGUUUUAUUUAUUUUUAUAAUUUAGUUAGUAUAUUUCAUGUAAUAUACUAAAAUUUAGUUAGUAUAUUUAGCUAUUCAAAGAGUCGUUGACUAACUUAAAUCAAAUAAAUUUAAAUGUUGGAUAGUAAAAUCAAAAUUUUAAAAAAGUUGAAUAGUUGAUUAAAAAUGAUUCAUAGUUCAGAAAAAUUUUGCACAUUUUUGUUUUCUUUGUUAAAUAUAAAUAUUAAAAGAAACAGUUUAAGGCCUGGUUUGAUAUUGUAUUUUUUUACUNAGUUAUGAUUUUUUUUAAUUUGCUUUCAAAUAUUUUUUUAAAUUGUCAUCUAUCAGUUAGUCAGAUGCAUGGCAAAAAAAAUCAGCUAAAACAACAAAAAGAAAUCAUAACUGACACCAAGAUAUCAGAUAAGUCAUAUAACUGUAAUGUUUCAAAGGACUUAAUUUUCAAUUGAAUAGCAAUUAAGAAUAAGCACUUUUAUAUAUUCUUACAUCUGAAGAUGGUGAGAUUUGAUUUGAUGCAAUGGGCAUAUAGUUGGAGGAAAAUGUUAGGGUGUGUUUGUUUCGUGUAAAACUAUCUUGAAAAAUUUUUUUGAUAAAAAACUAAAAUUUCAGUAUUUGUUUGGCCGUAAAAAAAAUUUUUUAAAAAAUUAUUUUUACGAAUAGUGAGGAAAAGGGGCGUUUACUUUUCGCUCGUACUUACGCCCCAAAAAUCACAGCUUUGGAAGGUGAGGGGGGAAGCACGCGCGCGGUCCACGAGAGAGAGAGAGAGAGAGAGGUGUCCAUGGUGGACCUCUCUCUCCCCAUUCUUUUCUUUUAUAUAAUAUAUAUAUAUAUAUAUAUAUAUAUAUAUAUAUAUUAUUUAUUAUAUAUAUAUAUAUUAUUAUAUUAUAAAAUUACUAUAGUUUUGAUAUACUUAACUCUCUUUUUCAUUUUUAUUUUUAAUUAUUUCAAAAUAAUAAUUUAUCUCAGGAUCAAAAAAAAAAAAAAUCUAAUUUUCUUUAAUUUCUCGAAAAAGAUGAGGGUCCAGGUGAUACUCACUGUUAGCCCAUAUAAUAAUAUACGACACAUGCGGGGCCCACAUUUUGUGGGGUCCACGAGUCAGCAAGUGGACCCUGACAUCGGACAGGGUCUCUGUUUCUUUCUUAUGACACACGCGGGGCCCACAUUAUUGUGGGGUCCACAGGUCAGCAGUAGACUCUCUGGCAUAAUGCAGGCCUUUUCUGGUUUUUUUUCUUUUUUCUUUUUUUUGUUAAGAAUUUUCGCGUAGAGCGCGGAGCGGCCACUCCCACCAGGCGUUCCACUUGCUGCCACGUGGCUACACGCCUCCGCCAUAUGAACGCCUCGCGAGCUCGGCCGUUACUUUCUACCCUCGCAGGAUCACGAAAAUUACCAAAUUGAUUAAAAAGAUAGUAAGCAGGAAUUUAAGUGUGUAUCGAUACAUAUCGUAUUUAUCGUGCUGUAUCAUGUACGAUAUAAAUUUCGUAUCGAUGACGUAGCUUAAAAUAUUAUGUUCUUUAAAUUAAUAAAUAGUUUCUUAAUAAAAUUUAAAAGAUUUGAUAGAACUAUAUAAUAAAUAAUUAUAAUAUUUAUUGCUAAAUCUUGCUGUCGCUAAUGCAAGUGACAAAGAGCUUGGUGGUUAAUAUCCGAAUCCUAAAUUCGAAUCCUAGUUAAUCUAUAUUUUUAGCUAAAUUUAUUUCUAAAAAAAUUAAAUGAAUUCUCUCAAAAAACAAAAAAUUGUUGUUAAAGAAAAUAAAUAUUUCAAACUAUUAUGUGUCGGCAUAUAUGAAUUUUUUGUCACCGGUACGCAACGCAUCGCCAUUUCUCAACACGCAUUGUGUCUUACCGUACCAGCAAGUUUCCGGCAUAAGUCCGUUCCAUAGUACUUAAAUCAAGUUUUUCAUUUUUUUCAUUUUCUUUUCACAAAUAAAUUCUACUAAAAAUGUAAAACAUAUUUGGUUCAUGAUUAAAAUAAAAAAAAUCAAAUUAAAUUACUGAAAUGAAAAAUAGAAAGGUAAAUCCUCCAAAAUUAUUUGGUUUAUUAUUAAAAUAAAAAUUGGAAUAGAAAUUUUUUAAGGUUUUGAGGGAGGGUUUUGAUUAAAAACGAGAAAGGUGAUUAAGGGAAAGGAAAGAGAGGUGUCGGUGAGAGUGCUUUGAGCGAAUGGGCCAAUCUGAAAUUCAAAAUGAGAUUGGAUUGUAAAUAAAUUGGGCCAUUCACAUUUCAAAAUAUAAUGUGAAUCGAAAUUUGACUUCCGUAAAAUAAGCAACAAAUAUCAAAAUUAAUGAAUCUAAUUACGAUUUUAUAGUCUAAAAUAAGCAACCAAACAAGUCCUCAAAGUCGUUAGAUUUCGAACUUAGAAAUCUUAAAGACCAACUAUUAUGUUCUUAAUCAAUUGUGCUAGAUACGGUCAGUAAUUGAUCAACCCCAGCUGAAUAAUAUACCGAGAGGACUUACUUCCUAAAAAAUUAUAUUCUAUAAUCUAUAAAAAAAACAACACUUAAUUAUAAGUCUUCCUUAUACUUUAGGUCCAUUAAAAUUUGUAUCAACUAGCUUCUAGACAUUGCCGCUAUUUUAAAUAGGUUAAAUAAUUUAGAAUAAUCAACAUAUAUCUAAUUUGCAAAUCAAAUAGUAGAUAAAAUAUUAGAUAAUUAGAUAUCCUGUUUCCCUAUGCUAUUAAAAUUGAUAGUGAAUUAAACAAUUUUAUUCAAUUUUAUUAUUCUACUAUAUUAAUUAUAACUAAUUUUGCGUGUCAAUUUAUUUUUGUCAAUCAUUCUCCCAAAUAUUUAGAUCGAUUUAAAAUAAUGGGAAAGUAUAGGAAAUAAUUGAAGUAAUUUUUGAUAAAGGGAUAAUUAGGAUAGUAGCUAAAGUGGAAGUAAGUUUUUUUAACAACUUAACCAUAAAAUUAAGAUUGCUAAAGUAAUUUUCACUAUCCUAAUUAUUUAGAUCGAUUUAAAAUAAUGGGAAAGUAUAGGAAAUAAUUGAAGUAAUUUUUGAUAAAGGGAUAAUUAGGAUAGUGGCUAAAGUGGAAGUAAGUUUUUUUAACAACUUAACCAUAAAAUUAAGAUUGCUAAAGUAAUUUUCACUAUCCCUUACGGCCUUACCAGAGCAAAACAGCUCAAAUUAUAAAUAAAUAUAAGAAAUUUGUUCUGACAAUAUUAAAACUUGAUGUGCCAAUAUUAAUUUUCUUGAAGUAAUGUCUCAAUAAAAAUUCCUACCGUUCAAAUUAUUUUAUAUAUCAUUGGCUUCUCAUUGUUGAUGGUGUUAUCUUUUUCUUUAAACAGCUCUAAAACCAACAAAACAUAGGUGUCAAUAUUAGAAAUGAUAAUCACUAACUAGUUGUGAUAUGUUAAGAUUAAUUUUGAAUAAAAACCAAUAUUUUGAAUAGUAUUAUUCUGAUCGAAUUGUUCUUAAGUCAUUGUUUACUUUAAGUUCGAUUUUGACGGUCACUGUUUUAUGAAAAAAUUUCUAAGGGGGUCACCAGACACGUUGAGAUGUGUUGGAUUCAGCCAACUUGUUUGAAUUAUAAAUUAAGAAAAACAUGUUUGCCUACCUAUUGCGAAUAAGCAAAAUUGGCCCAUGAAAGAUUACAUCAACUAGGAGAUAACAUCACCGACUGUCUCUAGCACAAAUAGCAAAGGGCUUGAUAAUUGGUAUCCGAGGUUCCAAGUUUGAAGCCUUAUUUCUUUACAUUUUCAGCUAAGUUUACUUUUUAAAAAAUAAACGAAACGAGUAACAUAUCAUCUUUCUCUAAAAAAAAAAUUAUAAGGCAAUAUGAUGCGCUCCCAAUUAAGGACUCCUACAAUUGGAAGUUAAAAGGAAUUUCGGUAUCUAUCUGUUGUAAAGAGGAUCUAAAUUUCUAUUUUUCAAAAUUUAUUUUAGUGAAACAAUUCAAUGAAAUCCUAGCAAAAAAUUGAUAUAGUUAAAUUCAGUAAGCUUCAAACAUUUGAUUCUUCAUGACAGAGCUGUUAGAUGGUUAGUCAAGCAAAACAAUUAUAGUACCUGCAUAUUUUAUUCAUUAAAUCAUUUAGUAAAUCAAAGUUUUAACAAAUAGAAUUGAGCAAUCCCUUCUAAUCGAAAAAUAGUGAUUUAACAUAUGGAGCGAAUUGAUCGAAUCUUUGGUUUGGUGUGAUUCAUCAAAAUAAAUCCAUAGUUUAGUUUGAGUUGAUUUGUAGAACUAUCUUGACUAACUCAAACGCAGAUACGAGUCUCUCUCUCAUAUUCUUUUCUUUUUUCUAAUUACAAGAUUUAUAAGAUGAAUAGAAAAUUGUUUGGAAGCGAAAUGUCAGAGAAGAGGAAACUUAUGAACUUUCCUAACUCAAUGUUACACUUUAUUUUAAUAAAAUUAAAAAAAAAAUAAUCUCCAUAUAAUUAUAAGAGUUUUUUUAUACUACUAAGUAAACACCGACUUCUACGGUUUUUUAAUUACGAAUUCAACCGCUAAAAUCUGCAAAAACCGACAAACCUAGUCUGAGUCGCACCGGGCCGAAACUUGCGCCGACCAGAAACCUUAAGUGGCACUCUCGUAAUAAUUGAAUUAAACGAGGCCAUUUACAUGUAGAGGUCCCCUAUAAAAAAAUGAGCUCGCUAAAUGCGAGUCUUCGUGCGUUUAAUUACCCACAUUCUCCGUCUCUAGCCACUCAUCACAUCUCUCUCUCUCUCUCUCUCUCUCUCCCUCUCCGUCCCCUCAUCCUCGAGGCUCGAAUCCGAUUCUCCCCCUCUCUCCCGAUUGGCGAAACCCUUAAAAAAGCCCUAAAAAUCUCAUUGGAAGAGGAGGGAAGAGAGAGAGAGGGGGCGAAUUCGAGGUCGAAGCUAGAUCCAUGGCGGCCGCGAUCGCCGCCACCGCCGCCACGAGCCUCGGCGCGAGCCCCUCCUUCACCGCCGCACGCCGCUCCAUCGGCGGCGGCGAAGGGCCGUGGCGGUGUGCGUCAUCGUGGAGAAGGACACCACGGGAGGAGGCUCGUUUAGGAACGACAACGACGACGACGACGUCGACGACGAAGGAGGAGGAGGAGGAAAAGAAGCCACGAGCAACCGAUCGAGUAUCGAGGAUUCGGAAGCGGAGAGGAGAAUCGCGGAGAGGGUCGCGCGGAAGAGGUCGGAGAGGAGGACGUACCUAAUGGCGGCGGUGAUGUCGAGCUUGGGGAUCACAUCCAUGGCGGUCGCCGCCGUGUACUACCGCUUCGCGUGGCAAAUGGAGGUCUCCCUUUCUCUUCCCCCUCCCAUCCCCUCCCCUCCCCUCCCCUGUUUUUAACGGAUACUACUAAGAAGAAGAAGCAGCAGCGGAUUGAACUAGCGAGCCAAAUAUUUAUUUAGAAGGAAAAAAAAAAGGGAAAAAAANCUCACGGAAAUGUUCGGAACCUUCGCGCUCUCCGUGGGCGCAGCGGUAAGGAUCACAAACUACUCUCUGGAUUUAAAUUAUUAUUAUUAAAAAAAAAAUAGAAGAUAAUGUAAAAGUUUUGUUAUGAAAUUGAAAUAUUUCGUGGUGGGUGGUGUUGUGUGGGGCGUGUGUUGGAAGGUGGGAAUGGAGUUUUGGGCGCGGUGGGCGCACCGGGCGCUGUGGCACGCGUCGCUCUGGCACAUGCACGAGUCGCACCACCGCCCCCGCGACGGCCCCUUCGAGCUCAACGACGUCUUCGCCAUCAUCAACGCCGUCCCCGCCAUCUCCCUCCUCGCCUUCGGCUUCUUCCACCGCGGCCUCGUCCCCGGCCUCUGCUUCGGCGCCGUACGAAUGAUCUCCCUCCUCUUCUUUCUUAAUUCAAAUUCAAGUGAAGAACGCAUUAACAAAUUAUACGAUAUACACUGCAGUCGAAAUAUCUCAAUUACUUUUAAAAAAAAAAUUAUUAUAGUUUAAUUAAAAUUUGAGAAUUGAAUAGUAAAGUGCGUGGAUGGAGAUGGUUGUUUCUUGAUCUCGCGCGGUGAUUCAAUUGCUGACGUGUUGAGUUCCAAUAGGGUCUGGGGAUUACCUUGUUCGGGAUGGCCUACAUGUUCGUACACGACGGGCUGGUCCACCGGCGUUUCCCCGUGGGCCCCAUCGCCAACGUGCCCUACUUCCGGAGGGUCGCCGCCGCCCACCAGGUUGGUUCCCAAAUUCUAACCCUGCACCCCCCCACCCCCACCACAACUCCAACCGCCGCUCUUGAUUCUCUACAAUUCCUUUUCUUUCCUCUUUUUUUUUUUUUCGAUUUUGUUUAUUUAACUAUUACAUUUUAGAAAAUUCAUGAAAAUGUUUAUGUGAGGUUGCGGUUGUGACAGAUCCAUCACAUGGAUAAAUUCAAGGGAGUGCCAUAUGGGCUGUUCCUGGGACCAAAGGUGAGUGGCCGGUUUUUCUCAUUACUGUCCUUUUUCUCCGCUGCAUAAGCACUACAAGACAAUUAAUGUAGCUGCCGAAGGCCCUGUACUGUUCCAGAUUUUGCUAGACUUUUUGGUCUGCAAAACCACUGGAAAAAUAAUAUACCAUUAAGAGUCAACAUAUCACGUUAGUAUUUAAUUAACUAAAUUGAACCGUAAGACAUAAUUAAUUAGUAUACUUCCUAUAUUUUGUUUGAUUUGUGUGUUAUUUUUAUGUUCUUUUUUUUUUUUAUCUCAGGAGCUGGAGGAGGUGGGUGGCCUAGAGGAGCUAGAGAAGGAAAUCAACAGGAGGAUUAAGAGGAAUUAGUUUUGAGCGGCUGGUCAUUUAUUAAUUUUCUGCUUUAAUUUAAGAUAAUUGCGAUCUAUUUUACUUCUUGGUUUGAAAAAAAAAAAAAAAGAAAAAGAGGGCAGUGGAUUUCGCCUCUGGAUUAUAUUCAUGCCUGUGCAGGUGUAUUUGUUAUGUGAGAUUUGUCGAUAGCGAGGGGAGAGGAUGUAAGAAAACAGCUAAGAAGUAAAGAUAGGUUUUGUGAAUUAUUAUUAUUGUAUUAAAGCAUCUUUGUGCAUGUUGACUGGUGUGAAUUGAGUUGACUGGGUCAGAUGCUUCAGUUUGGAGGAAAUAAUCAAGAUUCAAAAUUGGUAUGUAUAGAAUUUUAAAUUUGGACUUAGAAUCUUAAAUCAUCCAUCCGCAAGUUCUUCUGCUCUAUGCAGAUGAUCGAAAGAUGAUUGAAAGAUGAUAGAGGCACAACGAAGUUUAGAAAUUAUUAUUUUCCUCCCACUGGAUUAGUAUAUUCAUGUAAAACCCAUUUAUUUCAAUCUCAUAUUUGUAACUUAACUAUUUAACUGUUAAGUAGAGAAAAAGGUUUUCCUUCUCGCAUGAUUAAGAGAGAUUAAUGUUAAAAAGAUGAGGAUGCAUAUUAAGCAUUAGUAGCACAUAUAGAGCACAUGCCACAAAUUUCAUAUGCUCAUGGGGCACAAUUAACUUUUUGUGCAAAGUGCAAUCAGUAUGCAGUAACUCGCUUAAAGACUCAGCCUAAUCCAAGAAUUUAAAUAACUCGGAUAAAAAUCUAUGUCUAUAUAUUAUUCUUUCUAAAUUUGUCAGAUGACAAUAUUUUAUUUAUUAUUGAGUGUGGGCUCUAUUCUGAACCGGCUUAAGUUCUCCACAUAUUUUUUUCUUUUUUACUCAAACUGAAUCGAAUUUUUUUUUCUUUACUUGAGCUGAAUCAAUCAUUGCUGAUUGUAGGCUCUUUCGAAUCGGCUCAAGUUUUCUAUAUAUUUUUUUCUUUUAUUACUUAAACCAAAUUGGGUUUUUUUUUUUUUUUCUGCUUGAACCAAAUCGGAUCACACAUCUGCAUUGGGCUCAACUAUUCUUCUUUCACUUUCUUCGAUUGUUAUCUUUCUUCAUCGGCAAUAUGAGUCCCACCCUUUAUCGUCGUUUCUUUCACCGUUGUUUUCUCUUCCUUUGUCACCAAUUUUUUAUUUUUUCUCAAAUCAUCUAUCGUCGCAUUGCACGAAUUAUUAUACUAGUAUAAUAUCAAUUGCACAAUUAUACUUGUGAAUUUCGUGGCACUCAUGUGGAGCGAAAAAUAAAAAAUAAAAAAAUUGCGCAUGCAUAUGGGAUGCUCAGGAAAGAUCCCUAUGCUAUUGUUAGGGUACAUAAAUGAAAAAGGGUUGUUGAGGUUUGAGUCAAUGUGCGUGCUCCAUUCACUUCUAUGAUUGAUGGAUGAUAUUUAUUGUUCGCGUCUCUGCUUGUCCAACUCCAGAUGCCUCAUGUGCCUUUCAUUAACAAGCGGUCACAUCUUUCACAAUGACGCUUAGGAUUGGUCCAUUUGGUCAUUCUCCUGGGGAGCUACCAUUCAAAGUGCAUUUUAUUAAUAUUAAUAAUUAAUAAAAAGCACAAGUUAAUGCUUAUUAUUAAAAUAAUAAUAUCUGAUAUGAGUUUGGUGACAGUAAAGAGUUGUACCGUACUCCUUACAUUUCUAUAUAAAAGGUUCGGAAGGUAGGCAGGAGUUUGACUUCGUACAAUUCUACGCAAAAUUUUUCUACCGAGAUUCAAAUUUAUGACGUUUUUUUUUCGCUCUGUCUCCAUCUAAAUAUCUCAACGACCAUAUGCUAAUAUAUCUAUUUUUUUAAGAAAAAUAAAUAUUUACUAAUGAAAUCUGGGAUUUAGAAGGAUAUUUCAGUAAUUUUAGGAUAAAUUUAAAAAUUUUGAGUAGUAGUCCUUGAUAAAUAAGCGAAUGUUUUUUUUUAGCAGAAAAGGUAGGCAAUCUAUUUGUUUUGUUUAUUUUUAGAAAAUAAACUGAACAAAAAAUAUAAAGUAACUAGAUUUCAAACUUAGAGCAUGCAUUUGGUACCAAUUAUCAAGUACUUAGCCAAUUGCGCUAGAUGUCAUAUGGUGAAAAAAAGGAUCUAAAAUUGGCUCUUAUAUGAUCGAAAUUUUCUUAGAUUAUUCAAGGUCUAUUUUCAACCUACAAGAAUAAGAAAUUUUUUAUGGCAUUAUUAAAGUAAGCAUUAUAUUAAACUCCGUCUAAAACAAGAAUAAUCGUGAUAGCUACUCUAAUUUCGCACGAACUAAAGAGUUGUACUCCUUACAUUUCUAUAUAAAAGGUUGGAAAGUAGGCAGGAGUUUGACUUUGUACAAUCCUACGGCAAAUUUUUCUGCAGAGAUUCAAAUUCAUGACUUAUUUUUGCUUCGUCUCCAUCCAGAUAUCUGAACAUCCAGAUACUAAUAGCUUAAAUUUUUAAUUUAUUUUUGUAAUUUUGAUUUAUUUUUUUAGGAUAAUAUUUAAUAUACUUUUCAAAGUUUCAAAAAUAUAUAAUAUAUCUUUUUUUUAAAAAAAAAAUCAAAUAUUUCUAAAUCCCUACAAUUUACUAAUGGAAUUCGAGAUUUAGAAGGAUAUUUCAGUAAUUUUAAGAAAAAUUUAAAACCUUUGAAUAGUAGUCUGUGAUAAAUAAGCAAAUGUUCUUUUUUAGCAAGAAAGGUAGGCAGUCUAUCUGUUUUGUUUAUUUUUAAUAAAUAAACUGAACAAAAAAUAUAAAGUAACUAGAUUUCGAACUUAGAGCAUGCAUUUAGUACCAAUCAUCAAGUACUUAGCCAAUUGCGCGCGCUAGAUAUUUGUAAUUUUAAUUCGUCUUAUGGUGUAAAAGAGGAUCUAAAAUUGGCUCUUAUAUAAUCGAAAUUUUCUUAGAUUAUUCGAGGUCUAUUUUCAUCCUGCAAGAAUAAGGAAUUUUCUAUAGCGUUAUUAAAAUAAGCCUUAUGUUAAAUUCCGUCAAAAACAAGAAUAAUCGUGAUAGCUGCUCUAAUUUCGCAUGACUAUGUUUCGCACAUGCCGCUCUGACAUUCCUAAUAUACAAAGUAAUUUUGAGGCGGCUCAAAAUCUUAUUUACAUUUUUUACCGCAAAUAUAUAUAUAUUUUUUGUUAUUUUGUUAUGCUAUGUUACAUUUGUACACUAGUAUCGACCAUCACUAGAGCAAGUGGCAAAAGGUUUGGUGGUUGGUAUCUGAGACCCAAGUUCGAAUUCUAGUUGAUUCAUAUUUUUAAUUAAAUUUAUUUUCUAAAAUGAAAUAAACGAAGCGGGUAGCAUGUUAUCUAUCUCUAAAAAAAAAAAAACAUUUGUACACUAGUGAAAAUAAUAAUAAUAAUAAUAAAUUUUUUUUUUUGAGAGAUAGGUAGCACGCUACCCGAUUCGUUUAUUUCAUUUAAAAAUAAACUUAGCUGAAAAUAUGAAUCAACUAGGAUUCGAACUUAGGUCUCGGGUACCAACCACCAAGCCUUUUGCCACUUACUCUAAGGACGGUCGGUAAUAAUAAUAAUAAUAAUAUUGAAAGCGAAUGCAGCAGUGUGGCUGAAAAAAAAAACCUCGUCUUGCUUAAGAAUAUCUCCAGAAGUAUCUAGCCUUUUAGAGAGAGAGAGAGAGAGAAAGAGAGAGAGAGAGAGAGAGAUGCAAAAGAAGUUCACGCAACAAAUAAAUAAAACGAGUGUGAGGUGUACCCUACUGAUCAUAAACAUGUUUUAAAAAAUUUAAAAAUCCUACGUGUAAUCCCACAUAGAAUAUGGUGUGUUUAUUUUACAUUCUUCAAUUUAAAAAUUUAUAAACUAAAAAAAAAAAUGCUACGAGUACAUUCAUUAUAAGAGUGUAUAUUUUACACCUAAAGAUUUAAGAAUUAAUAAAUUCUGUUGAAUUUUAGCAUAAUAAAAAAAAAAAUGAUAAGACAAGUGAAUUAAUAAGAAUCACAAAAGACAUACAAGUGUAAAGUUCAUAAUAUAGGAUGAAUGGAUAGUAUUAAUUAAUUUCAAAGAGAUUUUAAGUAAAAAUAAUAAUAAUACAAGUGAAAAAAAUAUGAACCAUUACACCUAUAUUAUAGAUGCAAAGAUAUAUAGCAUUUUUUAUACUUUAUAAUUUGGCUUUAUUUUCAUGCAGUUGUAAACAUGUACUUUAUAUUUAAUAUUUUAGCCACUUAUUAAGAGAAUUACCAUGCAUAGAGUUUUUUAUUUUUUUAUUUUUCCUUCCAGAAGGUAUGUUGAUUCACCACAGUUCUUGAAAAUUUCCAUAUGGAUACAUCCUUAAAUUUGUAUCUACGAAAAUUACCAUGCAUGCAUACAUUUUUUUUUUUUUUAAAUUUACUUUUGAAAAGGUAAGUUGAUUCACCCUGAUUCUAGAAUUUUUCCGUAUAGUCUUUUUUUUUUAAUUUUUUUGAGAGAUAGGUAGCACGCUACCCGCUUUGUUUAUUUCAUUUAGAAAUAAACUUAGCUGAAAAUGUGAAUCAACUGGGAUUCGAACUUGGGUCUCGAAUACCAACCACCAAGUCCUUUGCCACUUACUCUAGGAACGGUUGGUAAUUUUUCCAUAUAGUCACAUCCUUAAAUUUUUAUCUAGGGCUUUAGGAUACCAAACAAGGUUAGACCUCAUUCGUAUUAUGAUACAUUUACAAACAAGAAUGAUUUUGUUAGGUUUUAAUUGAGCACCAAAAUUUUUAGAUUGUAUUCCUCAGAAAAAAGUUAAUUUAGAUUAUUUUACUUUUGAAACUUUAUAUUAUUAAUUUCUUUCACCGAUAAUCUGGUCGGUAAACUAUGCACCUCUCUUCUUAGGAAUAAAGUACGAUUUUGAUCUUGUCUGUUUGCCGAAUCAUUGGCGCUAAUCUUUAAUCCUAAUAACUUGGAUUAUUAGAAAUAUGCAAUAAUUUGUUUAAAACGCUCACGAGUCUUGACUGUAACUCGGUCCAAUCAGAGUCACACCACUUCGAAUAUAACUUGACCCAACUUGACCUUCCUAUCAUAAGAUAAAAUGGUGGUCACUCUAAACCAAUAAUCUACUGUAUCUGAUGUAAGCUAAUGAUUAGCUAUAAUUAAAUCCUAUAUAGCAGUUGAACUAAGAUAACAUAAAAAAAUAAAAAGCCAAUUACGCUAAAGAAUUAAUUAGGUAUGAUCACAACCAAUAAAAUAGAAUCGAAACUGUAUAAAGGUAAAUAUGACGCAAACAAGGGCCACUCAACAUGCCAGGUGUUUUGUGGGGAUUAGUUAUUUUUGUCCCAACAAAAUAAAUAAUUUUUAUGUCAACGUUGAAUCUACGAUGAGAAACAGUGAUUUUUCAAAAAGCUCAAUCCUAAAAAAUCUUAUAGGAUUAGAAUAUGUGGAUACCCCCUCGAAUAUAUGUCAUUUCAAAAUAGAUGUUUGGAUACCUUUUUUUUUAUUAAGAUCUUCUUGAUUAGUGAUUUUUUAUUUAAAUUUUAUAAUUAGUAAAAUUAAAAACUUAUCAAGUUUGAUGAUUUUAUUAAUUAUUAAUUCUUUUAUCGGCUAAAAAUAAUCGACAUCAUUAAGCUUGAUAAAAUUACCAACGAAUGUAAUAAAAUAAUAUUUUUUUGACUAAAAUCAAUUAAGUCUAAGGGCAUGUUUUGUUUACGAUUGAAAUAAGAAUGAAAAAGAAAUUGGAUUAUAUUAGAAUGGUAAAAAAAAACGGCGAAUCAUUCAAACAUUAAUUUUGGUUCAAAUGAAAAUUAGAAUGAACAAUUAAAAUACCUAAAAGUUUGAGAGUUGGUUUUUUAAGGAAGAGGAGAAUAAUGAAGGGAGAGGUGUUUAAAAGAAAGAGAGUUUUGAAUGAUUUACUUUGAAAUGCAUCAGUUUAGAAUUUAAGGCCGAAUUGGAUUAUAAAUGAAUUGAAUCAUUUUCAUUUCAAAGUAAAAUGAGAAUUAGAAUCCGAUUUCUGUAAAACAAACAACAAGUGUUAUAAUCAAUAAGUUAUAUUUCGAUUUCAGACCCAAAAGAUAUAUGAACCAAAUAACCUCAAAAGUUAAAAAAAUAAAGAGCGAGAAGUCCAAUUCAAGAUGGCUUAUAGUUGGGAGUCUUUAUACUGAGCGAGGAGUAGAAGUAUCAAAUUUCUAUAAUUUUUUAUUUUAGUUUUUAUUAGUCUUAUUUUGUUUUGAUUGCCUUCAAUAUUUUCCGAGGCCGUGUUGUCUCAAUCCCUGUACUUAAAUUUAUCUGCUAAAUAAAUGAAGCAGAUAGCGUGUUAGCUAUCUUUCUCUCUCAAAAAAAAAAAAAAAAUUCUUAUUCCAUCUUUUUCGUGUGAUCAUCAAUCAAUCCAUGAAAGGACCACUAGAUAGAUACAUUUCCACGUGUCCCUUAGACUUAAAUUAUACCACAUUUUAAUUAGAAUUUGACGUUGCCCUAUCUAAAGGUCAAAUGACAUACCUACCACUACACUACACUCAAACCCAAAAGUGUGAAACUCCCCGAUCUAAAACGCCAUUGCACACGUCAAAUUGAGCAAUCUAUAAUGCAUCAUCCACUAAACUAAUAUUGCUCGUGUAGUGCGCUCUUUCCCAAUACUAUAACAUCCGCGUUUGGCAUGUGCCCAUUAAUUAAAAAAAUUAAGUUUUUACUAGAAUUAGAAUUUUAGGGCUAGGCCACGUGUGCCGCUUUGGUCCUCGCUAAGGUAUGUUUAUUUCACGCGAUUGAGAAGUAGAACACGCAUCUCGAACCGGUCCGAGAAUGAAUCUACGUUGUAAAACCGUCUUAUGCGUGUUCCGAUCUGAUUGUGAUUUCACUAGGUGGAGGCUACCUCCGAGACUAAAUUAGUCGAAACGGUAACAAAUUUUACAUAAUUUAACUGCUUUUUAGAUAGAUGAAUCCAUAAUUGUUUGGCAAGUUGCAAUGCGCACGAGGAUUUGUUCCCCGCAUACAACUUAAGGCUUCACAAUAGAUCUCCAACAUAUCGGUCAAAGUUACAAUCUAUGUUCUCCGAAUUCUGAGCACCGAUUAGGUCCUCCAAACACCAUAAUCCAAGAAACCUCUCCGUGCUCCGGAUUAAGCGAGCAUGGAAUUGUUUCGGAUCGAACCGUCUCUACCAUCCACUGCGAAAUCAAUUGACGUGGUAACAACUUUCGCAUAAAUUAACCACCUUUUUGAUAGAUGAUCAAACGGUCGUUUGAUAAGCUGUGUACCGAAACUUUCUACGCAUUGGGUUGUAAGAGGACACGCUUUCGACACGCAACUCGAGUAUAUUCUAUGAAAUUUAGGACAUUUAGGUAAUCUUGCUAGUGAGUCGGCAAGAGAUUUCAUUCUCAUACCUUGAUGUGCCCACAUUUAAAAAUGCCUACAUGAAAAUAACUGCUCCUGCAGUCGGAUCCACACUUCUUAGUCUCGCACUCAAAUCAACUAUAUAUUCUGGUUAUUGUUCUUUCAUUUGCUAGUGCUUGUUGCACUUUCUAAGUAGAAGAGCUCGUUCGACGGAUGUAGUUUGAACCCGAGUUCCUAACUAUUCAUUUAGUACUAAGUUACUGUUAUGCGAAAUCGAACUCCAUGGUGUUUAUACAAAACUAACAACUUGAGACAUCGAAACUAAAUUAUUGGAUUGAUUGGUCCACGUACUAAUGAUAUUUGGGAAUUUUGUUUUAUUAGAGAAAAGUAUCAAAUUUUACGGUUGUUCAGAGAAGGUGCGCCUACAGGCUGAUAAUUUACGAGUUUGCUCAAAAAAAGAAGAGAAAGAAAAAGAAAAAGGGCAAACAAUUUAGCUUGGAACCAAGACAAGGAAAUGAAUGAGAGAAAAUGUAAUUUACAUUGCUAGAAUACCAAGUCAUAUGAGCAAGAGUAUCUAAGUUCGUUUGCUAUAAAUAGCAUUUUUCUUGCUAUAUAUGCAAGAAUAACUCCACAUCUACACCGACUUUGGCCGGAUGGUUCAUUAUAUCAAAUUAAUUACUCAUAUAGUAAAUUUUAACUCUUUGAAAUUUUCGUACUAAAAUUGUAAAUGCGCAAAUGUUCGUGUCGGCUCCAUAGCUUCUUUUGAAGAGUAAAACUAUGCCCACAUACAAAUCUUGCAACAUUUUACUCACAUGCUGCCAUGGAAGAUUUCAAUUGAACGACUGAUCCAAUUUAUAAGUAGAAUGGUAAUUAUAAGUGAAAUUAUUUAAUUAUAAGUGAAAAAUUAUAAAAUAAAGAUCCGUUUUGUAUUGAGACUAUCUUAACGUUAUUAGACAAACCGACUUGGGGGGGCAAAAGUACAUAGAAAUAAGUUUUUUCUAUUUCUAGUGAGAAACUAGGAAUAAACAUUUUUUUUUUUUUCAUCGAACUUUUUAACUUUAACGUAAUCUCUCAGCAAUUCUAAACGGAGCCUAAGUCGGCGGAGAAUUUUCCUUUGUGGAAUGUUAUUUGCAGUCUAACUCAGCCCAACCCAACUAGGACUAAAUCUUGGGUCUACACAGUCUUAUUUAGGCCUGGUCCAACAAGAUAUCAAAGCGUUUUUAUUUAGGCCCAUAUUAUCUAAACCAGGACUAUGGCCCGAAACGAGAUUAAAUGGGCCGGGCCCUUUGGCCCCAAACCCAAUAUCGAACCACUCUUACCUUAUCACCAUCAUCAUCCACAAAUAUACCUAUAUAUAUCUCCUCUUCCCCAUUCCCUUCUCCUCGCUUGCUCCUCAUGGCGACUAUGGCCAUGGCCAUGGCCAUGCGCGUCUCCUCCUCCUCCUCCUCCUCCUCCCUCGCACUUCGCCCGCGCCCUCCCACGUCGUCCCCUCGCACGGCGACUCUCCCGAGCACUCGUCUCCGGCCACCGCCCGUGUCGGCCGCCUCCGCAGCUGCGGCGGCGGCGGCGGCGGCGCCGCCGCAGCCGGUGAAGUCGCCCACGGGCAUCGUCCUCGUCGACCGCUCCGAGGCCGAGAAGGUGCACCGCCUCAAGGCCGCGUAUCUCGAGAAGGUCGUCCCCCUCCUCAAGGAGGAGUUCUCCUACGCGAACAUCCACGAGGUUUUACUCCCAUCUCUUGCUUUCGCCUCUUUUUGUUAGGGUUAGAGUUAUGUUAGAUGAUACGGUUUCGUCCCAAUUAGGUGCCUAAGAUCGAGAAAAUAGUGGUGAAUUGUGGAAUGGGUGAUGCGGAGCAAAACUCCAAGGGUUUGGAAGCGGCGAUGAAGGAUUUGGCGAUGAUUACGGGGCAGAGGCCGGUGAAGACGAAGGCGAAGAAUUCCAUUGCGAGCUUCAAGCUCAGGGAAGGUGCCACCGUCGGCAUCGCCGUCACUCUUCGCGGUAAUGUAAGGAAUCUCCGAAAACCUAAACAUAUUUGUGAUUAAACCUUUCUUAAUUUUCCGAAAGUAUAUGACAAGGAAUUAUGCUUAUGAUUAGUGAUAAUUUUGAUAGUACAUUCCACGAAAAAUCUCAAUAUGGGAACUUUAUGCUAGUGCAUUUCACUUUGAUCCCCUGUUUAGUUACUUGUACAACAAAAUUACUGUGAUGAAUAAUAAUUGAUCCCUGUUAGUUUUACUUUGUACAUUGAGGGCAAAUGACGGAAAGGGUCUACUUGGAACAAUAAUCGAUCUCUGUUAAUUUUGAUAGUACUUUCCAUGAAAAAUCUCAAUAUUGGAACUUUAUGCUAGCGCAUUUCACUUUGAUCCCAUGUUUAACAAAAUUACUGUGAUGAAUAUAAACAAUAAUCGAUCUCUGUUAGUUUUACUUUGUACAUUAAGUGCAAAUGACGGAAAGGGUUUACUUGGAACACUUAGCCAUAGUGUGUGGUGUUGCUUGUCCACUCCAAAAGAACAUAGACCAAAGUGAAACUUACCCUUAUGCAAUUCUACUUGGAAAGUUGUCGAAUCAAUGCAGCAACACGAUAAAAAUUAUAAACACCGUAGGAUUUGUUCUGCACAUGGCUCCUUGACGGAUGAUACUGGAGUCGAUCCUUCAUAAAAGCUUAUCUUCAAAGAGAACUUGCUUGUCUCUCCAAUUGCAAGUCCUUACAUCAGUAAUAACUUAAUCUUACAUGUAUUUGCUUACAUGAUAAAUAUAUCAGACACUCAUUUCUUUAGUGAUGUAUUUCCCAAAGAUCAUUCUUUCGUAAAAGCAAUAUGUUUCCUUCAAAUGUUUUAGUGUAUAUGUUGUUUAUGCAGUCAGUCGACCUCCCAAGAAUAAGGUAGUUUCUAGACAUGCUAAUUUCUUUUCGCAACCUUUGUUUCUAUUGACAUCUGAAGAAGUUUCCAUAACUAUGAUAUCUUGACAAAUUUUGCCACUUUGAUAUUCCUUUGUUCAUUGUAGGUACUUUUCAAUACCUUCUUAGUUUGCCAAAUUUUGCUAAAUAGAUUGAUCACAGGUUUAAAACUACUGUCGUGUUGUCAUCCUGUUCUAUGUUUCUCUGAUACUUCAAAAACCAACUUUCUUAGUUGUCUUGGGGCGAGGUUGAUCAAUGAUUAAAUGAAGUGUCAGGGUAAACUAAAUCAGUUUACAGAUGUGUCCUUUUAUGCUUUUGACCUGCGGUUUUUAUUCUAAUCAGUUUUACUUAUCUUGCAAUCGCCGGUAUGACAAGCUGUAAGUUUGCAGAUGAUAAAUCAUCAUACCUUAGUUUACUAAUGGACUGUUUCUUCCCUUGUAUUUUGAAUUCAUGAAUUUAACCAGAUCCUUAAGUGGACAACACUUAGAUGUUGUAUGUACAUCAUGAUGCUGAGAAUUUUUGUGCUUUUCCAUUUUUCAAAUCUGGCAAAUAUUUUCCUGCAUGUUGAUUGUUGGAGCUUCAUGCUUGCUAAUCUUGUUCUUUACUUGAUGUUAGAUAAUGUACUCGUUCCUCGAUAGGCUCAUAAAUCUCGGGCUCCCUCGGACGAGGGAUUUCCAAGGCGUGAACCCGAACAGUUUCGACGGCCAUGGGAACUACAGCAUCGGCCUCCGCGAUCAGAGCGUGUUUCCCGAGAUCAGGUACGAAGCCCUAGGUAAGCAAAGGGGAAUGGACGUCUGCAUUACCACCACCGCCAAGACUGAUAACGAGGCCCAGAAACUGCUCGCUCUUUUAGGCAUGCCGUUUAGAGAAGGCGGAGGGCCGACCGUGAUGGUGCGCAAGAAGAAGAGAAAGGCUGCUCAUUUCGAUUCCAAAUCUCGAGGAAGAAAGUGACACUUUAACUCGUUGCUGGCGAAAUGUUUCUUUUGAUCGCAUAGACAGGCGGAUCAGUAUUUUGCUUGUGUUGUUUAGCAAAUGACUAUUGUGUAUAACUUGCCUUCAUUCAAUCCGAGUUUUUUGUUGUAGCCAUGGUGCAAUACAAGAUGGGGAGUUGCAUACUUCAUGCUGCAUUAAAGUGAUGAAGUGAUUAGCAACAGUAUUAGUUGAUUCAUAAUUUUGUUUAAUCCACACUUUUAUUGUCAUCAAUUUCUCUCUCUCUCUUUUGAUGCUCUAUAGAUAUGGGUCCACUUGAUAGCACUUGAAGAUUAGUUCAACUGAAAAGUUCCAUUUUUUUUUAGAUUAAUAAACA
RNAcentral lists this long non-coding RNA (100791 nucleotides) under Ananas comosus (pineapple). Its description in RNAcentral is "long non-coding RNA (ACOM_LNC014004)". The record is from RNAcentral. Lineage: Eukaryota; Viridiplantae; Streptophyta; Magnoliopsida; Poales; Bromeliaceae.